AAAAUUCGAUUCGUAUUUUUCAUAGAGAAAUAUUAAAAAAUUUGUCCAAUCAAUACAAUUAAGUACAUUCUUAUUUAUUUAUUUUUUUCUGAAAGGAGGUACAUUUUCAUUUGAGAGACAAUAAAGACAAGUUCAUAAAUACUCCACGUAGAUUAAAAAAUUUUAAAAAUUACUAAAAGAAAAGUCUAAGCCCUAUAACAUAAGAAACGUGAAUUUUAAAAAAUGACACUACACUACAGGCUACUGCUCUUUUUAUUUUAGCCACUGAAACGCAAAACUCAGCUCUGUCUCAUCCGAUACCCAAACACAAAAAACUCAGUCACCUUCAUCUAAGAGCUCUAAUUGCCUUUGUACUUUCAUAUCUAAUCGUCUUACUGCCAAACAAUGGUAAACAAUUCCCCCAAACCCAUUUAAGAAACUUCCUUUCAAAUUCCAAUUCUUCUGUACAUCUCAUAAAAUGGGUUUACCUUUGGUGCUAAUUGCGAAGCUCAAAUUCUUAUCCGUCCCUUCCUCCUCUACACACACGGUCGUUUCACCGUUUCUAAACACCUUGCUUUGCCCUUACUUGGUUAAACUCGCUUACAGUCUCCGUCUCGCUCACCGAGCUUAUUCCGAUUUGAUCUACGCAUCGCGGCUGUUCUUUUUCCAAUUAGGUCGAAUCGCGUUCGACGAAGAUAAUAAUGCCCGAGAUCAGACGGGCGCUCCUGUUAACGAUAGAUGGGAAAGAGCUUUGAGGUUGGUUUGCCAAAGAGCAAGAAGGUCACCGCCGGUUACCCAAUCCGAUGAGGAUAGCUUCCAUGCCCUUUCUAUGUUCUCUCUUUAAAGCUACACCCGACAUCUGUCUCUUAUGAUGUCAUGAUUUGGUAAUAGAUAUUAAUGUACGUGCGAGAGUGUAUCUAUUUUCCAAAUAAUCAAUUAUAAUUCGUAUGAAUUUCUGAUUUUUUUUCUUUUCUUUUUUCGGUUGCUUUGACGAUUAAAUAUUAAAUAUUUAUACUCCCAUCUGGAUAGAUUAUAAAUAGUAAUUCAGUUAUAGUAACGUAGAAAUUAUUAUUUAAAAAAUUUCAGAUGUAUUAUUUAUUUUCAAGUUAUUAGUUUUUUUUUUUUUUUUCAAUUAGUUUAUGAGUUGCUUAAGUGCUUUGUUUUGCGUUUGAGAUGAAGAAUCGCAGUCUGGCAAGUGACUGUGAUAUUAGAUGCCUCACGGGUAAAGCUGAUGCUGAGCUUGCCUUGAAAGGCACCACUACCUUUAAUUAAGGGCAUUUGCUAAUUCGUUAUGAGAUCCAUCCUUUCAUAAAAUCUGUGAAAUUUUUAAAUUCUAUCAACAGUGCAAUCUAUAGAUAAUUAUCGUUUUAAAAUGAAAUAAUUUUAAACUUUACAUUAAUAAAAAAAUAUGAAAUUAAAAAAUUCAUUAAUUUAAAGAUAUACUUGUACACCAAAAAAUGUGUGAUAAAUGUAUAUAUAACAUGUUAACAGUUUUUUUUUUUUCGAUUGUUCUCCUUUUAUAUAUAUUAGGAAUUCAACAUACUUUAGUAUCCUAAAACAUCUUGUCUUAGUAUUUAUAACUAUUAAAAUUAGUAUUUUGAUUUUUUAUUUGUGAAAUAAAUUUAUCUUAUUAUAAUAAUCGGAAUUAAAUAGUAUAACUUAAUUUAUCUAAGCAAUUUUAUUUAAUUUAUUAUAGUAAAUAUUUUGAGAUAUUUUUCUUUUAGAGAAUAGGAAAUCAUUUUCCUUAAAAAAAUCUUAUUAAAAACUAUUUUUUAUUGACUGUUUUUUAACGAAAAUUUUAAAAAUAUUUUCCAAAAAAAUUAUUUCCACAAAUAAACAAAUAAUAAGUUUCAUCAGUUAAAUCUAGUGAAUCCAAAGUGAACUAUAAAUGUACAAAAACUUAUUUAUUUUCGUAUCAACAACUCUUAACUGUUUCUAGUAAUUCCAUUGCAUCAAAUGGAUUGAAAAUUAUCGAUCAAUGACCGGAUCCAUGGCGCUAUUCAUGGACCAAAUCAACGAAAAAAAAAAUUUUUAUUAAAAUAAUAGUAUUUUUAAUUAUACGCUGAAAAAAAAAGAUAAAAUAAAAAAAUUUUAAAUAAUUUUAAUUGUCGUUAGUUUAGUCCAUAAACGUAUUUAUAAAAUCGGUCUAGAUAAGUAAUUUCCUCACAGUAUAGACUUAUUUUUAUUUUUCAGAAUGAAAUAUAUAUAUUUAAAAUGGAUACAUUUGAGAAAGAAAGCCGACGUAAACAGUUCUAACGGGGCAAGCAGCUCAGGAGUUCGAUGGUGACUAUGGAGUGGGUUUUCUCAUCACUCCAGAAUGUUCGGAAUCAGCACGAUACAUCCAUUUGAAAAGAAUUUUUUUUUUUUAAAAUAAUAGAAUUGAUUUUUUUUACCUAACAAUUUUUCAGAAUACUUUGUAAAUUAACAAUAAUUUUUAUUUUUCCUUAAUGUGCUUACAGGAAUCAAACUUGUAAAACAUAUUAAUUCUAAAAGUCUUUUGGAAUUUAACUUUGAUAAAUAUUUAAUAAUAUUCUAACAACUUUACAACGUUAACCAAAUAAUUUAGGCGUUAAGUAAAAAUUUAGGAAACCUUAAUUAUGUAGCUUUUGCUUUUCUUAGCAGUAAAAGAUGGCAGGUGUGAUGGUGGUGGUCCAUGGCAAGAAAUAUCUUGCCAAUUAAGAAAAAAUUAACAGACCAAUGACAUACUUGAUUCCUUGCUAAUCGCAUCUUACAAGCUUUCAUAAUUUUUAUUUAUUUCACCAUCAAUAGAUGUCUAUUAAAAUUAUCACUUCAACUUUACAAAAGUAAAAUAUUUAUAUCAUUCACGACUCUUUUACUUGGUUCAUUGAAUACAUGUAUAUUAUAAAAUUUAAAUAAUUCAAUAUUUCAAUUUAUAAAAUUAUAUUUAUUGAAUAUAAAUUAUUUUUAGUGGUACAACACUGAAUAUUUUCUCAAUUUAAUUUUAAAAAUAAAAGUGCAGAAAUGAAUGAGGGUUUCAUAAAUGGACCACAUGCAUUCAGCGAAUUUAAAUUGAGAAAAAAUAAUAAAAAAAUCCUUUAGAAGGCUAAUUUGCAACAAAACAAAAAUAAAUGGAAAAGAGAAAAAAAUAAAGAAAAUAAAAGAAAAGACAGCUCUAUAUAAUCUAUCCCAACUACCCAACAAUAAUUUUCAAACAAUAUCUAAACCGAACAAACUACUCCAUGCCUACGUGUGCCGACAUUUCCAACUAUGCUAAUCAUUUUCAAUAUGCUCUGUACCAAUUGAAAAUUUCAAAAAAUUGCAAAAAUUAUAAAAAUAUUUUUUAUAAUUCAAGAUUUUUUUUUUUAGAAAAUUAGUUUUAACCCAGAUGUCAAAUGAGCUCUCAAUCUAUGAAUAAAAAAAAGUUGCGUUUUUGGUUAUUGGAAUUCAAUUCUUUUUAUCCUAAUUUUUUUUUAGGAUUUCAGAAUCGUCCAGUAGAAAAGUUAAAUUAUCGUUUUUAGAUGAUAAUGGAAGUUUUUCAGGAGAAUAAAAUAAUUGUGAUAAAUAUUAUUAUAUAAUUUAAAAUUUUUUAUUUUCUAUAUAAAUUUAAUUUUCUCAUCAUUAGAGACAAGAACAUAGUUUUCCACAUACAUAGAAAAAUAAGGAUGGGCUACUAUGUACUUUAGAAAUUUUAUUUUUUUGAAAUAUUGGAAUUCAAAAUUUCCAACUCUUACGGGAUUCCGAUAACAAAAAACCCGUUCAGGAAAAAGCAGAAAAAGAAAAAGAAUGUUUUGGAAGCAAUGCAAAAGGAUCACAUAGUGAUUCAGUUUAGUCCAAGAUCCAUGGCCUGUGAUCAUCGCCUAGCCAGGCUCUUGCUGUAGAAGAAGAACUAGUCAGUCAUACCAAACCCAAUGACCCAAAAAUACCUCAGCUAAACUAGGCUGGAAGAGGCCUUUUUGACAUCUCUGUUCCUGUAGGUUGGAUUAUUAAACUGGGCCUCACGAAAACAGCAAUUGGGUCAAAUUUUGUUCAACAGUUGAAAAGGGGAAGAAAAGCAAAAUCUUUUAAACACAAAAUUUUGAUUUAUAUAAUUUAAAUAAACAAAAUAUUAACAUUUUUUUUAAAGACGGUUAGGUGAACCAUUAAUGUUGCUUUAAUCCACAUUUAAUUAGUUCUGAAGAAUUUUAAUACAAUAAUUUAUAUUGUCAUUAAAGGGUUAACAAAGGAACAAGACUUGACAUUAAUAUGCAAAUAAUUUAGCUGGUUCUUUAAUUUUGGUAUGAAUCCAAAUCCACUACCAAUAAUUAUUCUGAAUAAAGGAGAAAUUUCGGUUAAAAACAGUAACGCAUAGCAUGCAAGCGACUCCAAUUUCUCCUUUAUUCAGGAACCAUGACCCAGUCUUAGCUGUUAAGCCAGUGUUAGUUUACCCUUUUUCAGCUUUAAAUAACCAAUCAUUUGUUGGCCAAGUCUCCAAUUUGGCUAGUGGUCUGGUCUGGUCAGGUCACUCGUUCUUGGGUUGGACUGGUUCGUUUGCUAAGGAGUCAACCGCGAGUAGAACUAUACAAUAAGAAAAAAAAAAAACGCGGUUAAACUUACAGAAAGUCAAUAAAAAUGGCUUCUACGGACUAGUUUGGGAGUCAUAAGUGAUCUUCAACCCUUUACACUCUAUAAUUCAAAGAAAAAUACAUUUUUUUCUGAUUAAAAAAAAAAAAAAUUGUCCUAGGCAGCAACAACUAAUAAGGGAAGGGAAGGUUCCUUUUCCGUGGUAUUUUUUAUUUUUUUGUACAACCAUUUCAAACUUUUGAAGGGAAGGUUCCUUUUCUCUAGCUUCCCCAGUAGCAUCUACACCGUACACGGCCGUUAUUAUAUGCACUAAUCUACUUUACAUAUUGCUCAAACAAAAGAUAAACAAAUAAUUUUUUAUUAAUUGAUUAAUUAAUUAAUCUCCUUCUUUAAUUACAACUCUAUUUGUUUAAUAAUAAAAUAAAAUAUAAAAAAAUAUCUCUUUGCACUUUACUUGAGAAAUAUUUUGCAUAAUCACGUUCACCGGCCGGUUAUUGGAUAAGCUCGUUUUAGCCUGACGUUAUCAGAAGAUAAUUGAAGUUGGCUGCAUGUUUGUCUUUUAAUUCUCGGAUAAUAUCGGUCGGUAAUAAAUUAAAUAUUUAAAGAGUUUUUCAUUUAAUAAUUAAGAGGUAUUGGCCGAUUUCAUUACACCAUCAGGCAAGCUUGGAUUUUUUUUUUUUAAUAUAUAUAUAAUAAAUUAUUAAUAAACAUUAUCUCAGUUUUAUAAUAUUUGAAUCGUGAACACAAAUUCGAUAAUAAAAAUAUUUUUUAAAACUGUUGAUAAAUUUUUUAUGAAUUUAAUAAUUUUUGUGGGUUUUUACUGGAUCAAUCCAUCAAAAGAUAGAAUUUUCUCAGCAAAUAUUUGUUCAAUUUAUAAAGAUGAAACCAUCGACUUUAUUUAAAGAGGAAGAGUGCCGAACCAUUUAUCCCAACACCUGUGAGUCACUUAUUAAUACUUUAUUUAAAUAGUAAAUCACAAAAGUAUAUCCCCAAGAAGAGAAUGGCAUCAUACCUUCACUAUAAUUUAUAAAUAUAAACAUUUAUGAAAGUAUUGGCUGGCAUUUCCUCAUUGGACUAUAAUAGGAAUUCAGAAUCACUAUCCUACUAUAUUUUCUGGGGGGGGGUGGGGUUUCAUAAGAUAACAUGACAGUGAAGUGAGAUUAGUGGGUUUUCAAAUCAUGAAAUUAGAGGCCAUUUUGUGAGGGACACGAGUGGUUUUUGGGUUAGGCAUCUUUCUUAUCUCAUAGGACUCAUAGCAAACAAUAGAGACAAAAAAUGUUACCUCACAAGAGCAAGUAGAUACAAUCAAUACAAUUAAUCAAAAUAUAAAUUAAUUAAUUUUCUAGUUGAGAACUAAGUUUCAAAAGGCUUAUUUAAUUUUAAGAGUUGCUUUGAUAUUAACACCAAUUUUAUUAUAUUCAAAAAAGUAAAAAACACCAAUUUUAUUUUGCAAAUUGACAAUGACUUUGCAAAUCAAGCAAAAAAGAUAGCACACAUCCCUUUCUUGAUGUGGCUAAAAUAAAAAGAAAUUUAAGCAAUUUCUUUGGGAAGUGUCUAACCAUAAAAUGGUUAAUUGUAUUUGUCAUGAACUACGUUAAUUACGUGUUAAGUAUAUUUACGUGUCAUAUUUGUUUAUUUAAUUAAAGAAGUAACAUUCGUGUCAAAAUUAAAAUAUUAAAAAAAUUAUUUAUAAUGUUAAUUAAUAAAGAUAAAAUUCAAAGUAUGCGGAUUGGUCUUUCUACUUGUAUGCAGAGAGUAAAAAAUUUUAAUUUAAUAAGUGAAAAUAAAUAUUAAUUUUAUUAUAUAACCCACGGUGUUCUUUAAACCUUAAACUUGUUAAAAGUACCAAAUAUCAAUAUUAGAAGAGAAUAAGCACAUGAGAACUAGCAGAUUGCCAUAAGGCAUAAAGGAGCCAAUCUAAACCCAAAAGGGCAAGGCGGUCAAAUUCAACUGGCCAUUAAAGCACCGAGUGGACCUUUUUCCAGUGGUUUCUGAUUUUCAGCUGACCACUUCCAACAAGGCCCCACCUAUGUGUCUCCCCUCACAAACCUUUUUUUUUUUUUUUUUUUUUUUUUUGAUAUAACAUGUUACGUUAUCAAAUUAUAUAAUAUAUUAAAAUUUGAUAGAAUUUUUCUUUUCUCAAGAAAAGAAACUAUAAAUUAAUAAUAUAAAUAGUUUAUAAUAUUAUAAUUUAUAAUAAAAAAUUAAUAAAAAAUUAUAUAUAAAAAUUAAAUAAAUUUACUUGCAAUAUAUAAAAUUAAAUGAAUUUACUUUUAAUGUAUAAAAAAUUAAUAUUACAGACAACGUACUAUCGUACAUUUGAAAAAACUAAUAAUUAAAAAAGAUUCAAUUAAUUAAACCCUAAAUAUUAGGGAUAUCAUUUUAUAAAAACUCUUUCAAACCUGUGAAUGGUACCACAGAUACUAUGUCAGCAAACAAUAUAUUCCAUGCUGUAGUUAACAACAUCACGAAAAAUAAAAUUGCAUAGAUUUGUUUUAUUAAAUAAGCUAGACUGAGUCAACGGGUGGAGAGAAGUGAGUCCACAAUGUAGUUCUUAUGAUAAUAAUAAUAAUCUAUAGCAUACAAAAGUCCUUUUAAGCAGUGAUGCUUUUUAAUAUAAAAAUAAAAAAACUCUUUACACAAAAUUAUAUAUAUAAAUGUAUAAUUUAAUUAAACGGAUUAAUUUAUUCAUUAUCAAUCCAAUUAGCGGAUUAACUAGCUUCCUUCGUUUGAAACUGUAUCGGUAACAUGCAAUGCAAGAAUAAAUUAGUGAGAAUUAUUAGAAUAAAUUAGCUGUGAAUUGGCUAAUUAAGGGCCGAUUUCUAUAUUUUAAAAUCUGCACAUGUAAUUUCUGUAUUUCACAUUUCGUUUGUCAUUAUAUUACAGUUUAAAAGAAAAAAUAAAUUUAUCUCCCGACAAGUCUUUGUCCUCGACCAACGGCUGAGAUGUUUAUGUCGUCAAACUCUGUUCAUUUUCACCGAGGCAAAUAAAUUGUCUCUUCUAAUUACAGAAUACUCCUUCCUUAUAAGUGCUUUCUUUUUGCGCUUUCCCUUUCCUUUCCAUUUUCCAAGCUCACCUCCUCUCUCUUUCCUUCUUUGCACAUAUAUAUGUCAACAGAUUGCCAUAUCUAUACAUACAUUGCUACAAACGCUUCAGCAAACACACAUAUUCUUAUUCAUUCAUUUUUGGUAUAUUUAUAAAGAGAUUUUUUUUCUAUCUCAUAUCUUUAAUUGCUGAGAUUUUUUUUAUUAAAUUUAGAUAGCGCCACUGUUUCUUCUUGGUUUUAUGGUUAAAACCCAGACGGGAAAAUCAAUGGCUUUUGGUGAUAGGAAGAUAAACACUUGGCUUUUACGGUUUUUGCUGCUUCUUCUCUUGGUUGUUUGUAAGACUGCGGCGUAUGGAGAGAUCAGACCGCCGCAGCAGCAGCAGCUCAAACAAGAGCAGCGGCAUAGAAACGCGUACGCGACGAUGAUGUACAUGGGAACGCCAAGGGACUAUGAGUUCUACGUGGCUAUACGUGUCAUGAUCAGAUCCCUUGCUAGGCUUCAUGUGGACGCUGAUCUCGUCGUCAUUGCCUCCGUCGACGUCCCGCUCCGUUGGGUUCAUGCGCUGUAAGUUAACUCGCUCUCUCUUUCUCUCAAAAUCUCAACCCUUCUUUUCUUUCAUUUUUCGUUAUUUGAAUUAAUUAAAUUUAAUUUUUUUUUAUUGUGCGCCGUGGACCCUGGCGUAGUUUAGUUGAUUCUGGGGUUUCCCGCCUGGCGUUAAACGAGCAUUGAUUAGAUACAGUAAAUUUAUGCACCGCCCAGUUUUGUCCAAUCAGUAAUUACUAGGCAAGACGUCAAGUAUUUUAUUUUCUAUCAUUUUCAAUUUUUACCAAUUAAACUAAUGCUUUUACUUUGUAUUAGCAAGUUGUUAUGAAAGAGACAAUUUAAAUUAAAUUACAUGAGAGCCAUUACCUGGGUUUAACUUUUGGCAUCAUUUGGUUGUGGCUGUGGUAGUGGUUACUUGUUAUUAUGAAGAGAAAGGAGAGCAUAAUCAGCAAAAUUUUAUAUUCUAAUAUAUGUAUUUUUUUUAACUCUUUAAAUUAACAGAAAUUCUUAUAAUGAAACUACUCGAUUCUCAAUGUUCCAACUUUUAAUAAUACAUAUGAUUUGCAAAUUUCACAUUCAAAAGGAGGGAGGGGUAUGAUGGUCACCAUUCGUGAUGCUCAACGUUCGAGCUUUUCAUAAUACAUAUGAUUUGCGAAUUUCCCAUUCAAAAGGAGGGAGGGGUAUGAUGGUCACCGUUCAUGACACGUUUAUGACCUUUUUAGUGUUAGGAAAUUUAGGCAAUGGCUUUGCUUUCUAAUGAGUCAUAACUCAUAAGUGGUUUCUAGUGCUUCUUGUUGGGCCCUUGGUUAGAAUUUCAAAGGUAUUUAUCACGAAUCGAUAAGACGCAAGUGGAAAUCCAAUUGGGAACCCAACUUCACUUUUUGCAUAUCCUAUUUGAAAAAUUGAGCAUAUACUUAUGGAGUUAUAGUUUUUUAACUUUUACAUGAGAAAGGAAAGAUUAAAUCUCAUUAAAGAAGUAAUUUUUCUUUUUAAAUUAAAAUUUGAUUCAAACUUGAAUUUGCGAUGCCAUAGUCUUAAGAAUGAUGAAUAUAAAUUAAUAAUUUCUUUUGGUGCUGUCUUUUCCAAAAGCAUAAAAGAGGUUAAAAACAUGGGUGGAAUUUUCUGAUAGCCAGUUCAAACCAAACAGAACAGCCUGCAAGGUUUAAUAAUUAAUUUAAGAUAUUUUUUGUAGUUGACCAAUAGCUGAGGGAUGUCAUGUGAUCUAUUACCAAUUUUCUUUUUCUAUAUGCAUCUGCCAAAUGUUAUCCGCAAGUCAAUUCUCUAUUUCUAUUUUUAAGUGCCUGCCAAAACCUCCCCAUGUGCCACACCCAGAUGAGAGAUUCAGUAAAAUAAUGACCUAAAUUAUUAUUUUAUUUUCAAAUUCAACUCUGUUAUAAUAUAAAAGACAUCCAUCAAUAUUUAAUAUGAAAAAUUAUAGGCCAUUGGAUAUUGUUAUUAUUUCUGCAUAUAAAUUUUGUAACCAUCAUGAAAUUUUUCUGUCAGUGUGGAAAUUGUACUUAUUGGUCAACGUAUUUUCUUUUUCUUGGAAGGAACUAAGGAAGUGAUAAGUGAUGGUAACUGAUAAGUUGUGCUUUUAUGUUCCAGUGAACAGGAAGAUGGAGCAAAAGUAGUAAGAGUAGAAAAUGUGAAUAAUCCAUACAAGAACCAAGACAAUUUUGACAGGAGAUUUAAGUUGACAUUGAAUAAACUCUAUGCAUGGAGCCUCGUAGACUAUGACAGAGUUGUAAUGCUUGAUGCUGAUAAUCUUUUUCUUCGAAAACCCGAUGAAUUGUUCCAAUGUGGACAGUUCUGUGCAGUCUUCAUCAACCCAUGUAUCUUCCACACUGGCCUUUUUGUGUUGCAGGUAAUUUUCAUUUUCAAUCUACAGCAUUUAUUUCAUUGAAGGUAUAUCUUUUUUCUUUUCACGUGCCAAAUUUUGACUUGAGGAUAUUGGUGUUGCAGCCAUCGAUGACAGUGUUUAAGGACAUGCUUCAUCAAUUGGAUAUUGGAUUAGAUAAUUCAGAUGGUGCAGACCAGGGUUUUAUUGGGGGCUACUUUCCUGACCUGCUUGACAAGCCUAUGUUCUAUCCUCCUGCUAAUGGAACUAAGCUUGAAGGAUCUUACAGGCUUCCUUUAGGCUACCAAAUGGAUGCAUCUUAUUAUUGUGAGUAGGCCAAGGAAUAUUAAAUCUAUGUUUCAUUGCAAUUCUUGCUAAUUCUCUCACUAGAUUAUGAGUAUGUCUGGCAUUAAGGUUGAAAGUACUUUCCAGAAAAACACUAUUUUAUAUACUGUUGAGAAAAACAGUUCAAAUUGCAGUUUAAUUAUUCUGUAACUGUUAUGAUUGAAAUUUGUGAAAUUCAUUUAAAAACUUAAUAAAGUAUAUCAAAAUGUUUUUCUCAACAGCAACACAAACAACAAUGCCAAACAAACUAUAUAUCUGUACAUUAUAUGACUGUAUUUUUUCUAAACUGUAUUCCAUUUUUGCUAACUCCAGAUCUUCGUCUCCGGUGGAAUGUACCCUGCGGGCCAAAUAGUGUGAUUACUUUCCCAGGUGCACCAUGGUUGAAACCAUGGUACUGGUGGUCAUGGCCUGUUUUGCCAUUAGGUAUACAAUGGCAUGAACAGCGACUUCAAAGUCUUGGGUAAGUACAUGCUCUUAAUUUAUGUGUUGUUGGCUCUUACAAGUAUGAUAAAUAAAACAAAGAAAUUUACAAUGAAUUAUUAGUAACACAACUUUGUUCUGCAGAUAUGGAGCAGAAAUGCCUAUGGCAUUUAUUCAGUGCAUAGUAUAUUUAGGAAUAAUUGCAGUAACACGGCUAGCUCGACCAAGUCUUUCAAAGCUUUGUUACAGGCAAACAGACAAGAGCAACUCCUUAAUACAAGCUGGUCUUAAACUGAUAGCAAUAUGGUCAAUACUUGCAGCCUAUGUUCUCCCAUUCUUUAUUAUUCCUUGUACAAUUCAUCCACUGUUAGGUUGGGCAUUGUACUUAGUCGGCUCAUUUACGCUUUGCUCUAUAGCAAUCAACGCGUUUAUGCUACCGAUGUUGCAUGUUUUGUCUCCUUGGCUAGGAAUAUUUGGUGUGCUUCUAGUCAUGGCAUGUCCUUGGUAUCCUGAUGGUGUUGUAAGAGCCUUAGCUGUUUUUGGAUACGCCUUCUGUUGUGCACCUUUUGCCUGGACAUCUUUAGUUAAACUCAUGGCAUCCCUUCAACUAUCACUUGAAAGGGAAGUCUUUUUGCCUAGAUUAGGCGAAUCUUUGCCGCCUUCUGGAUUCAACAAGUUGUACUAAAGGGAUCAGAGGUUUAAUCGUUGCGAGGACUUGAAAUGAUCAUGUUGAUGAUUCUUUACAGAUUCUUGAAGGUGAUAGAUUUUCUUUAUUGGAAGGAAAGAUCUCAUGGGGAAGCUUGAUUUUGCAUAUAAAACUUCAUUGAAUGUAUAGCAGAGCCAAGGGGUCAUAUUUCUGGUAUUUCUGUUACCUCUUGGAUUUGCACUAUUUAUAUUACUAUUUGUAGCUGACUUGAUGAGAAAUUGAAAAACUUAAAUCUUUUGUACAUAUGCCGCUCUUUCUUCUGCCCUCUUCUUUCUUUUUAUUUUAACACUUCGUUUGAAUUAUACUGAUUGCUUUUGUUCUUGAAUUCAUAAAAUCUUGGAAUUGCUGGAUUUUUUUUUUCAGUUAGGUUUUUCAGGAUUGAAUUCAUAACAUCGCAGUUAUUGAAACAAUCUUAAUUUCUCAUUAAUGCUUGAAGUUUGAGUUCGAUUCUAUAUGAAAACUCAAAGUUUUUUCUUAUAAAACCCUUGUAAGUUAGAAUAGCUUCAACAAAAUAAAUAUUUACAACAAUGGGUUUACGAGAAUGAUUUAUUUAGAGCUGGUCCAUGUGCCGAUUACGUGCAUGUGGAUCGAACUAAUAAAAAAUAUAUUUUUUUUAAAUAAGGAUAUUUUUUAUCAUUUAUUGAAAAAUAAGAAAGUUUAAGUGGGAACAAUUUUUUAAAAAUUAUAUAUUAUGACUUGUUUGAUGUAUAGAUAUGGGCCCAUAGGUUGAGUGUAAGUUUUAUCCUUGGAUUUACAUUGUGAGAAGUAAAAAUGAUAUUGACUUGCUUAUUCCAUAGAUCAAAUUAAUGAAAAUAUAAAUUUUCAGCUAUAUUUGCUUAUAUUGGGAAAUAAAAUAAAAUAGAAAUAAUUAUUUUAAAAUUUAUAUUUUUAUUAGUUUAUUUUGUGGUUAGACCAUGAAUCCGAUUUAUCCAAAUAUAAUCCAUUUUAAAUAAAGAAGUUGGAGAUUCACGCAAGAUGCAAGAGCGUUGAAACAUCACCUCAAGCUGAUGGAAAUAAUUAAGUUGAUUAUGCAUAAACGUAAUUGGAUAAGCAUAAAUUUGAGAAAAAAUGAGAGACAAACGUCUGAAAUGAUUUGGUUAACAUCCUCCGUGAAUUGUUAUAUGCCCAAGUUCGUAAGCACAUUAUAAGAAAAAGAGGUAGAUUUAAAAUUGUCUGAAAAAUUGAUCUUAAUGUGCAUUAAUUUUUUUUUUUUUUGAAAAAUAUAAUUCGUUAGUAAUAAAAUCAAGUAUUAUAAAUAUUCAAUUAGACCAUACAUAGAACUUAUGAUUUAUUAUCAUAAUUAAUAGAAAGUUUGUUGAUCAUUCAACAACAAAAGAAUUAUUUAUAUUCUUUUGAAUAAUAAAAUUAAAAUUAAAAAAAAAUAAUAUUGAAUUUUUCCGCUUGAAGAUAACUUUGAUCGAUAUAAAUCUUCAUAGUAGCAACUUGUCCUUUAAUUGAUUUGAACAACAAAAUAACUUCUCCAGAUCUUCUAUGCUUGGAUUGCUUUUCCAAAAAUUUAUUGUGUAUGACGUACACGGAUGAGUUCAAGCCACUAUGCAUUAAUAGCAUCAAUGGAAGAACAUGUCACACUACCAGGUUCCAUUGAUCGGAAAUACACGUCAGUAAAACAAAACAUAAAUUCUCCAACAAAAUAAAAUCAAAUAUCAUACCCUUUAAGAACAACUCUUCAAAUAUGGAGACAAAGCAAUAAUAACAAAAAAAAAAACAAAGAAAAAACAUAUCUAUUAAAAGAAAAUAUAUCUGAAUUUAUUAAAAACAAAUAAAAGAUUAGGAAGGAAAAGAAAAAAAAUAGAAGGCUAUCGCUGAUUAACAACGACAGUCUCAAAUAAAAGCUAUGAUUACAUAAACUAGAGAGAAAAAGAGCUGUGCAUUUAAUUAUUAAUAGAGUAGAAUGAGAAUAAAAUUUCAUACAAAUGGAGUAAUCCCCGAUUAUAGAGGAUUAAGGCUUAGUUAUUGAAUUGUAAUAAACAAUGAUUAUAUCGAUUUUAUAAUAUGUUAGAUAUGUACAAUGAGCUUUGGGUACUUCGGCCUAGAGAGCAAUGAUUCGUGUGAGAGAAGCCCAAUGUUGUCGCAUCCAUAAACUUGAUCGUACUAUGGAUGUCCUAAUAAUAUUUAACAAACAUACCACUUCCCCAAUCUUUGCAAUCAUGGUCCCAUUCUGAGUUCCCGACCCAAAAUUUACUCCGCUUUUCUUUUUUUUUUUUUUUUGAUUGAUAAAGGAAAAAAGAGGAUAAUAAUAAAGAUAAAUAAAAGGGAAAUGAAAAAUAUCUUUUUGGUCUUUUGUGGGUCCAAAUCUAUAAUCAAUACAAUCAUCAUGACAGACUUUGAUUUUUAGGGGCAUUUUUGUCAGAAAAGGCAAUCCACGUACGAGUUUGGGUAAGUUUGUCCCAUGCCCUACUCGAGAAAAUUAAUUUUUUUAUGAAAAAAAAGUGUGUAAAAAUUUGUCUAGUCCCAACGUUCGAAAAACUGAAUUUUCAAAACAAAUAGGACCCACAUGAUUACGACCACAAGAAAAUUAAUAAUAAAUGUAUCAAAUAUAUACACUACAGGUAAUAAGAGCUAGGCAGAGAAAAAGCUACAAUACAAAAUAAGUAUAUAACCAUGCCUGAACCAUAAUGUUGGUCAUGCACGCCUCAGCCACCCGCCACCCACCCACCCACCACAUCUUGGCCACAGGUGACCGUUUUAGAGAUUUAGAUUAAAAGGAAAUGGAUAAUUAAGAGGGUUUUGUGUUGUCUCUUAUUUCUUUUUCUGGUUUUUAAUGUUUGUUUUCCAAAAUUAAAGUAUGUAUUUCUUAGAAAUUAAGCUGAAAAUAUAUAUAAAUAAAUACCAUUUUAAAGAAAAUGCUUGGAGCCAAUGUUUGAAUACCGUACCCUACAGCACUGAAGUAACCCAAGAAUCUGAAUUAUGGAGAUUUUUGACACAAAUAUCUAACAUUUCUAUUAACAGUUUAAGCUAUGCACUAUUAAAUUAUAAAUAUUUUUUAAAAUAAGUUUAAAGUUACUAUAAUUCUAUGUUCGAUUCAUACAUUCUUCAAGAAUUAUAUUUUGAAUGUUUGUCCCAAAAUUUAAAUAUUGAUAAACAAAAAUGUGAAACAAACUCAUUUUUUCAAUAUUUAAGGUUUAAAAUAUGUAGCAGAUUGUUAUUAAUUAAGCAAAUAAAGCCUUCAAUAGUUCAAGUCACAAUGUUAUGGGUUUGGCAGAAACUGUUACUUUGUUAGAUAUUUCCUGUUUCAUCAUCAUGUUCUUCAUCUUUUUUUUUUUUUUUUUUUUUUUUUGAAAAUCAUCAUCUUCUUCAUCUGAUUAUUACAGUGGGUCUUUAUUUCCGGCUAGCUUCUAAUCCAGGUGAUUAAUAGUAUAAAUAUUAAUAAAAUUCUUCCAAUUAAGGCUUAUCAGAAUCUCAUUAGACCUAAUCCCAACAAAGAAAACAUUCUCUUUGAUUUACUGUAAUAAGAUUAUUAUUUUAUAUUAAUACUCAGGUAAUCAUUUUGUAUUAAUAAUCAGGCUUGUCCGGUGAUUAUUUUGUAUUACAUUCAACAAUUAACCAUAUAAUGAGUAUUUUUUUUUUUUAAAUGACCAAUUAUUCUGCAAUUACAAAAAUAGGUCAAUUUUCAACUCUACUCAGAUUAAUUGUAGACUAGCAACAUAUAUAUUUCAAAUACUAUCAUGUAUAGACGUUUAGAAUAUAAAGAAGUAUCUCAGUCGAGUGCAUGCACUAAUUAAUAAUGGCUAAACGACGUGGAAAAUAACAGUAUAUCUAAAAACGACAAAAGAAUAGAGCUAAGAGACAUACCAUUACCCAGGUGCGCAUCUAACAAAAGUAACGGAAAACCAAAGAAAUACUGCCCCCACUUGCAGAGGGACUCCAUUAAUUAUAUGUACAAAAUCCAGCCAAAUAACACUACCAUAAAGCUAUAGAGCCGUAAUAACCUACAUGUCCCCUAAAACAAAAUAAAAAUGACCGUUACAAGAAGACCUUAGCUCUUAAAAAAUAAAACUAUGAAAAUCAAAAAUAAAAAUAAAAUAAUUAUAAAGUAACUUUACCCUUAGAGCAUUAAUAUUACAAAUGUGCCUAACUUUCUCUUUCAUGUACUUGGCUUGCAUUUCUGUAUAUUAUUUAUAAAAGCUCUUGAAGGACAAUAAAUCAAACAAGAAGAAAUUCAGUCUAUGACAUUCUGCGAAUCUCCUUCCUUCCUUCUCUCUUUUUCUCUAUACCAUUAUAUUCUCUGACCAUUUAUUGCUAUUUUAAUGGCUUCUUUUAAUUGUUUCUGUUUUAUUUUGGCUUUGUUUUUAUUGCAGUAUGCACCAUGUUUAGUUACAAGUCGUUCUAUUUUCAGGUACAGGCUCAACUCUGUUAAUGCUACUGGCUCAAACAACUCCACCAAGCACCACCAAAAAUGGGUUGGACCCGUCGGCCACCGUGUCAUCACCGUCGAUGUUAAUGGGUACGGCGAGUUUCGGUCUGUCCAAGCUGCCGUUGAUUCUGUUCCGGAGAAUAAUACAGAAAAUGUGAUGUUAUUAAUUAGCGCUGGCUAUUACAUGUAAUACUUUUCUCUAAUCUGUUAUAUAUAUGCAUACUCUUACUGGUUAAUACAAGUUAGAACCAGCUUGUCGAAGGAACUUUCUAAAGUAAGCAAAACCGUGGAUUUAGUGUCACGGGACAACAGUAAAUAGUUUUUGUUUAUCAAAAUAUUUUUCAAAAAAUAUUGAUGGUGGUGGUGGGUGCAGAGAGAAGGUGGUGGUGCCGGUGACAAAACCAUACAUAACGUUUCAAGGAGAAGGAAGAGACGUGACCUUCAUCGAAUGGCAUGAUAGAGCAAGCGAUCCUGGUCCCAAUGGACAGCAGCUACGUACUUACAGAACAGCUUCUGUUACUGUUUUUGCCAGUUAUUUCUCUGCUAGAAACAUCAGCUUCAAGGUAUAUAUAUAUAUAUAUAUAUAUAUGCAUGUACAUAUCAAAAUGACAAAAUUAAUGAAGUUAAACACGUUAAUUAAUUUUAUAUUAAGUUAAUUAUUUAUGCAUGUAGAAUACAGCACCGGCACCAAUGCCCGGAAUGCAAGGGUGGCAAGCGGCGGCCUUUAGAAUAUCCGGUGAUAAGGCCUACUUCUCAGGCUGUGGAUUCUACGGUGCACAAGACACUCUCUGUGAUGAUGCUGGCAGACAUUACUUCAAGGAAUGCUAUAUUGAAGGCUCUAUUGACUUCAUUUUUGGAAAUGGCCGCUCCAUGUACAAAGUAAUCAACUUUCAUUCUCUCUUUUAUCCAAUUACAUUCUUUGAAUUAAACCCAUUCAAGAGUUAAAGCUUGAACUUGAAAAAUAUCGAAUUUUUCAAAGGUCUGACUCAUAAUUUUCUGCAUAAAUUAAGGUCUGAGUUCGAUCCAUAAACAUGUUUUUAAAGAAUAAACCAUCAUUAACUAAACUAUUUAUAUAUAUAGAGCAUAAUAUUGAGAUAAAUAUUAAUUAAAAUACAUUAAUACAGAUGGGUCGAUAAGAGUAAAGAAUUCUCGUGACUUUAUGGGGACACAUUUUGAAAUGGAAAGGACAGAAUCUAUGACAUAAAUGAGGGAAAACGAUGUCUAUGUACUGGUCUUUUUUCUUUUUUUUUUUUUUUAAUCUUUCGGGUCUGUCUGCCUGCCUGUUGUCUGUAAAGUGAAAAAAGCAAGGAAACUUUUACUUUUUUUUUUUUAAUCUCUGAUCCAUACCAAUUUUAGGUGUCAGUGAACAGUGAUGGUGGUGCCCAACUUACUAAAAGUCUAAAAGCAAACGGAAAUAUAUAAGGGAAGAACAUCAAAGGCAGUGCCAACCAUCUGCUAGCCAACUGUCAACUGACUUUGCUGCCAUUAAUCACUAAUCCAUAUGAUUAGUUAAUUCUUUAUUAAUAUACCAAGCCUAUCAGACAUUACAUUACAUACAGUAUGAACUUUAACCGUUUUACCAUUUUUCAUAAAGUCAUAGAUACCCUUUAUAGAGCAAUCAUUAAUUGCUGAUGAUUAUGUUCUAUAAAGUGUGAUUUUAUUGUAUUAGGAGGUCAAAGUUGAGAAAGUUUGCAUGUUCACUUCUUAGACAACCGUACAUUGAUUUUUUUUUUUUUUUUCCUCACAUGUUCUUUUUUUUUUUUUUUUUUUUUUUGUUUAAAUUAUAAUUUAUUGGAGUUAAACAAUAACGAUUAUACCAACAGCGACACUUUGUUUUAAAUCCCAUUAGCCUAAGUUUUGAUUAUUGAUUGAUUGACGCAGAACUGCGAGCUACAUUCAAUAGCUACUAGAUUUGGAUCCAUUGCGGCCCAAGAUAGAAACUCUCCAGAUGAGAAAACAGGCUUUGCUUUUCUUGGCUGUAGAGUAACGGGAACUGGCCCAUUGUAUGUGGGCCGGGCUAUGGGCCAGUACUCAAGGAUAGUAUAUUCUUACACUUACUUUGAUGACCUGGUUGCACACGGUGGCUGGGAUGAUUGGGACCACGUCAGCAACAAAAACAAGUAAAUAAUUACUGCUCUAUAUUAUAUAUACGGCUAUCUAAAAUUUCGUUCGGCAACAAUUCUAAAUUAGUUUUAUAGUCAAAAUAUUAAUUUUAUUAUUUGAAGGAGUGAAAGCAACGCUUUAAUAUUUAAUAGUUAGGUAAUUUUUGGUGAUUUAACAUUGACGGUUACUUUUUGUUUUUUGUCUUAAACUUCAGGACCGCGUUUUUUGGAGUGUACAGAUGCUACGGGCCAGGAGCCGCAAAAGUGAGAGGUGUUUCAUGGGCAAGAGAGUUGGAUUUUGAAUCAGCCCACAAGUUCCUAGCAAAGAGCUUUGUAAAUGGGAGGCACUGGAUCGCACCCUCUGAUGCUUAGCCACACGAUUUUAGCAAUUUUCUUUUUGAGCAUUCAUUCAUAUAUAUGUAUAAUAAAUAUAUUCUUUUUACAGAUUUCAUUCAUUGAUUCAAUUGCAAUAAAGCUUCUUGUUUCAAUAAUUUUCUUUCACCCUUGUAAAAUUACCUAGCUUGUUGAAGUUAUAUUUGUAUCCUGUUUCGUAUAAAUAAAUUCAAAAAAUGAAAUUCACCGAUCUCACUUUCUUGCAUUGAAUUUAUAGAAUGGAUGUUUUUUUUUUUUUUUUUUUUGGUUACCCAACAUGAAGACAGAAAUAAAAUUUCUAAUAAAUUCUGAGAAUUUGGUCAAAUUUAUAUAAAUCAAGCAAGGCUCUACCUACCAUUUUGGUAAUCCGGCUUACCCAACAUGAAGACAGAAAUAAAAUUUCUAAUAAAUUCUGAGAAUUUGGUCAAAUUUAUAUAAAUCAAGCAAGGCUCUACCUACCAUUUUGGUAAUCUAUAAAGGCAAUAGAUCCUUUUUCCACCAUAUGGAGUUCAUUGGGGACAAGCAAUUCCCAUAAUUUAGAAUGCACUACUUAAAAUUUGAAACAAAAAUACUUAAACUUGAAUCAUAUACAAGUUUCAAAUAAACAUAAGGACUAAAAUUGAGUUCCUUUCUAUUAUUAGGGUGUGGGAAAAUAAAACCACCAUACUAUAUCUUUGACAAAUACAUUUCAAAUAAAUACCUAUAGGUAUAGGACAAAGGGAAAAAGCAAAUUGGUUGCAAGAAAUGAGGGCACGUCUUGCCUCACAUUAUGCAGCAAUUUGGCUGGGACUCGAGCAUCUCUGGAGAUCUGCAAAAAAAAAGAUAUCAAUCAGCCAUCUGAUGCAAACCAUCUAUAGACAUCGUUCAAUGAUUGUUAUUUCAGUGUAAAUCUUGCAUGGAAAGGUUUCUUAACACUACAGCACCAUACAUUAUUGUAGAGUUAUCAAUGUUUGAAAUGGACGCGAUGAAAAACUCAGCCAAAUCAAUUAAAUGGCUUGACUUCUCCUUGCAGCCACUUGACAAUAAAUGUCCAUUAAAAAUUCCCAUCUGAGAUCAUUUCUAGAGUGAAAUAAAGAACUCUUCCUCUUUCUCUCUCUAUCUUGUAAAAUAGACUAGAACUUGAAAAUUUAAUGGCAUAUGACAAAUCCCCCAAACUGUUGCUUUGUUGACUGUAACCGCAUUCUGACGGCUUGUUUUGAUGAAUAUUUAACGCUAGAGAACUAAAUUUACAUGGUAUAGGACAAAUGAGACUGACGUGUAUUCAUGUGCAAAUACAGACAUUAUGAAUGCUAAAAGUGGCAUAACGCAUAAGUUAAAGCACUUACAUUUGGCCAAGAUUAGCAAAGUCAAUAUCAGGAGCAAGCUCUUGCACAAUAUCAUUUGGAGGUUGGCCACAUUCUUGCAUUUUCUGCAUGAGAUCAACAAUCUUUGUGAAAUUAUUAGGUUCAUUCUCAUAAACUUUGUUAAGUUUGUUGAUGAGUUCAUAUUGGUGAGAAUAACGCUCGUAUUCAUCUUUGGUUAAACUGGUUUUGUGUUCUUCCAACCACUUUGGAUAUCUUGCUCCAAUUUCCUUCAUAGGUUCCUGAAGAAUCUCCUUAGACAAAAGUUGUUGCAUCAUCGUCUCCACGAUAGAUUCCAUGUCCUAUUCAAAAAUAACAUACUGAUAUUAAGAUAUUUCAAUCAUAAUAUGAACAAAUGAAUGCUAACAUUUAACAAGUAAAAAACUAAUAAAAGAUUUGAGAAACUUAACAAUGAAUAAAAAUCAAAAGAAGUGCAACAGCAUGUAAGGGUUUUUAGUCAUCAGUUUGGUCAAUUUGAAGCAAAAGCUCUAACUGAAGGAAUCAAGUUAUACUUGAAACAAUCCAAAUCAAGAACUUCUUUCUAUUGAUGCAACUAAUGAAACAAAGGAGCUCUGAGAGAACUUAAAGGAAUUUAAAUAACUUGAAACUAGCACAUCAUGAUGACUUCAAUAUUCAAACUCCAUGACAACAUAAACCUGUAGAAUAACUCAUCUAUUAUCGCAAAUAAUGUAAUGUCAUAUAAUAUUAAGUUCAAUAAGGUUUUCAUAAAUUUUCAUAUUCUUAAGCCAUAAUCAAAGAGCGCCUUUUAGUUUGGCUAUAUUUAGUAACCAGAAGCAGCCAAGGAAUAAUAAAAUCAUUCUGGGUUUGGAUAGAGUUGAUUCAAUUUGUCUUAAUCAGUUUGAUCAGUGUUUAAUUGCACAUGUCCUAUAUAUUUUCUUACCAAUAAGCAGGAGGACAGGAUGCAAAUUAUUUCUUAAUUCCAUAAUAUCUACUAAUGGAAUUGUAUAUUUCACUAGUCAUUGCUGACAGGAAAAUCUUACAAUCUUAUAUUGAUAGCAGCUUAACAUUACCAUGAAAAUAUCUCUUCUACUUACUUUUGUAUACCUUAAUCAAUUUCAAAUCUUGAAAGAACCAUCACCAAUUGAAGAUUAUCUAAGCCUUGCACAUCAAAGGCACAUUUUUUUCCCUUAAAUAUCUUGAUUUAAUAAGCCAGUCAAAAAUUUGAAGAGAAAAUAUGGUCUUGAUAAAAGUAGAAAAAAGACGAUAAAUUAGAGCAAUCAUUGAACACCUGCUCCCAUGAUCCUAAACCUUAUGAACCAAAAUCCAUAGGAUAAUGUACCAAAAUAAGCACAAACAUUAUUCAACCAUAGCACAAAUUCCAAAACCAGAAAUUCUCGAUCCAAACAUUACUUUUAAAGAAUUUGAUAUUAUCAAAAUGCCUGUGGCCUGCCUCAACUUUAAUUUCUACACCCUCAGAGUUAUAAAUCAAUACAACAGAAACCAAGCACAACCCCAGCAAAAGCAACGUCCUAAAUGUUACUGCUAAUAGAAAACCACUUGAACCUAUUCGAAAUCACUCAAAACCACUAGAUUAAACCAAGAAAGGAAAGAUCAACAAGUUUACCUGAGAGCCAGCAAGCUCCUCAAAUUGCUUAACCCAAUCCUCCAGAAAUGCAUCCUUACCAAAAUCAUCUGGUUUUGGACUUGUGACAGACUCCAAGCCCUUGACAGCUUCCCUAGUCUGCUCCCUAAGUUGAUCAAGCGCCUCUGCGACAUGGGACUCCUUUGAAACCUUUUGCUUUCCCUUUUUCUUAUUUUUCAAGUCAGGUAACCCCAUACCCAACCCCUGAACCCCCAUUGGCAGUGAAGCUGAUGAUUCUUGCUGCUUGUUCUCUUUAUUACCAUCUCCUCCUCCACUCCUAAAAUCAAAUUAACAUCCCCCCAAAAAAAGGGACAGACAAACAACAGCUACAGGAUUUAAAUUUUAGAAAAUGCACAGAAAAUCAAAGCUUAUAAAUGAGUGUGGUUAGAGAAAGUCCAGAACACUAUUUUAACCCCUCGCCACUUUUUAAGUCAAAAAGCGGACAAUUCAAUCUAAUUACAAAAACACAAUAGAAAAAUGGGCUAUAAUUUACAAAAAAUUCAAUAGAUAAAAGAAAAGGAGAGACCUUUGAGAGGAAGGAGCGAGGUUGAGACCCUGGAAAUCGUCAAGAGCACCUGUAAAUAUUGAAAAGCGAAAAAAUUCAUACUCGUAAAGAGGAAACAAAAAGUGGGUUUUAGGGGGAAUUGGGUUUACUGUCAAGGAGUUCGUCUAAAUCAUCGUUGUGACUAUGGUCAGCCAUGACUGGAACAAUCUCUCUAUCACUUUCUCAAAUUGAAGAAAAUGUAUGAAAAAAUUAUGUGCGUCUUUCGCUUGGAUUGAGGGUUUAGAUGAUGAAAUUUUGACGACUCCUGUUGGCGGUGCCACCCACAAAAAAUAUCCAAAGAUUCUGAAUUCUGACUCGGUGAAGAGGGCUUGACUCUUUUGGGACCGAAACCGUCCCUUUGCGGGGAAUAUUUUUCUGAUAUUUUUGCUAUUAUCUUUAAUUGUCCCAAUUUUUUCUUUUUGGUGGUGGCCAUACCGCUCCGGUGUAAAUUAAUUAUUAGGGUCAAAAUUAAAUAUAUUAUUUUCACAUGUGUUUAUUUGAAGUAUAUUUUAUGACUCGCUUCUGAUUUAACAUAACAAUAAAAUUUAAUUAAUAAUUAAAUUGAGCUUUUCUAGGGAAAUAAUCAAUUUUUUUCAGAUAAAUUAAAUCGAACUUUAUUAGCUUAUAUUAAAUUAAAAUUAGUAUUAUUUUAAAGUAUAUUCUUAUUAAAUGCCAUUGAUUUUCUUCCCGCUAUAGCACCAAAAUCUCUUGCCAAAUUUUUGGCCCCUCGUAGAGGAGAGACAAUGGAAAUAAAAUCUCUCGUUAAAUGAAAAAAAUAAUUUUUAAAAAUUAUGGAAAAAAUUAAUAUCCAAAAAUAAUUAUAAUAACAACUCCGUGCUGCUUUACUUAGCCGCUCAUCAUAGAAAUCAUUAAAGGUAAAAUAAAAACUCCAUUAUAACUGAAAAGAAUAACAAUGCAAGUAUGAUGAUCAAUAGACCAAGGAGUAUAUAAGCAUAUGGUUCAGUCGAGUUUUUUUCAAGGAGUUUGUAAGAUAAACUAGAUUUUUCUUUAACCAUGAAGAUCUUUUUCCUCCUCAAUCGUGUUGAAGACUUGGCCAGGCAAGUGGCAACAUAAUAACAAAAAUAUCAAUAGCAGACUUCAUCAUAUGCAUUCCCAAUUUUCUGAUUUACAAAUUUCCAGACAGAAAAUGCAACUUGAAACACAAAUAGAAAAGAGGUAUCAUCUGCUGUUCAGAAAACAGCCUGUCGCCAUCUGAUAGACAUGCUGGUAACCCAAUCCAUGUGAAUUAAAACAGAAUUAGCCAUUCCAGCAGUAACUAGAAAUACUUUUAUUUGUAUAACACCAACAGAAGCCAUAAUACAGAUUAUGGCUACGACGCUAAAGACUACCAAUAGUGAUCAUUUGAACAUUGAUUAGCAGUUGAGAAUAUCAGUAUAUUUAACAAAUGAUUCCCUCCAAAAGCCAAUUCAAUAACUAAACUCACCUUAAGAGUCAGAACUACUGAAAAGUAAAAUUCAUUGUUUAACUAAGCCCAUAUUAAAUUCAUUACUUCACUAGAAGAGACCCCAGAUUCUGCGGACACAGCAGGAAAUCUGAAGUGCGGGCUGUGAUGCUAAUGAGAGGAGGAUCUGAUAACUCACGUUAAGAUUCUUAGACUGCAGUUGCAGGAUUUGUCUCAAAAGUUAAAGCAGCUUCUGAUUGUUGAGACAUGGAACUUUGUGAGAAUUGAUGGUCCAAACCUGCUGCUACUGAUGCUGAUUGGUGAGCUUGAGAAGAAUAGUAAACACCAUGUGGGGGAAAUGAGCCUUGAUGACCAUAGAAAGGUUGACGGACUUGGGGGAAGGAAUAAGUUUGUGCAAUUGGAUUGGGAGGGUAAAGCACCUGAAGCCCUGUUGGCCCAUACAAAGCCUGAUGACCUUCAAAUCGUUUAAGCUUAGCAAUGUGCUUUUUACCAGAAAAAUGGCGAUUAAGAACCUCCCCUGUAUCACACUUGACGUUGCAUAGAUCACAUAUUAGGGGAGCUACAACUUUAGGUUUGGGAGGUUCGACUGGUCGUCUAUGAGUUUCAGAAAUCUUCAUAUGCUUGACUCCCCGACCACCCUUCAUUUUGCGUUUCAUUCCACGUGUCCUACUAUCAAACAAUUUCUUCUUCUGCUUCCUUCCUUGCUGAUCAGACAACUGCUCUGCUGGAACUUCAAGUUUUUCCUCUGUAUUAUUCUGCAGAUCGUUCUCCAUUCCAUUUUCAUCACUGGCAGCUUCAGCAGGUAAGUUUUCUGCUGACUUCUGCUCUUCACCAUCCUGUGCAAUCUGAGGCUGCUGAGCUUCUUCUGGCUUGAAAUCAUUUACAGGUUCCUGAUCAUUUCUUCUCUCUUCCCCUAGUUUAGUAGUAGUUUUCAACUCAUCGAUCCUGAGCAAGUUCUUUUUAUGCCGCUUUCCAUUUUUGUGCUGCUCAAGAAUUUCCAAACUAGUGCAGUCUACCCUACAAAGUUCACACCAAGCAAUCUGAACAGUUCGACAGUUAGAACCUACAUUUUCUGGUGCUGAAGCAGAUUGAUUUGCCUUUUGAACUGCAUCAGAAUGUUCUGGAUAGGAAGAUGUUGCACCUUGCUGUUGGAAGUGCCUAGAACGAGCCUUACCCCGCCCAUGUCCUCUUCCACGAAAAGAAGAAGCAGAACCAUGGUGGUGUCCUACAUUACCAUGGCCACCUCCUCGGGAUGGUCCACCAUCCCUACGUGGAUAUCGACCAUCCUGCAAAAUAUACUUAAAAGGUUCUCAAUAAUGUAAAAAAAAAGCAUAGCAAUAUGUGCUUCUACAAGCCAAGCAAAAGAGGCAAAUCAAAAUAUCUUAAUAUUAAACUCUACUCUGUGACAAAUCUCCAGUCCACCAGCAUUUUAAAUUGCAAGUUAGUGAAUAAACUUAGGCCAAAGAAAAAUUCCUUACCAUAAUCAAAAUUUUUAUCUUAAACGCAAAAACAAGUAUUUAGAAUUUGGAAAUAUUUUGCUAAAACACUAGAAUUGAUCUCAAGCAUGUUAUUAAACGAAGAUACUCCUUUUUCAAAUGUCAAUAAACAGAAACAAAUAAAAUCAAGGAUCCAUUUGGAUAGAUAGUCAUUUGAAAUUAUUCUGGAUUUGGAUUUGAGUUUCAACUAUAAAAUCAUAAAAAUUAUCAUGGUUCCAUAUUCAAAAGCUCAAUCAUUCAAAUGACUAACUAUCCAAAUGUAACCUUAGAUUAAACUUCUAUAUAUCCAGCAGCGGCACCCUAACUGAAUCCGUCAGAACCUCUGUUGCUCUGACUUUUUACUAUUACCCUAGGGACCCUGUUUACACUAGAAUCGGCAUGGGUACUUGGGUAUGAUUCUCCAUAUAUAAGGAAGAACAUACCAGAAAAUUAAAUAUACAUGUGUCGAUCAUGGUUAUGCAUUCGACACUUGUACAAAGUCUGAGCAACAUAGGUUAAGAUAGUAAGCUUCUGACAUGUUCCGAGUUUUUUUUUAAACCAGAUUUAAUACAGAACCUGCCAAAAGUAAAUUUCUGACAUCAUCCAAGCUAUCCUUGUUUUCAGCCACCAGGAUACUUACCAUGAGCAAGGCAAGUGAAUUAAAAGAUCCAUACCUAUUCUUUCUGGCAAGCAAUCCAAGACCAAUGAAAAUGCCUCCUCAUUCAACAUCUCCUAGUUGGCAAAUGACAAAUUUCAGCAACUCCCUUGGCCUAAUGGAAGUCAUAGUGUACCAACAUCAAUAGAGUUUAAAGGUAAGAAUAAGUCAAGGAUAUUAGAAUACAAUUGUGACUAGGCUAAGGUAGCCAUGGCCCACCAAAUUUAGCCUAGGAUUGUGAUUGCUGCACUAGGAUGGAAUCAUUUGAUCAAGUUAAUCCUAAGGUUAAUUGUUUGCAAAUUCAAUGAGUUGAAGCUCGCUAGACUCAAUCCUCUUUCUAUUCUAAACCUCACAGCCAUAAGUUAUGCAAAUUCUAUACGAGGCCCAUUCCAUAUUAACUAGAAACCAUAAAACUUUCAAAUGCAAAAAGACAAGGUGAUCCUUGUCAAUCUCAGCAAGCACUAACUAGAUUUGCAGAUUCAGCGGACCAAACCUACAAUUUGGUGCCAUUUCAAAACCAGUCAUUCUCACUCUUUUCAGAUAUGUAGAACAAGUUAUGGUUGAAGAAUACAGCACUGAAAAUAAUCAUGUUUCAUAAGCUAGUUGAUUCAGACUACAUGAAAUCUGAUUACCAGGCCAAUUUAAAUCAGGAGAUUUUGAGAAACCCAAACAUGUCAAUCAGUUUCUCAGAAGAGCAAACUAUCUUCAAUUGGGUCCAAUGUGAGGAACGUCCUAGAUUUUCUAAACCAAGAACUUGUUCUAACAAUCCUUGUAAAAGGAGUCUGAUAAAGAGAAGAAAACAAGAUUAGCAAAGUGAUCAAGCUGCUAGCCCACAAUAUAUGAACUGUGCAUUCAGGGAGGGUAUGAAACUUAAAGCUAGCAAGAACUACCUGAUAUCCAUUUUCACUCUUAUAGUGAUUCAAGAAUUGAACUAUUAUUUUCAUGUUUUUCAUAUUCUAUCCAUCAUAAUUAAAAGUCAGCAAAAUGUCCAUAUAUGUUCAUGCCCUCUUAUCUGAUAUCCUGCAGUAGAAACCUCAUAUGAUAAACAGACAUUUAGUUUCAAAAAAAUUUUAUUCAAUGGCAUAAGAGCUGGUUGAGUGUGCUCAAAGGGCAUUUCGAUCAAUGGGGAGAUAAACUGAGCAGUGAGAAAAUUAAUUUUGAAUUUUCAGGUCCAAAAAUAUAAAUUUCUAAGGUUAAGUCCUUCAUCCAGAAACCAGGAAAAAAUACCUGAAUUUAAAAAAAAAAAAACUGAAUCUCUAAGUCCUAGUCGGAUGUGUGUUGCAUGGUCGAUCAAAACAACUUCCGCCAACCUCAGAUAGAAGGGAUAGAGCAAAUACAAAAAAAAAAAAAAAAAAAAAAAAACAAGGAUCCAUUUGGAUAGAUAGUCAUUUGAAAUUAUUCUGGAUUUGGAUUUGAGUUUCAACUAUAAAAUCAUAAAAAUUAUCAUGGUUCCAUAUUCAAAAGCUCAAUCAUUCAAAUGACUAACUAUCCAAAUGUAACCUUAGAUUAAACUUCUAUAUAUCCAGCAGCGGCACCCUAACUGAAUCCGUCAGAACCUCUGUUGCUCUGACUUUUUACUAUUACCCUAGGGACCCUGUUUACACUAGAAUCGGCAUGGGUACUUGGGUAUGAUUCUCCAUAUAUAAGGAAGAACAUACCAGAAAAUUAAAUAUACAUGUGUCGAUCAUGGUUAUGCAUUCGACACUUGUACAAAGUCUGAGCAACAUAGGUUAAGAUAGUAAGCUUCUGACAUGUUCCGAGUUUUUUUUUAAACCAGAUUUAAUACAGAACCUGCCAAAAGUAAAUUUCUGACAUCAUCCAAGCUAUCCUUGUUUUCAGCCACCAGGAUACUUACCAUGAGCAAGGCAAGUGAAUUAAAAGAUCCAUACCUAUUCUUUCUGGCAAGCAAUCCAAGACCAAUGAAAAUGCCUCCUCAUUCAACAUCUCCUAGUUGGCAAAUGACAAAUUUCAGCAACUCCCUUGGCCUAAUGGAAGUCAUAGUGUACCAACAUCAAUAGAGUUUAAAGGUAAGAAUAAGUCAAGGAUAUUAGAAUACAAUUGUGACUAGGCUAAGGUAGCCAUGGCCCACCAAAUUUAGCCUAGGAUUGUGAUUGCUGCACUAGGAUGGAAUCAUUUGAUCAAGUUAAUCCUAAGGUUAAUUGUUUGCAAAUUCAAUGAGUUGAAGCUCGCUAGACUCAAUCCUCUUUCUAUUCUAAACCUCACAGCCAUAAGUUAUGCAAAUUCUAUACGAGGCCCAUUCCAUAUUAACUAGAAACCAUAAAACUUUCAAAUGCAAAAAGACAAGGUGAUCCUUGUCAAUCUCAGCAAGCACUAACUAGAUUUGCAGAUUCAGCGGACCAAACCUACAAUUUGGUGCCAUUUCAAAACCAGUCAUUCUCACUCUUUUCAGAUAUGUAGAACAAGUUAUGGUUGAAGAAUACAGCACUGAAAAUAAUCAUGUUUCAUAAGCUAGUUGAUUCAGACUACAUGAAAUCUGAUUACCAGGCCAAUUUAAAUCAGGAGAUUUUGAGAAACCCAAACAUGUCAAUCAGUUUCUCAGAAGAGCAAACUAUCUUCAAUUGGGUCCAAUGUGAGGAACGUCCUAGAUUUUCUAAACCAAGAACUUGUUCUAACAAUCCUUGUAAAAGGAGUCUGAUAAAGAGAAGAAAACAAGAUUAGCAAAGUGAUCAAGCUGCUAGCCCACAAUAUAUGAACUGUGCAUUCAGGGAGGGUAUGAAACUUAAAGCUAGCAAGAACUACCUGAUAUCCAUUUUCACUCUUAUAGUGAUUCAAGAAUUGAACUAUUAUUUUCAUGUUUUUCAUAUUCUAUCCAUCAUAAUUAAAAGUCAGCAAAAUGUCCAUAUAUGUUCAUGCCCUCUUAUCUGAUAUCCUGCAGUAGAAACCUCAUAUGAUAAACAGACAUUUAGUUUCAAAAAAAUUUUAUUCAAUGGCAUAAGAGCUGGUUGAGUGUGCUCAAAGGGCAUUUCGAUCAAUGGGGAGAUAAACUGAGCAGUGAGAAAAUUAAUUUUGAAUUUUCAGGUCCAAAAAUAUAAAUUUCUAAGGUUAAGUCCUUCAUCCAGAAACCAGGAAAAAAUACCUGAAUUUAAAAAAAAAAAAACUGAAUCUCUAAGUCCUAGUCGGAUGUGUGUUGCAUGGUCGAUCAAAACAACUUCCGCCAACCUCAGAUAGAAGGGAUAGAGCAAAUACAAAAAAAAAAAAAAAAAAAAAAAAAAGGGCCUACCAAUGAGAAUUUUCAAUUUUGGAAGCAACUUGUUAUCUACUGGGUAAGUGAUCAUUGUACUUUCAUAUGCUAAUUUGGUACAGUUAUAGGCAGGCCAGCAUAGGCAACUCAGUUUUCCUACAAAUAUUUAAAGGAAGAAAGAGAGGAAAUUGUCCAUUCCCAUUUACAUGGACACAGAUUUUACAGGUCCCAGUUGUAUCCAAUAGCAAUGAGCACCAAAUGAGAAGAAGUUGGCAAAUAGCAGGAUAUAAAAAAAUGGGUUUGAGAAGCAAUGCUUUUUGAAGCUACUCAUAACUCCACCAGGAUAUAAUAACUGUAUUCAAUGUUGUAAUGAUGCUUUUAACAUAUUUCUAUUUUACUUGAACCUGGUACAUUUUUUCCCCUAUGCACAGUGGAGUAGCUUGAUCCUGCAAACAACCAUGGCAUCCCAAACAGAAGCAUCUCAAUGCACUGGCUGUUCUUUUAUACAUUUUGUAAAGUGUGAAGCUAAAUGUCCAAAUUUGACUUAGAUAGGAGCUCUGAGGGCAGAAUUAUGUCUGACAGAAAAUAGCUGACUGGCUUAGUUAAAGCAUGACUUUGUUCACUUGAUGGUCCAAAAUGACCAAAAUUUGGUUUUUCAUAUGUCAGUAAUGGUAUGAUGUAAACCAUCAUUGAAGUCUAAAGACUAGCAUUCUUUAGAGUAAGUAAAAAUGUUUCAAAAAUGGACUACACCAUAUAAUGAUUGUCAUCCAUAAAAUGUUCAGCAGCAACAGACCAAAAUAUACCUGCGAUGUUCAAAUGCACAUAGAAUAUGCUAUGGAACGUUUUAUUCUCAGCAAUCUAGAGCAGCUACAGAAUAACAAAAACUAUAGCUAACUUCAACAAUGAACAUGAUAUAUUGCAAAGUAAAAGCACAAACUGGGAUGCCAAAAGAUCUAAAAUUCAGUUCUGGCCAGUUUUAGGCUACAAGAUCAGUUAUUAAACUUUCCUCAACCUCAACCUACCAAUAUGUGAAGCAAGCACAUUAAAAAGUAACCUUUCAAAUGAAGGGUCACCAGAAUGAUAUAUUUUGUAUGCAUGUAUACAUAUGCCGAUAUGUGUGUCUGCACGCAUGUUCCACACCCGCCUGAACACGCGCAACCGUAGAGAAGAUGAGGUGCAUAGCAACAUCAACAUAUUACAAGUGAUUCAGUAGUCAACCACUAUCAUAUCUCAUUAAUUUCACAAGCGAAUUAUUAAGAAUCAAUGACUGUCAUAUCUGAUUAAUUUCAAAAGCAAAUUAUUGAGAAUUGCAUCAAUACUCAAGAAGGAUUGAGUGAGUUCCCCUCUCAAAUUGUCUUAUAUCACAUUUCCAACUAAUUUAACGAAACUUUUGGCCCCAUGAGAAUAUUCCUUUGUACACUGAAGAGCAGAAAAUGAAAAAAGUCACAAUUUUAAAAUACGAAGUACACAAGUCCAAAUUUUAGAAACCAUCAAAUGCAACAGUAAAUCAAAUAGGAGAAAAUGGUCAAUUGCCCUAAGAACAUAAGACAUCAGUGAGAACGCCCCCUAAACUUACAAUUUAAAUUUAACAAAAUCACAAACACCUUACCGGAUGACGCAUUGGAACACGCAUAAAUCCCGGACUCUUCGCCGGUAACCCAGCCAUUGCCCUCUCCGCAGCGUCCAUAGUCCCCGCAAAUUGCGUCAGCUGCUCUAGAGCCGCGAUAGCCGCAGCGGCAGCUGGAUUCAUCCCCGGAGGAGGCGGCGGCACAACUACAUUUACCGAAGUCUGAGGCGGAGGAUAGGCGCUCUGCGGGUGUUGCUGCUGUGCCGCCUGCAACGAUGCCCCAGUUCCACCAGAAUCGGCAAUUUGUGGCACUUCUUGUGGAGCAGAAACCCCUGGAGCAGACUCAUGAUGAUAAUACGGGGGUUGCUGAUAAGCAACUGAGUAAUCGGGCUGGUAAUAAGCGUAGUGUUGUAUUUGUUGGCCGUAUUGCCAUUGAUUUUGAUCUGGGUAUUGCUGAUAAUACGAAUAAUAAGACUGGUCAUAAGAUUGAAACUGGGUUUGAUAGUAAUAAUCUUGAACUUGGUAUUGUGGGUAUUGGAGGGCUUGCGUUUGCUCUUGUAACUGCGGGUUUAGCUGGUCGAUGGUGGUCGUCGUGCUGAGGUGUUGUUGCUGGUCAGGUUCAGGAAUAGAUGAUACGUCCAUUUUUGGUGUAUGAUCUUUUGGCGAUUGGCGAUUGGGUUGGUUAUGGGGAAAAAGAGAAGGGAAGGGGAAGGGGAAGGAGAAGGAAACUGAACGUUUUCUUGUUUUGGGUCGAACUUGAAUAGAUGGAACGACGGGAUAUUUGGCACUGACGCUGGUGGUUAGUGCUGGUAAAGGGGUUGCUACCAAGUGGUGGAGUAGCAAAAUCUUUUUACUCGAAAGGCUCGCAAUCAAAUUAAGCAAUGUCCAAGCAUGCCCAAGCCGAACCCAAUUACGGUUUUUGGAAUUUUUUUUUGUUCUUCAGAUGGGCUUUCUGUGGGCUUAUUAUCUUCUUCUCUACUAUUGUUAGCCCUUCUCUUUUUCACAAGAAAAAAGGAAAAAUCGAACAUGUACGAAGGGGUAAAAUUGAAUAUUUGCUCAAAUCCAUUAACUGGACCGCGAUUGUACACAACGAUGGGGCAAUAUUUACAAUUUACAUAAAAAUAAGGGGCAUUCACGAAAAAAAUGGAAAAAGAAGUGGUCAGUGUAAGAAUUCGAAGUAUACAGCGCAUCAAACACAGAAUCAAGCUUUCAACUUCCAUUCUCUUCCUGUAACCAAAGCCACACUCAGUGGAUAUAAAAGUAUAAAACCACCAAUAAUCCGAACCCAACAAACACGAGUAAGCAAAUGGCUGUUGCUGCUUUAGCACCAGCUACUUCCCUCCGUUUCAGUCCCUACUCAACCAUCCGGUUCCUCUCCUCCUACUCCAAAUCAAAUCCUAGAAACCUCCCUACAACAAUCCCCAAAACCCUGCUAAAACCCCAUGCUCUCCCGCCAAAAUUCUUCCGGCUGCUCCCACCACAAGGCGAGCCCCGCCGCAGGUCUUUCUGCACCGUCAUUUCCGGUGCUAUGCAGUCCGGUGAGAGGACCAAACAGGAAUCCAUGGAAGACCGAAGGGGCGAAACGGGAGAUAGAGUCGGGGCCUUUAGGAAAAAGCUGAAGAUAGCUGACAUAAAGGGUGGGCCCGAUGAAGGAUUGGAUCGGGUCGGACACACUCUAGUUGUGAUGGGGUGGGUCCGGACACUCCGGGUUCAGAGUAGCGUUACGUUCAUUGAGGUAAUGUUUAUCUAAUUAAGAUGGAAGAAUCUACGAUUUUGAACUGAGUUUGAUUUACGUUUUGUUGGUGUUUCUUCUAAGUAUUUUUGGGUUGGCAAUAUAUAUUUUCUUGAGCUGUGUGUUAAUUCUAUGAUAUAUGCAUUCAGGUUAAUGAUGGUUCAUGCCUGUCAAACAUGCAAUGUGUAAUGGAUAUGGAAGCUGAAGGUUAUGACCAGGUAUCACAAUGACCAAUAGAUUGGUGUUCAUUUUGAAUUUGCAUUUAUAGAACUAGAUAUAGUUGUUGUUGCUCAGAUUCUAAGUUCUAAUUCUUUCUUUAAGAAUUUUCUCAAUACUGGUAUCUUGAGGAGUCUAGUUCCUUAUAAAUUGGUUAAUGAACAUGUGCAUGUGUUUCCUUCACUGCAUAAUUAUUUAGGAUUAAACCUAGUACUGGUGGUGGGUGUACUUCUGUUAUUCUCCUUCUAUAAUCUGGUUUGCUAUCAUGAACUAAUGUUUUUCUUUCCUUUUCUAAAAUAUGCAGUUGUCUCCAUUUGUCGCUACCUUGAUAUUUUCAUGUCUAUAUUAUUGUCACUUUCUUUUUAUUUAGCAUGGAGCUUGUUAAUAGGUAGACUCUGGUUUGGUGACAACUGGUGCAUCAAUAUGGGUACAAGGGACAGUAGCAAAGAGCCAAGGGUCAAAGCAAAAGGUGGAACUGAAGGUUACAAAAAUUGUAGCGGUAUGGCUUCCUGUUAAAUUUGUUUUUUUUUAGUUUGAUGUGAUUGGAGAGUUUGCUCUUCCAUAUUAACUUUGCAUCAUAUGUUUUCCAUUUCAAUUAAGUUUUCAGUUCAUAGGCAGGGGCAGAUCUACCUUAUGUACUGGAUACCUACCGCCCCCAAGUUUUUCAAAAUUUAAUUUUUCUCCACUGAAUUAUAUAAAUAUUUUCAAAAAUAUCCAUGUUUUCCCUCCCAAAGUUUUUCAAAAAUUCAAUUCCCCCCUAAAUUUUAUAUAUCUUUUCAAAAAUAUCCAUAUUGGUCUUGAAUUUUGCUUUGAAUUUUUCUUUUUCUUUUUUCUCUUUUCUUUUUAACACUUUUGUCUCCCCCAAUACAAGUCUAGUUCUGCCCUUGUUCAUAGGUAUGCUUAUAUGUAUGAUUUCUAUUUGUGUGGUUGUAUAUUUAGUCAACCAGCAUUGCAUGAAUGCAUUACAUUAACUCUGUUGAAAGUGAGGACAGCUAACACAGCUACUUAUCAAACACAUUGUCUCACUCAGUGAUGUGCCUUGGCACGUAAUACCUUACUUGAGAAUGAUAUCUUUUGUUGAGUUAUGAGUUCUUAAUGUUGCUCAGCCAGAGGUACACAAAAUAUUCUGCAUUUCUUAGUCUAAAGGCUUCAAUUGAUGCACUGAAAGUACUGUCUUUUGGAUAUUAAAUGCAAUCAGACUAUUUUGCUUUGCUGAAUGCUAGAUGUAGAUUCCCUGUUGUUUGACCACUUAGAUUGGAGUUUCCCUGUUGACUGGAAGCUGUUAUUUUGAAUUUUAACUGAAAAGUUGAGAACAUUAUCACCAUUUCUUUUUGUUGAAGUUCAAAACAAUAGCUUCCAAUCAACAGAGCAACUCCUAACUAAAUGGCUAAAUAACAUGAAAUUUACAUCUACCACUAUUCUGUGCAUUAGCAAAUGUAAUGUUUGUUGGAUGAUGCAAAUUGCUAAAAUAAUGAAUGAUCUGCGAUAAAGAAUGAUAAAAUUCAGAUGCAUUUGGUUUGAAAGUGAAACCAUAUAUUGCAACACUUGGUGAAUUAAUGAUUUGUUUUAUGAUGAAAGGCAUCCCUAGUGGAUUAAGCUCCCUAUUUAAGAUUGAUUUUGCUUAGUGUGUAAUUUUAAAUAGAUUUUAUGCUUUUCAUAUUCAAUCUUUGAAGAAUAUUUUGGAAUACUCCGGUCUCCUUGAUGACCUUCUGUUAUGUUUGCAGAAAUUUAAGGCUAUUUUUUGAGCUCUUUUAAAUAUUUUUUGAAAACUUGAAAAAGGAAUGACAACAAAAGCUCCAGUCAUUUUUGGGCCUAUAGCCAAAUUGUGCACCAAGGCUGCUCACUGCACUAGCACCUAGGCCAAGGAACACGAUCCAUAAUGAGGUUUUGUUUACAUCAACAUAUGCACAGAACCAAGGAAGAGAGAAUCCACUUGAAUGAUGUCAAGAAAAGCUGCACGACUUUUGGGCGCCAACCUGCAUAUCAUCUAAAUGUGUUAUUGUUGCUUGUUUUUACAUUAAAAUAACUUUUCUUGUUGUAGGUUGGCAAGAGUGAUCCAUCCUAUCCCAUUCAAAAGAAAAGAGUCAGCAGAGAAUUUUUGAGAACUAAAGCUCAUCUUCGUCCUAGAACAAACACAUUUGGUGCGGUAUGGCUUUGCUGCUCAUUUCUGAUCUAACUUUUGGUUUUUUCUUUUUUAGUAAUGCAAAUUGGUUCUAGGUUGCAAGGGUAAGGAAUGCUUUGGCUUUUGCUACACACAAGUUUUUUCAAGAAAAUGGGUUUGUCUGGGUCUCAAGUCCUAUUAUCACAGCUUCAGAUUGUGAAGGGGCGGGCGAACAGUUCUGUGUUACUACUUUGGUAUGUAGCAUUACAUUAUUAAUGGCCAAUUUCUGUCCUUUUGCCUGAUUUUGUACAAUGCUUUAUGGGGCCAAUUGGUUCCCAGAGAUCAACAUUUUCAUGGGAAAUGACAUUCUUAGGAAAUUAUUACCAAUUUUAGUGUUCAAAGUUUCAUUUUCUAAUUAGUAUUCAAAUUUUGCAGGCAGAAAUGAUUUUAUAAAGAUAAUGUAAUUCAGGGUGACUCCAUUUUGUGCAAGAUUUUUAUUAGUGACUAUCCUGCAGUGAUUUUAUGACAUUGCUGUUUAACUUGAUACUUUAUGGAUUUCAUUGAGUUUAGUAACAGUUUUGUUAAUUCACAGAUUCCAAGCUCUCGGGAAGCAGUUGAUUCUCAUGUGGAUGGCAUUCCAAAAACAAAGGACGGACUAAUUGAUUGGUCUCAAGUGAGUUCAUCGUAAUUUUUUUUUCUUUCCAUGCUUUAGCAUUUGUUGUUUAAAAUGGUUACCUUGUGGCAAUUUUCAUUAAUUUAAUAUAGCUGGUGCAAUCAGGGUUAAUGCGAUCCUUUUUAGUUGGUUUGCACUUUGCAGUCAUACAUAGUGUUGUGAUUAGAUUCAAAAAUAAGAUUUCCUUGUGGUUCUUGGUCACGAGAAAAGUUAUUUUAUCGUGUGUGACAACACAAUGUAUAUGAAACUAGGGUGAGUUUGAAGUCAUUUCACUAGGUAUCAUUUUCACUUUCUUUAUUCAUUUCUCAGGAUUUUUUUGGCAAACCAGCAUUUUUGACAGUUUCUGGCCAGCUCAAUGGUGAAACAUAUGCUACUGCUCUAUCAGAUGUAUAAAUUUUCUACUCAUCCUUGUCUUCAUAAAAGCCACUUUGAAAAUGUGAGCUAUCUGAACCCUUUUGAUCGUACAAUUCUACAAUUUCUCUCAGGUGUAUACAUUUGGUCCCACAUUUCGAGCUGAAAAUUCUAAUACUUCUAGACACUUAGCUGAAUUUUGGGUAAGCAUUCCUUGUUAAUUUUUAUUAUUAUUAUUAAUAUUAAUGCGUCUCAUGUGCUAGUGUAGUAUCUUACUACUCUCUUUCUAUCCCUUUAUAUAAGAUGAUUGAACCAGAACUUGCAUUUGCUGAUCUGAAUGAUGACAUGGCCUGUGCAACUGCCUAUCUCCAGUAUGUAGUAUGUUACCUUUCACACCAUCUUUGCCAUUAAUUCAACACUUAUGGAGUGGAAGCAGCUUGCAGCCACUCAGAAGCACAUUUACUAAUUGGAUGAUUUACAUAUUUAUGUUUUCAAGGUGAGGCAUAUACUUGACAAUUGCAAGGAAGAUAUGAACUUCUUCAAUACUUGGAUUGAGAAAGGCAUCAUCGAUCGAUUGAGUGUAUGAGUUCUCAAGUGUAACUUAUCCUUCUUCAACCUUUCUGUCAUACAUUUAAUCUCUUGCUGUUACUUUGUUUUAUUAAUUUGGUUCACAAUGUGAUGGUUUGGGCUUCACAAUAAUGCCCAAAUUUGACAGAUUUUAUCAUGCAUGCCUUGACAUUUUGGAAUUUUAUUUUUUUUAUCAACAGGAUGUUGCUGAGAAAAACUUUGUGCAGUUGACAUACACUGAUGCAGUUGAACUUCUUCUUAGAGCAAAUAAGAAGUUUGAAUUUCCGGUACUGUAUGUUUUACUUCUAUCCUUUCUUUGGUAAUAGGUGGCAUAUUUGAUUGGAUAUUUAUUCUGUAGAGUAACUGUUUCUACUACCUUCUAAAUGUCUUUUCUUUGUUCAGGAUAAGUGACUACUCUGAAUUUCUAUUUCUUAUCUCUUUCAUUUUUUUCCUGCUAUUUCUUGAUAUGAGGUGAAAUACUCUUUUCUCUUGCACAUUUCUAGGUGAAAUGGGGAUGUGAUUUGCAAAGUGAGCAUGAGCGAUAUAUUACUGAAGAAGCAUUUGGUGGAUGCCCUGUCAUAAUAAGAGAUUAUCCAAAGGCAUGCCCCUUACAAGCUCUCUUUUUCUUUUGAUUUUGAAGAAGGCCAGACACAUAUGGAAUCUAUUACUGUUCUUGUUCUGAAUCUCUCAAUGUAAAACUCUCAGGAGAUCAAGGCUUUUUAUAUGAGGCAAAAUGAUGAUGGGAAGACUGUUGCAGCCAUGGAUUUAUUGGUUCCUCGGGUAACAAUUAUUUUAUGUUAAUUAUUACGAGUAUAAUUUAGUCAAUAGCUGUCAUCUUGAGCCUUUAGUAGCCUCUGGCAACCUCCAGAGAUACUUGAAAAGCAAGAAGCCUGUGAUUCAUGAACAUUAUUUAUGUUGGGGACUAUAGUAUCUUUGAGAUGAUUUUAAUAUAAUACUUCUUUACAAGUUUAUUUUUUGGAAAAAUUAAUUUUGAUUUCUUUACAGGCCUGAAAUGAGAUUAUGAGAAUGUCAUUCAUUAUGCCAAUUGCUUAUUUAUUUUCAUUUUUAGCAGGGGACAAUGAAAUAUCUGGGCUUAAUUCUCGAAAUGAUGUAAAACUUGUUUUAACAAAUGGGGUCUGAAUGGAACAGUCUCAUAUAAAAAUAUUUCUAUUGCUCUUUUUGUUUUUCAGGUUGGGGAGCUUAUUGGUGGAAGUCAAAGAGAAGACCGACUUGAGUAUCUGGAAGAUCGUCUGGAUGAAUUAAAACUAAACAAGGACAGUUUCUGGUGGUAUCUGGAUCUGCGCCGUUAUGGUUCAGGUGAGGAAUUUUACUCACUGAAACUGAGGCUAAUUAUUCUCUUGAUUGGGUGACCGUGACAUCUGUUGAAAUCAAUCGUAUAAAUUCUGUUUAUGAUUUAGGAAUUCUGCUUUCGUAAGUGCUUUAAAAAUGUCUACAAAACUUCUCAAUGUUUAAUUCGUAACAAUUAAAACCCAGAGUUUCUUCCCAAUACGUCAUUUUCUUCAGUGGGGCCAUGGUUCCUUCACCAGAUGACAGCCAUACCCAUGCCCUUGCCAGCAUUUUUUUUUUUCUUUCUUGAGGGUUCAUUUCUGUGGAGGUCUUGUGCAUGAAUUAACUCAAAGGCAGAAAAAAAAAAAGAGGAAAAAUCAAUGUUUCCGAGCCAUAGGUGGGUAGGCCCUAGAACCAUAUAUAAUGUCGAACCAUAUAUAAUGUCUUCUAGCAUAUCCUUGUGGUUUACUUGAAUCAUUGACUUUUGCUUUAUUCCUAGUCAAGAUGCUGGCUCAUAUUGGCAUACUCGUUAUAUAGUUUAUAUAGCUUUUCAAUCGAUGGAGAAAAUUUUGAAGCAAAGAUACUAGGUUGUUUGAAUUAUGUAGUACUACAGCUGUCAUGAAAUUUGUAUGAUAUCCUCUGAAUAGCUGAAAUGUUUUAGUUCAAAAUUUGGUGUUCUGAUCUCUUGUUUUCACAUCUUACCAGUUCCUCACGCGGGUUUUGGACUGGGCUUUGAAAGGCUGGUUCAAUUUGCAACCGGAAUAGAUAAUAUAAGAGAUGCUAUACCUUUCCCUAGGACACCGGGUUCAGCUGAAUUUUGAAUGGCAAAAUUAGUAAACGUAUGAUUUGUUUCUUUUUUGUGUUUUCUCCCCCGGACAUUUUCCUCUCUUUGAUUCCAUCUUUAGAUUAUUUCAUUUUGUUUGGAAUAAAUUAUAAUUUAAGAACUUUUUAGGCAAAAAUCUCUUUGGACUUGAAGUGAUAUAAUGGCUGCCUUUUAUCGGGCAUUACUGCUAAUAUUUUGUGUAAACAAACCAAAUGUAAAUUUACGUAUUUAUAAGUGGACAUUUUGAAUAGUAUUAUCAUUACGCAGUUGUAUCGAGUUUUUACAAUUUAGCUCUCUUAUUUGUUGAUUUGUUGCUGUGAGAGUAUAUUGAUUUUCGGAUUGAUGAUUAUAAUUAACUAAUACUACUAUUUAACUUGGUUAAAUUACAAUUUUUUAUGAUAUAUAGAACACAACAAAUAUCGAUUUCCAUAACAACAAAAAAGCGUGACAGAGAAGCAGUGUGAAUUGAUUUUCAAUUUUUUCCCAUUCCCUUGUCAAGUAACUGAUUCUUUUAAUUAAUUUAAUUGUAAUUCGAAUUUGACUGCAUAAACCCUGAGAAAGCUCAUGUAAAAACCCGCCAACGCAUCGAUAACGACAAACAUUUUUGACUGCAUAACCCAUUCUAGCAAAAACCGGUUUCCAUCCUCGUUUCUAAUAAUUUAACUUUCAUAAAGCAUUUAUAGGAAUACAGUGGAGCAAAACAAAUGUUUUAUUUUUUCCAAAUGAGUACAAUAUUUUGUCACUCAACAAGAUUUUAAGGGGCUUGCUUCUAUCUUGCUCGAGAGAAUUUCCCUGUCCUCAACAAAUGAACAAAUGACCAACUGUACAACAGGUGCCCUUGCAGGCUUUCUUUGUUUUAUAGUUUUAAGGGGGGGGAAAGAAAACAAAAAUCAGCUCCUCAAGCAUUAGAUGGUGGCAACUCCUAUGACAUUCAGGUAAAAGCCUAGGCAUGUAAUUGAUUACAGUAAGUAUAUAAUGUGCCAACCACAUUUCAACUUACAUUUAUGAGGAGAAGGAAAUGGCGGGGAAAUUCUGUGAAAACAUUUUUGCUUUCCUCUUUUUGAACCCCGUCGCUGGUGAAAACAUUCUGUUGCUUUUGAGAUGCAGCAUGCUAUCGCUCAUCCCAAGUAUCGUAUAGAUCACAAGGAACAAAACUCAUAUUUACAUCAUUACUCCGCUAAAGUUCCACCUCAUGAAGGUCUUCUCCAAUGCUGCUACCACUCCGUUGCAUAUGUGCCAUAGAAGGAUUACCAGGCAUGAAAGGUGAAGGCAUGCCCAGUGCCUCUCCCAGAGGUUUGGUUUCCAUAGUUCUAGGAGGGCUAAAAGAAUCACUGAAGCCACUCCAUGAAGCGGUUCGUCGAGAAUUAGAUGACAGUGGGGCAUUGCCAUUUAUACUUGUCUCCUUCCUCGUAAUAUUAUCCAUGCUUGGGAACCUAUGCAUAUUCAUUUUUGAAAAAGUUGCUGGAGAUUGGAAAGUCUCUUCAGUUGGUGGAGAAGGAUUUUCAACAAAUGUGGUUUCUUGCACAUUUUCUGCUAUAGUUUCUGUUGAAACUUCACUUGAUGGCACAGGUGUGGGAACAAAAAACUUUGCAUUUGCAGUAACAGCUGGUUUGACAGAUGGAACAGAAGGUGACUGGAAUAACUUGGCUGAGCUUCCACCACCUUGGUUGAAGGUGUCCACGUACCUGCCAAAUACCAAAUACCAGAUACCAAUGAAUAUCAUUCUUUAAGAAGAGCUGUGGCCGUUCAACUGAUCACUAAACAAUAAAUAUGGAAAAAUGGAACGCAAAUGAGUCAUCAACCCCAAGAACCAUCCUCCCCAUCGGCUAACCCACCAAAACAUGCUUGUUCAAGAGGAACCAUUUUUGCUAAUUUCUAUCAAGUACUUCUCACAUGAUUUAACUCCAGCCUAAGUAAAACAAAUGAUAAUAAAUACCUUGCUCGUACACCCAUCCGCCCACGAGCUGAGAAUUGAUUAGAACUGGUCGGAAUAGGUGGAAUCCCAGAAGAGUGUUGUUCCACAGAGGUUGGAGUGUUAAAUGUUGGGCUCCCAUUAUUCGGAGAUCCAUCACUCAGUGCAGAUUUCAAGUUGUAGUCGGGCAUUCCAUUUUGGAAGGCUGAAGUUGUAGGGGGUGGUGCCAAGGCUGCUUCUUCUGCAGGGGGUUCAACACCUUCCUCUACCCAUCUCUUAAGCUUUUCAUCAUAAUAGAAUUUGUUCUUUUCACCCAAUUUAGCCUUCAAAUGCAAACAAUAGUCAUUAACAGGCUCACCAUUGUCUAAUUCAAUUUAAAAUAAAAAAUAAAAAAUAAAAAAUAAAUAAAAAAUAAAAAAAAUCAAAUAUUGAACAACAAUUACCUGUCGAUCUGAGCGGGGCCUUAAGACUAGCCCCACUGUCUUUUGCAAAAGCUGUGAACCAAAACCAAAACGACCAAAGCGAGAUGCACCACCUGAACCUGAUGGUUUGCUUUGUGCACUAGAGGAGGUUCCUUCCUUCGAUGAAUCAACCUGAUUCCCACCACAAGUCAGCAAGACCUCAUAAAUUUUAUGCAAUAUAAUAAGCACAAACAGGAAGCGCCUAGUUUAUAUGUGUUUUUCAACUAGGAGAUAAUUACCCACCUGUCUUGGAGUUCUACCAAAAUCUGGUUCAGAAACACUUCUGUUAUGCAUUGACAUUCUACUCCCAUCAGCAGCCCAUUCACUCAUGGGCUCCAUUGAAGCAGAUGGCAUUAAUGAUGACAUGGCCAUAGUUGAUUGACUAGCUGAUACCCUAGGUGCCAUUGGCGGUUGAUAAUGGUCAUUAUUUUGUACGCUUCCUUGUGAUGUUGAUGGUACAGGUGGUGGUAGACCCCCAACAACACGAUGUGCUGUACUGUCAAAAAAAUUAAGCAAUUUACCAACCAACUUUGCCGGAGCCAAAUUUGCCGUAUAUCCACCCUGAAAACAGAAUAUUCGGUAACUAAGUUUUGUACAACAAUUAUGAAUAAGCUAUGAAGUAGGAGAUAGAGAAACACCUGUUGAUGGGUUUUAAUCCUAUCCUCAAGGGAUAACACCAAUUGUCUCCAUGUUUCAACCUCUGGAGCUCGACCAGUUUUUAGAGAUUUUAAUAUUGCCUGGCAAUACCUGAAUCAACUCAUAGAGCUCAGAAAACCAAAUGAAGGAAGAAUUACAAAAAGCAUCAAAUUUGAAAUUUUCCACCUACUUCAAUGAAUCAGAAACUUUGCCCACUUCAGCCAGCAUGUAUGCAUAUAUCAGCUUAUACGGCUGAAAAGGUAGCAGAAUAAACUGGGAGUUGCCAAGCACCUUUGAGUAUUCGUACAAUUCCGUUCUCUGUCCAUACACCCAUCAAACCAACUUGAUAAGAUGAAAUACCACUUGUGAAUAGAAUCAUAUUUUAGAGAGAGAAAUGAGUCUAAGAUUGUCAUUCCAAUUCUCUUAAUAUGGUUUGAACAUUAACCAAGACUUCAAAAACUAAAAGAAUAUGCUCCAAUAAACUCUAUAUUAACUGGAACUAUCUCACAAUCCUGAAUAUAAAUUCGCUCUCAUACGAGCAUACAAGAAGCCAUUAAAACAUUGACAAAUAAAUAAAAUAUGAACAAAAGAGCCAAAAAUAAAUGAAGAAAGAUGACCUGAAUAGCUUCUGGACUAGUAUAUGUUCGAGGAUGUUUCCAGUGAUCUGCCCCAAUAAGACACAAUCUUGCAGUAUCUGAAUAUGACUCAAAGUUUGCUUCUGCCACUAAAUAGCAUAUGUGUGCACCAGUAAUCUGAAAUUAAUUUUCAGUAAGACUUGGGAACAAAACUUUGGUAAGUACUCAAAAAUUAAUGACAUAAAAAGAUGAGAUACCUCACUUCUAUCCUUCCAUAGGCAAUCUCCAAGAUGAACAAUCACAAGCUCAUCAUCUUUGGUCCUGUUUGCAGUUAUUACAGCCAAAUUCUCUUCCCAAUCAUCAAGCAUGCCAUUUGCUCCAAACUGCAGUUAAUUGCCAAACUUUGACAAUUAAUUUCAAAAAUGGAUAAAUAAAGCCAUACAUCCUUUUCCAAGGCUGAGACAUAACGGAAAUAUAGUAAAGUCAAAAGAUGGCAGCAGUAUCAAGGCCUACGUGUUACUCAUCCUAGAAGAUAUGAAAUAUAACUAAACAUAUGGUCAUUGCCUGUCACACGGAAACUAGAAAAGAACCAGCACAAGUCAGCAGCAAUAUCAAUAUCACAUACAUUUCAAGACAUCAUUCCCAUAUUGAUUUGAGUUUGCUUGAAACAAGCAUGUUCCUUUCCUGCGACAUAUCCCCCACUUAUUUCUUUGAUGCUAAGAUAACUGGUUUCUCAUUAAAAGAAUCCAAAGUAUUGCACAGAUUCUAAAUGCCUAACCUAGCCAUUUACUGUGGCAAAAAGACAGGCAUAAUGCAUCACCUGGACAGGCUGCUGAGAAAUUCCACCAGGAAGACCACUGCCAGCCGUGGCAUCAGCAGAAAAUACAUCAGCUGGUUGCCCUGCAAUUAGCAGGCAUAAUGUCCGCAAAGGUGAUCCUGCUACAAGCUGGCGAAGUGCCAUUUGCUUUACAGUAUCAACAUAGAACUGUUCCAGCAACAAAAGUAUGCAAACACACACAAAGCAGUGAACAUCUAAAUAGUCUGCCUUAAAGAUGAAUUUACCUAAACAGAAUAAUGUAAAAAAAAGUGAACUGGACAAUAAACCUGAUCCCCAAGCUGCGAUGCAAGCACGAGCGCAGGUCCCCAUAACUGGCCCUCUUGGGCACACUGUAAAGCCUCUUUCUUUCUACCAGAAACCAGAAGAUCCUGUACCUCGGAAGCAGUUGCCUGAAACAUACAUAAAAAUCUUUCACAAAAUGAUGAAGUGCCAUAGUAUAGUGCAACAUUGCAUAGUGAUUUAUUGGAUACCCGAAUCUGUUCUUCAGAUGGCAACCUCUGCAAACAGUGGCUAACAGCACCAUAAUCACUGAAUUGUAUGCCAUUCCUCUUGGCAGAUGCAAAAAGUUUUGCCACUGCUGAUUCUGGGGAAUCACUCUCCUACAAAAGUAAUCACAGUUUAGUUAUUUACAUAUUUGGCUUUCCAAUAAUAUUAUAGCCAUGCAGAAAUUAAGAACACGCAUUAGGAUUGCAAGUGGGGCUAUUUAACUCAAAAUAACUUAACAUAAAUUAACAAUAAAAAAAAAUAAAAAGCAACAAGUUAACCCAAAAUUCUCGCAAGUAAAAUCCAGAGAAACUGACAAAACUUUUGCCAUCAAUAAAAUGAAGCAGAUGUACUGAAACCUCUGCCUUCACCAUAAAAACUUUGGAUCGUGCAUAUUUUUCUGUCAUUACACUAGACCUACUACUCUUUCUACUUUAGGGCUUGGAACCCUUGCAAUAUUUCUCUUUUGCUCUUCUCCAAGCCCAAACAUUUCCAGCGAGUCAUGAUCAUGUUUUGUUCAUUCAAAGGUACCCUCAACGAACUUGAAAGAGUGCUAUAGAAUAUGACUUUCCAAAUUUGUUUUACAGAAAUAUCUCAUAACAAGGAUAUUGAAAGUGGAAUAUUAGAGGAGAGAGAGAGAGAGAGAGAGAGAGAGAGAGAGAGAGACAUAAGUAUGAUUGGUGGUGCUUUGGUUGGGAGGAAGGGAAGAUGGCAUAGGGUUUCUGCCAAAUGCUUCUCAAUGGAUACUUAUCAACUAAAUAAUUUAUAUCCUAAAACAGAUCCAGCAGAGUAAACCACAUAAGUACUUGUGCCAAGCAACAGAAAAAAUAAUGAACUCUUAUGAACCAAGAAAAGGUCACUUGCGAUAAAAAAUUCACAACGGUCACAUGAAAAACUCUUUUUUAGAAAAAAAGGGGGUGCUAUAUAGCAGUCUUUUUCAUUUUCCAUAUUGCCUCACAUAAGUUGGAAAAAUAUAUAGACAAUUACAUGAAUAUUCAGGGAGUCUUAGAUGCAAUAAUAUUCAAGUUACAAGAAGAAAAAGCUGAAAAAGAAAAAAAGUGAUCUACCUUCAAAGAAGCAUCAGUGCCAAAAGGAGAUCGAAGUUUUCCAUAAUGUUGGCAAGAUAUUUUAAGCAAGGAGAGAAGCAACUUCAAUAUUUCAACCUUUUUAUAGUCCAUGUCAAGGGAUUCAGAAUUAGCAAUUCUCUCGUCAAUCCACUUAUUUAACUCUUUGCUUCCAACAUUGCCUCCCACCAGCGGACCUGGAAAGGAUUGUUGGCAGAGAGCAUGAAAAUAAUUACAAGUGUUCCCUCCAACACUUUGAGCAUUAUUUGUAUUUCCAGUGACAACCUCCAUCAAAUUCAGGACAGUUAUUGAGCCUCCUACAGGUUCCUUUAUAUAAGAAGCAACCACAAUUAGUUCAAGAAAAUAAGAAAUUUUGGUUUUUUUUCUUUUUUCCUUUUUAUUUUUUCAGAUAAUCAAUGCAUUUCAACUUCUUGAAUUAUAAUUUAUUCACUUUCCUAGUCUUUUGGAACCAAAGGCAUCUGUAAAAUAGAACAGCGAAGAGAAUGUUUCAGGGGGCUCACCUGACUUCCAAAUGAUGAAUUUCCAAGAGAAUUUAAACUAUCAUCUUUCAUUACUAUGAGCUUUCCACCAAAUCCGAAGGUCACCAAGGCGUGUGGGGGACGCCCAGCAGAUGAUCUCCCGGUGUUGGAAGCAUAAGAGAACUGCUGGUUGCUCUGAAAUGAUUGCUGGGCAACAUGUACUGCUUUCUGAUUGCUAUAGUAAUCAUUUGAAAUGUUCAUUUGUUCAUUCAACUUCAGAUUUCCCUGAUUCAAUUGCUGAGUGAAGUUCCCACUAGGCAUAAAACUUUGUGACCCAAUAAACCCAUUGGCCUCAACAUGACUCUGACUCAUAUUGUCAUACGACAAGGCUGUCCCCAAAGAAUUAACAGAUUUGUGUGGCUCCACGUGAUUGUUCAUAGAUGCAUUUGAAUUAUAAGAAUUAUGUAAUUGCUGGUUUCCAUCAAAAUUUGAAACAGUAUCAGUCUUAGCAACAGUGUCAGGUUGCCACAUAUUAAAACCUUGCUGAUUGUAACCACCAUAAGACUCACCCCAGCUACCAUGCGGACCUUGGUUAUUGUAGCCUUGUGAACCAUACUUGUCACCUUGCUGAUAUCCACCAUAAGUACUGCUAUUAUUUUGUGAAUAUGAAUCAACCAAAGCAAAUUCAUCUUGUUUCUGCAUAUCAUGAUUUUGAACACUUGUUGAUUGAACAGAUGAUGUGUAGCUUUCCAGGGUGCGCCAUUCUUGCACAAUAGUGUCAUAAUACCAACCAGGAUAUUGUGGGUCAAAAAGCAUAUGUUCUGGGUAACCAUUAUUAGUCUCCUGUGAAACCUGAUUCCAAGUGGAGACAGUCUCAGACGUGCUCGUCUCAGCUACAGUUCCCACCACAGAUUUUGAUGUCUGCUGCAAAUAAUUCAGCUCUGUUUUCCCAUCAGAAACUGAGGCCCAUUCAUUCUCUGCAUUAGCGUUAGAACUUACUUGCACAUUUGAAUUUGCAUCGUAACCAUCACUAGCUUGGUACCACUGUCCAGUGCUGGCAUCAUAUUUCCAACCAGGGUACAUGCUUUCCCAGUACUGACUGCUAUUCAAAUCCUGCCCAUUGACAUUCUCUUGAAAGGAUCCUUCAUAACUUUGUGUAAGGUCUUGAUGUGGCUCAUAGAUGACUGAAUUAUGCAAUCCAUCACUAGCUUUAUUUUCUAAAUUAGCACUUUCAUCAACUUUUCCCGGAAAAUCCUCUGAACUACCUCCCAAUUCAUUAAAAAAAUCUGAAUACGAACCAAAUCCAUGAUUGCCAUUAGGAACGGAAUCAGCAUAAAAUGAACUCCACCCCACCUCCUUAAUUCCUGAUUUCGUAGAUCCACUAGAUUGACUUGCUAUUGAAUCAGGUACAACCUCUGAUGCAGUCGCAUCAUUAUUUGACUCAAUUAUGCUAUUGGACCCCAAUGAAUUCGAUGAACUCAACGUGUUGCUUUCUUCUGCAUGUACACCAGAUAACACAGGGUUGGCAUGCACUGAAUCAUUAUCACCUUUCCCCUCAACUCCACCUUCGCCUUCACCAGUGGUAUCAUCAAUACUCAGAUUAGCAAAGGCUCUGGCCUCAUCUGAAUCGCUGCCCUCAGUUAACUUGGGGACCGAAACGGGAUCAGUAGGCCCAAAAUCAUCGUCCACUAAUUUAUCAAAGAAAUCCUCAUCCGUCUGAUCCUCCAUCACAUGAAAUGGAGGAUUCGAAGCCAUCUAAUAUAACAGCCUUCUUCCUAACCCUUUCGAUCUACUGGGUAAAAGAAUACCUAAAUACCCUCAAAUUUUCCUCAAUUUACAGCUCUCCUCCUCCAACACCUCAAAAUUGGAGCUGCAAUUAAACCAAAACCUCGAGAUCCAAAAAUCAAAACCCUAAAUCAAAGAAAUACAAGCGCGAGGAGAGCAAGAUCUAGGGUUUAUGAGAUCUCUUAGAAGUUGCAGCAGCAUAACUUAACAUGAGAACGGUCAAAAGAUAGAUAGCAAAAUUGCACUUAGAAUCUAAUGCAUUUGAUUUCGUAUGAGAAGAUAAUCGAUAAGUGUGAUAAUAACAGAAGCAAAAUAACUUACAGAUCCAGGUAAGGAUUUGCAGGAAGAAAAUCCACAACGAUGCAGCGAGCAGGGAGACAAAAUGAAAAAGCGCUCGUUUUCGCACCACCCACCAAACCAGGGGAAAGUUUUGUUUAUUUUUUUUGGUUUUAUUGUUUUUGAUGAGAAAAUGAAAAUUACUAUGUCACCCUAUGGUUUGACUUAGUGACAAAUACUGUCCUCCUUUUGAAAUUACCCUAGGAGAUCGCAUAAUCUUCCUGCCAAUUUAUGUCUAAUUACACUAAUUAAUUCGAAUUUCAAAGUUUAAAAUAAUAUAUUUAUCUCAUUAAAAAUAAAUUCAAUAUAAUAUAAUGGUUUCAAUUAGUGAAAUUUAAAUUUUAUAUAAAUUUUUUAUAUUUGUUUAUUUGAUUGAAAAAAAUAAGUCAAUAUCCAUGAAUAAUAAAUUCUAUUAAAAUUUCACCAUCUUUUAAUAUGUAAAAAUUUCUUAUCACAUGUGAGAUUUUUGCUUUUUUUUUUUUUUAACUUGAUCGCAUCGUUAUUGAUAACAAUAGCUUCAUCACUUUAUUGAUAAUAAAAUAUAAAUCAUGUGAUUUUAUUUUUAUAAUAUUCUUCAAAUCGAUUGAUUUUAUUUUUUGAUCAAAUGAAGAAUGUAAAAUUUUAUGAAUAUGAAAUUUAUGGAUUUUUUUUUUUAAAGAAAAUCUAUUGAUUUCACAUUCUAUCAAUUCAAAUAAGGACUAAAUUAAAGCUUAAUAACGUUUAAAAAAUAAUAAUAAUAAUAAUAAUAAUAAUUUAGUCUUAUUAUAUUGUAUUGUGCGAAAAUGCUCUUAUUCAUCUAAUAUAAAAUAACCCGGUAAAAUAUAAUGGAAAAACUCCAAAUUAUGUUACUAACUGCAAAACACUUAUGAACUUGGUUGGAAUUGGUUCGAACCCUCAUGUCGGCAGAAACAAAGUAAGGAAACAAAACAAAAUACUGAUUGUGUUUAAGCAUCUACUUUGGUGGGUAAUUGCUUAGAAUUUAAUACAUCAAACCACAAUAAAUAAGUUCUAAUCUCAAACUAAUUGUUUGAUUAUUUAGUAAUUCACUAAUUAUUGCAUUAUUUUAUGGCGAUUGCUUUUUAAACUUACCCCCACUACAUUCAAUUGAUAUUUAAUUCACUAAAUUUGACUAAUGCAUUAAACAAAUCUAUAAGCCAAAAUUUCUCAAACUAUUUGUUAAAUGUAGAUUGUGUUUCAAUUGUCAUUUCUAACACUUGGAUAUCAAUAAUAAAAACAAUAAAAAUACUAAAUAAUUAUGAAUUAUACUUGUUUAAACCAUGUCUAUAGAUUAAACCGAUGAAAAUAUGAAUUUUUUAAAAAUUAUUUUCACUUUAUCUUUUUUUUUCAUAUUGAUAGAAAUAUUAUUGUUUCGAUAAAAAUUCAUAUUUUUAUUGGUAUGGUUCAUUAAUGAAGCCAUGAACCCGAUCUAAGCAAGUUAAUCCCGAACAUGUACAUGCACGAACUCUCAAUUAAUAGUUAUAAGACAUUAAGAUAUCAAUAAUAAAAAUAAUAUAUAUACUUAUUUUUCAAAUUCAUCUUCUCUUAUUUGAGUGUUUUUUUUUUUUUUUUUUUUUCAAAACCAAGUGGCAUUAUCAGUAAGCUUUCACAUAACUAGUUGAAUUUUUUUAAUCUUAAAAUAGUAAAUAAAAAUAAAAAUUAAUACCCCUAUUGUAAAAAUGCAUAAAGUGUGAGCUCAAAGCUUAAUUGGACAUGAUUUGCCUGAGAAUAGCAUAGUUACCAAAGGAAACACCACAUCAUGAAACAAUUAUUACACAUGCAAAGCUUGCGAUACACACCGGGGAAGAUUAUUUUUGGGAAUAAUAUUUCACUUGUCCUCUUAAAUUUAACCAUAAUAUACAAUUUGUCUAAAAAUCAUAAUUAAUAUUUCAAAUUUACAACCAAAUGAUUAAAACCCCCAAUUCUUACCAAAAAAUAAAAUAAAACAACAAUUUUUAUUAACUGAAAAUAUAAAAUAGUUCUUAGAUGUUUUGUUUUUAAGUUAAAUAGUUAUUGCUAAUUACAAAUAUUAGAAAAUAUAAUUUUAUUUUAUUUUUGUUAAAAUGGUGUAAUUUAAGAUGGUAAUUGUAUAAAAAAAAAUUAAAUUUUGAAUAAAUUAUAUAUUACCUUUAAAUUUAAAAGGGAAAAUAAACAUUAUUCCACUGCUUUUACCUAAUAUUCAGUGGUCAAAUUAAUUGAGUAGGAAAUUGGCAUAACACCUACUAUGUACUUGUUAUUAAUUAUUGAUUUUCUAUCAGACAACUGAAAACCACUUUUCAAAAACGACAAAGACGUUUUUACAAUCUUUCUCUCUAUAUAUAAAUAUAUUAAUUGUGUUAUUAUCAUAUGUACUACAAGCUUCUUUUUUAGUUGGAGGGAGCCAUAAUGUACUAACAAAUAGAGUUGCAAAUGAGCUAAAUCAUUUUUGAGCUAUUGGGUAUAAAAAAAAUUUAUAUGAGCUCGUUUUAUUGGAUUAAAUGAAUUGAGCUCGACGAGUAUUUAAGUUUCUUUUUUUUUUUUAAUUAGAAAUCAUAAAGAAAUUAAACUCGAGUUUGAUUUUCAAACAAAAAUCAUGCUCGACUCGAUUCAUUUACAGUCGAAAGAUAAAUUAAAGAUAAAUUAACGAUUCUUGAAUUGCUAAUACAACUACUCAUGAGACUCUUUAUUUAGGCUGAAUUCUAAAUGUUGCACUUGAAUUUAUUAUUUUAUUGGAUUAAAUAAUUAAGAGGUGGUAUGUUUAUUGUUAAAUUAUUAUAUAGUAUCAUUUUAUAACUGUAUGGGCAAUUUUAACUUUUCAUCCAAUGGAUUACAGAACUUAUUGAAUUGGCUCUAAAAAUAAGUUUUUUCACUCAGACAAAAUUUCACUUGCAAAUAUAAAUAAAUAACUUAUUUAUAUAGUUCAGACAAAUAAAUUUAUUUUUAUUUUGGCCUCCCCUAGGAAAAAUUAUGCUGAUGAACCGGUCUUGCUGCUUCUUUAUUUGCCAUUAAUACAAGCACUGCUGGAUUGAGAACGAAAUUUAAAUUUUUUUGCCCGUUAGUAAUAACUUGGGCAUUCCUGUUGGAUUUAAUUUUCUAUUGUGGGCUUAAUAUGUAAAAUUAAAUAUGUACAGCAGUCCAAUUGUAAAGUCAAUUUCAAAUGUGGUCUUGAUUGUGAAUAAUUGACUAUUAAGGUAUCAACUAAUUAUAGAUAUUAAGUGUAGAGACCAUUAUAUAAUUCCUAUUUCGUUAAAGGACCGAAAUAGGAAUUGUACUAACCCUACAGGUAUAUAAAGGUCGUGGUCCCCAGAGGAGUUGAAUACGAUUCAGUUUUACGUUCCUUUCGUAUUGCUUCCGCUAAAUCGAUUCUUCAAUGCUCUUGAAGGCUUCAAACCUAAUUCAAUCCAUCAAUUUUAGGGUUAGGGAUGAAAAAUUACGGUUUGAUCCCUGGAAAAUUUCGUAUUAGGUCCCUAAAUUUCUGUAACUUCAGAUUAGGUCCAUAAUUUUCUGUAACUUCAGAUUAGGCCCCUAAAUUUUCUGUAACUUCAGAUUAGGCCCCUAAUCUUCUGUUUUUUCGUAUUAGGCCCUUAAAUUUCUGUUUUCUUUCGUUUAGACCCCAAACUUUAUUUAUUCAAAUUUAUUUAGUCCAAUUUUAUAACUUAGUCUCUAAUUUAGUGACUUAAGGACUAGAUUAUAAUUUUUUUUUUGGGCUAAAUAAUUUUAGAUUAUUAAAUAUUUAGACAAUCAAUUCAUUUAAUUGCAAUUGUUUUGUUUUAAUUACAAUUAAAUGAUUUAAUUUGUCGACUUGAGAUUAAAUUUUGGAGUGAUUAAGUCCCUAUUGUGUUUGAUAUUUGUUAAAAUAAAUUGAUUUGAUCAAUAAGUCACCAAAGUGACCUCUAUUGCUUGAAUUGAUUUAUUUUAGAAUAUUAGACAGGUGUAUUAGAAUUCGUUGCGGAUAGUUAAUCGGCCCAAAGGAAGGUUGCUAUCUGGCUGAGUUUUGAAUACAUGUUUGGCAAUAAAUAUGUGAUAAUUGUUUGAUUAUUUUCCAUGACAAUGAUAUAUCGGCCCAAAGGAAGAUUUAUUAUUUGUCAGGACUAUGUUAUCAAUAUUUGAUUGCUGCGUUGAGAUACUAAUUACAAGUUAAUGUUUUACAUCCAAAGAUGAGAAUAUUAAUGUUGUGUCUGUAUCUUAUUUCCAUUUUUUGAUCUCUACUUAUGUGAAUUGUUUCAUUUGUGGAUUGUGAGCUUAUACUUAUCUAUUUGUUUAUUUUCUCUGAUGUCAGCUAACAUGUCAUUUAAUCCUGAUUGUGUCCCUAAACUUGAGGGAUCAAAUUUUGAGUCUUGGAAAUCAGACAUUAUGAUCUUUCUGGGCUGUAUGGAUUUGGAUCUUGCAUUCAGGAUGGACGAACCUGCUCCUCUUACUGAUACGAGCACUGAUGUUCAAAGGGUUCAGUAUGAGAAGUGGGAGCGUUCUAAUCGCUUAGGUCUGAUGAUCAUGCAGAAAGGAGUCCCAGAACAUGUUCGAGACUCUGUCUCAGCUGAAAAGAACAAUGCUCAAAACUAUCUUGCCGAGCUGGAGAGGGCUUAUGUCAAGAAUGACAAAGCCGAAGUGGGAACACUUUUAGGAAAAUUAACCUCCAUGAAGUUUGCUGGCAAUGGUGGUGUUCGGGAGCAUAUUCUUAGCAUGUCUCAGAUUGCAAAGAGACUGAAGGCGCUGGGUAUGGCUUUACCAGAUGACCUUUUAGUCCAUUUGGUUAUGAAUUCUCUUCCUUCUCAGUAUGGACAAAUUAGGACUUCCUAUAAUUGUCAGCCGAAUAAAUGGACUCUUAACGAGCUCAUUUCUCAUUGUGUUGAUGAGGAGGAAAAGAUGAAUUCUAACAAAAGAGAGAGUGCUCAUUUUGUUUCUUCAGCUGGGAAGGGCAAGAACAAGAAAAGAAAGAGGCCUUUUGCAAAGACUGUUGAAAAGGCUAUUGAGAAACCUGCUGCUGCUACUGCUGUAGAUCCAGUACAAAAGAAGCCUUAUGUGCCAAAAUGCUUCUUUUGUGGAAAGACGGAUCACUUGAGAAAGGACUGUCCUAAAUUUGCUAUUUGGCUUGCAAAGAGGGGUAAGUACCUUGUUUUAGUCUGUUGUGAAGUUAAUUUAACUUCAGCUCCUAAAAACACUUAUUGGAUGGAUUCUGGUGCUACCGCUCAUAUAAGUGUUUCAUUGCAGGGCUGCCUCAACUACAGAAAGCCAACUGACGGUGAAAGAUACGUCUAUGUGGGAAAUGGCGAUCUGGUUGAAGUAGAGGCAAUUGGACAUUUUAGAUUAUGUUUAAGUACUGGCUAUUUUUUGGAUCUUAUAGAUACUUUUGUUAUUCCCUCUUUUAGAAGGAAUUUGAUUUCUGUUUCCUUUUUGGACAAAUCUGGUUUUCAUUGUUCUUUUGGAGACAGUGUAUUCACUUUAUCUAUGAAUUCAAAAGUUUUGGGUACUGGUUGCUUGAAUGAAUGUGAUAAUCUAUAUAUGUUAGACAUUGAUACUAGUUAUCAUGAAUCCCUGCAUGUUACUACAAGAGGUACCAAAAGAAAGUUGAAUAUUGAUAACUCAGCUGUACUUUGGCAUAGACGUUUGGGUCAUGUAUCCAAAUCAAGAAUUGAGCGUCUUGUUUCUGAUGGUAUCUUAGAUACACUUGAUUACACAGGUUUGGAUUCUUGUAUUGAGUGUAUUAAAGGAAAACAGACUAAACAAAAGAGACUAGGUGCCAUUCGGUCAUCCAAUGUUUUAGAACUGAUUCAUACAGAUAUUUGCGGUCCAUUCCAUAUUGCAGCUAGAAAUGGCCAAAGAUAUUUUAUAUCAUUCAUUGAUGACUAUUCUCGUUAUGGUUACUUAUAUCUCAUUCAUGAAAAAUCUGAGUCUUUGGACGUGUUUAAAUCUUAUAAAGCCGAAGUUGAAAAUCAACUAGGAAAGAAGAUUAAAUCUGUUCGAUCUGACCGUGGUGGUGAAUAUUAUGGUAAAUAUGACGGUUCAGGCGAACAACGUCCAGGACCUUUUGCGCUUUUCCUACAGGAAUGUGGAAUUGUCCCUCAAUAUACAAUGCCUGGUACUCCCAGCAUGAAUGGUGUAUCUGAGAGACGUAAUAGGACUCUUAUGGAUAUGGUAAGGAGUAUGAUUAGUCAUUCUACUUUACCAGAGUCUCUGUGGGGUGAAGCGUUAAAGACAGCAGCUUAUCUUCUCAAUAGGAUUCCAUCUAAAGCAGUUGCUAAAACACCUUAUGAACUUUGGACUGGACGUAAGCCUAGUCUAAAGCAUCUUCAUGUUUGGGGAUGUCCAGCUGAAGCAAGGCCUUACAAGCCGAAUGAAACAAAACUGGACUCCAAAACUAUCAGCAGCUACUUUGUUGGAUAUUCUGAGCGGUCUAGGGGUUACAAGUUUUAUAAUCCUACUUCCAGAACUUUUUUUGAAACGAGAAUUGCAACAUUUUUUGAGGAUGUUGAUUUUGGAGGGAGAAAUAAAGAAAGAAACAUUGUCUUUGAAGAGGAACCAAGUAAGGAUGAUUCGGUUCUCAUUCCUUUUGUUGUUUCUGAUAGCGUACAGACUCCAGUUGCUCCUGUCACUAUUCAAGAUCCAAUUCAAGACAAUGCUAUUCUUCCUCAAGAACAAAUUCAACAACCUCAAGAAUUAGAGCCUGUUCAAAUGCCUUUGAGGAGAUCUACUAGGGAGAGAAGAAGUGCUAUUCCAGAUGAUUAUAUAGUGUUUCUUCAGGAACAUGAGGAUACUGUAGACAUGAUAGAUGAUGAUCCAGUUAGUUUCUAUCAUGCCAUGCAGAGUUCUGACUCUCAUAAGUGGAUUGAGGCAAUGAACGAAGAGUAUAAGUCUAUGCAAGACAAUCAAGUUUGGGAUCUUGUUCAAUUACCUGAAGGAAAGAAACCCAUUGGUUGCAAAUGGAUAUUUAAAACCAAAAGGGAUUCUCAAGGUAAUGUGGAAAGAUAUAAAGCACGUCUUGUAGCAAAAGGCUUUACUCAAAAGGAAGGGAUUGACUAUAAAGAAACCUUCUCUCCAGUUUCUUCGAAGGAUUCUUUUAGGACAAUCAUGGCCUUAGUUGCAAAUCUUGAUCUUGAGCUUCAUCAAAUGGAUGUUAAGACUGCGUUUCUCAAUGGCGACAUUGAUGAAACAAUAUAUAUGGUGCAACCAGAAAAUUUUGUAAUUGGAGAUCCAAAACAUCUGGUAUGCAAAUUAAAGAAAUCCAUUUAUGGACUCAAGCAAGCUUCUCGUCAAUGGUACUUUAAGUUCAACCAAGUAAUUGUCUCGUUUGGCUUUGAGGCAAAUGCUGUUGAAAAUUGUGUGUACCAUAAGUUCAGUGGGAGUAGGUUUAUCUUUUUGGUCUUAUAUGUGGAUGACAUACUUCUUGCUACUAAUUGUAAAGUCUUGCUGCAUGAAACCAAAGUUUUUCUUUCAAAGCAUUUUGAGAUGAAAGAUUUAGGUGAAGCUUCUUUUGUUUUAGGGAUUCAGAUACAUCGAGACCGUUCUCGAGGUAUUCUUGGAUUAUCACAAAAGAGCUAUAUUGAUAAAGUGCUCAAGAGAUUUAGUAUGCAGAAUUCUAGACCAUUGGAUACCCCUAUUGCAAAAGGUGAUAAAUUUAGUAAUCAACAAUGUCCAAAGAGUGAACUUGAAAUUCAGGAAAUGCAAAAGGUUCCUUAUGCGUCAGCUGUAGGAAGUCUUAUGUAUGUUCAAGUUUGUACUCGUCCAGACAUUUCUUUUAUAGUUGGCAUGUUAGGUAGAUAUCUCAGCAAUCCAGGAAUGGAUCAUUGGAAAGCAGCCAAAAGAGUCAUGAGAUAUCUUCAGAGGACUAAGGGACAUAUGCUCACAUAUAGGAGAUCAGAUCAGCUUGAGAUCAUUGGGUAUACUGAUUCUGAUUUCGCUGGAUGCCAAGAUAGUAGAAAAUCCACAUCUGGCUACGUUUUUCUAUUGGCUGGCGGUGCUAUUUCUUGGAAGAGUGUGAAACAAACUCUAGUAGCAACCUCCACCAUGGAAGCUGAAUUUGUAGCAUCUUAUGAGGCAUCCAAUCAAGCUAUUUGGCUGAGAAACCUUGUCACUGGGCUGCGUGUAGUAGGUGGAAUAGAAAGACCACUGAAGUUGUAUUGUGACAGCAGGUCAGCCGUUUUAUUCUCCAACAACAACAGGAGCUCUUCUCGAUCAAAACACAUUGAGAUUAAGUUCUUGGCUGUGAAGGAGAGGGUACAGAGUGGACAGAUAUCCUUAGAGCAUAUUGGAACAAACUCUAUGAUUGCGGAUCCGCUUACAAAGGCAGUGAUACCGAAAGUUUUCCAUGAGCACACCGCUCAUAUGGGUAUCGUUUUGUUUGAGACUGUCUAGUUUUAGUGGGAGUUUGCUCUUUAUGCAUACAUUAUGUUUUUGAAUGCUCUAUUUUAUUUUGGAUAUGUUUUAUUAUGAAAUUUUGUUGAGUACUCAUUUUGGUUGAUGGUUACACUCUGUAUUAUUAUUAUUGUUUUGCUUGAUCUCACUUUUGUUGGUGACCAGUUGGAAACAGACAUGAUGAUCACAUUACAUGUAGUUUUCAUGCUACACUUCUAUAAUGAAUCUAUGUCAUUUAGGGGUAUUGGUAAUGUAGUUGAUGAUGAACUUAGUCAUGAGAUCUAUGGCGAAUGUUUCUUCAGCUCUUUAUCAAUAUAACUAAUGGACGAGAUUGUUUUUGGAUACCUUGUAUGACUGCGUUUGUUGAGCUCAUUUUGGUGUAUGUAUUUUAUUUAACAUAUGUUCGCCCAAGUGGGAGAUUGUUGGGUUUAAUUUUCUAUUGUGGGCUUAAUAUGUAAAAUUAAAUAUGUACAGCAGUCCAAUUGUAAAGUCAAUUUCAAAUGUGGUCUUGAUUGUGAAUAAUUGACUAUUGAGGUAUCAACUAAUUAUAGAUAUUAAGUGUAGAGACCAUUAUAUAAUUCCUAUUUCGUUAAAGGACCGAAAUAGGAAUUGUACUAACCCUACAGGUAUAUAAAGGUCGUGGUCCCCAGAGGAGUUGAAUACGAUUCAGUUUUACGUUCCUUUCGUAUUGCUUCCGCUAAAUCGAUUCUUCAAUUCUCUGGAAGGCUGCAAACCUAAUUUUAUACAUCAAGAUCGACGAACAACGAUGUCAGAUACGCAACCUUUUCUUAUUCAAUCUAUUUUGUUGAAUCUAGUGGUUUGCACGAUCUAGGUUAUUAUUGAAUUAUUUGAGAUUAAUUCUUACAAUUCCUUCACAGAAUAUCCUUGAAAUAAAUUAUUUAGGGUAAGAGGAACGAAAUAGUGAUUAGAAAACAUGAAAUCCUAUUUGCUACAAAUUAAAAUAAUAAUGCAUUUCUAAUAAUUAUAUGUCCAAAUAACGAACUUUUUUAUGUAAUUUAUUAUAAACAAAAUACAUAAUUUUAAUUUUGUAACACUCUCAACUUUUAUUUUGAUACGUAAAAUAUUUCAAAUUAUAAAAUUAUAUUUAUUAAACACUUAAACUUGCAAAAUUAUUUUAUUCAGCAUUUCAAUAUAUAAAAUUAGAUCAAUUGAAUAUCUAUUAGUUGUUAAAAAUAUGAAAAUUAUGAUCCAAAAAAUUAUGUUAACCACAAAUUAAGUCAAUAUUUUACGUAUAAAAGUAAAAAAAUUAUAAUUAUUAAUAUAUAAAUGUAUGCAAUAUUAUCAAAAUUUAAAAAUCAAAAUACAAAAUAAAUUAUAUAAAAAAUUUAAAGCGAUACAAAAUUCAAAGAUGAAAUUAAAUUCCCAUUUACCUAUAUAAUAACAUAUUUAUGGCAUGUAGAUGUAACAUAUGAGUUGGACUUGGGCCAGUAAUUAAGGGCGGAGAUGGCUACAAAUUGAGUACACGUUGUCUACUUAUUGGGUUUGUUUGAAGGUCUAAUCCCAACCGAACAAGUUGACAAACUGGGCCUAAAAUAUUAUCAGCCAUGCGAGAAAAAUCAAUAUUGUAUUUGUAUAUUCAUUGAAAAGUUAAAACGCCGCCGUCUACUAGAUGACGCCCACUGACUAUAAUCUCACAUUUGUUUAAUUUUUGUUUAUAUAAGCACAAAGGGAAAUACAAAAGUGGGUCCUCUAUCACAAUCAGAUGAGGCCAUGCACAGCUCAAUGAGUAGUCUGUUGAUUGCUUGGCUAAUAGUCAAAUUAUGCAGCCCUAGGAAUAAAUAUUGUGUUUUAAACACAAAAUGGGACAAUAAUAAUUACUGUUUCCCAUGCUUUUCCACCAUUUUUCUUCCAUGCACACCUGUUUAUAAUUGAGUGAUGCUUCUGUUCAAUUUAAAAAAAUUUCUAUAAAUUGGGUUGUAAACAAAUAAGAAGAAAAGAAAUUAAAUCUAAUGGCUGUUUGCCACACCAGCUACAACAUGAACGAUUAAAAGAAGACAAUACAUUGUUUUUGAGGAAGAUACAACAUCAUCAAAAAAAAUAAAAAACAAAAUUCAUAAAGGAAAUAAAAAAAAUAAAAAUUCUAUUAAAUAUAUGUCUAAAAAAAAGACAAAUUAACAGAUUAAAAAAGAUUAUAUUUAUUAAAUUUUAAAAAAAAAACGAAAAAUUAAAGAUCGGCUUGAAGAAUAAAAUUUUGGAAACACCAAAGAAAAAGAGAGAGAGGGCUAAGAAUAUGAUUAUAUGCAGAAGUUGAUACUUGAUAUCGAAUCAAAUCAAUAUAUUUCUUUUAUAAGUUCUAACUGGUGGUCUUCCUCUUCCCCUUCAACAACCUUCUGAAAAUGUACAUAGCACCUGCUACAUAUAUAUAUAUUUAAAAAAAAAAAAAAAAAAGUAAAUAACGAUAUGUAGGCUAAAACUCAAUUCUAAUUAUUGCUUGUGCUUCCACAUAUAAAUAUAUUUUUAAUUCCAGUAUAAUACAGAAUUUAAGCACAACCAGAUAAAAGGAAAGAAUAGUAAAAAGAAAACUAAUGAUCUGCUUUUCUUGUAUCUAUGGUGUUUCUCAACCUUUUUGGCUUUUGCUUUUGAGAAUCCGAUCGGUGUGAAUUUUAUGCAGAGAAUUCUAGAACUUUAGAUUUGUAAAUGAUCUCUUUGUUUUUUUUUUUCCCUCUAAAUUAUUUUUAAAUACUUGAAUUAGAAUUUAAUUAGAAAUCAAAAUUUCAUUUAUAAUUUGAUUUUUUUUGGUAAAUAAGGAAAAAAAAGUGUAAGUUCAUAAAAUUUAAUGAACUUUAAUUACAAGUUAGUAAAAUAUAAUUAUAAAUUUAAAUUAAAUUAUUUAGUACAUUAAAUAUGAAGAUUUGUGUGUAAAUGAUUUUUUUUUUUUUAUUGGGAAUCAACAAUAUGCAAAUUAUACACAAUAGGAAAUUUUGCAAUUGGAAAAUGAUUUGGUGUGUUGAUGACUUGGUGCACUUUAGGUUUAGGGCAGCCAGCGGUGAUUGGAUUUGGAUGGAAAAUGGAAAUAGUUAAAGUGGGGCCAGUCGCAUUUAUCCUAUAAAGGAUGCAGAGACGUUGACCAAAAAGUUCCACCACGUCAUCAGUCUUUCAGGUCUUUGCUCCCAGUUUUCAUAAAGCAUGCCACAACUCGCGCUGACCAAAUCCACAAUCUUAAUUUACCAUUAUGCCCUUCUAUAAUUCUAUGUACUGUACUGUCCCGUGCCUCGCGGCUUAUUUAUCCCCACCACCUAACCGGCUAUAACUAUAAUCUUCCAUCAUUCAUUUCUAUGUACUUAGGACUUGUUUGGUUGAAAUAUUUGGUUGCAACUUAAAUUAAAAAGAAAUUUUUAAUUUUUACAGUGUUUUGUAAAAUAAAUUUUUAAAAGAAAUUAUAAACGUCAUCUCAAUUCUCCUUUCUCUAUUCCUUCAUUGAAAGUUAGCGAUUAAUGGUUGAUUAGGGAGUCAAACACUUAAUGUUAAAAAUUUUAUUUUAUCAAUAUUUCAAUGAUAAUUUCUGAAUUUUGAAACUUUAAUACCCUCAAGUAACUAUUGAGUGUUCAAAUGUCAAACAUGGGUUUCCAAUAUAUGUAAUUCAACCACAUUUGACUAAUCCAGUAAACUACAAUGGUUAAAAGCUCAACUCAUUUUGAAAAUUUAAAACAGCGAAAUUCCAUUUAUGUCAUUUCAAGUUUGAAUGGUUGAAAUUGUUUUUAGCUCAUUAAUUGUGUUAAGUGUAUUUAUUCAUUAAUCACAUAUUAAUAUUCCAAUAAACUUGAAUUCAAACUCCAACUAAUAAAAUUUAUUUUUAAUAAUUAUAUAAUAUGAAAAUAUAUAAUUUUAAAUUGAUUGAAAUUUUUUAUAUUCAUAAAACAUUAGAACUUGAUUUGGAUAAUAAAAAGGAUUUUUCUAAUGAAACAAAAAUAAUGGAUUAGAUGUCCCAGAUAGUAAACUUUAGCUCUCUCUCUAGCUCUCUCUUUUCUUGCGUCCUUCUAGAUUUUAUUUUUAAACCACCGCCGACCGUCUUCUUUAGUCGGCGGUGUUUCUUUUCAUCUCUCACUGUCGUUUUUUUUAUUAUUAUUUUAUAUAGUUUUCUUUCUACUAAUUUUUGAACCUAUGAUCAUUUGGAAAAAAAAAAUGGAUUUAAUGUUUUUGGUACCUCUUAUUUAGGUUAUUUAUUUCUCUCCUUUCAUGGAGUUAUUUUUCAUUAUUGAGAAGUUUUUAUUUGGAUUUAUUUUUUUGGCAAUUCAAAAUACAAGAUGGAUUAUUGGUUGCUUGUGGUUGGAGACUUUAGAUCUUCAAGUUCGGGUAAGUUUCUUUUACUAAUGGAGGCUGGUAAUGUAGCAUGUUCCUCCAUUAAAGUUUGUUAUAUUAAACUCUUCUAUGGGUGACAGUUGUAACAAGUUUCUGAAAAAAUAAUGUUCGGGAAAAUAUUAUAGAAAGUUUCUUUUAUUGUCCUAUUUGAAAAUGGACCAGUUCUCCUUACCCGGAAGAUUAAUCUCUUCUACCAAGAUUAGGAAUAUCUCCAAACAGAAGAUUUCAAUUUUCUAUAUUUAUAUUUCCUAUUUCUAUAAGAAUAUUAUUAUGAUGUAUUCGACUUAUAUUUAUUAUUAAUGAAUUAUUAAAUUAAAAAAAAAAAGAUUUGGUUUAACCAAAAAAAAGAUAUAUAAUUGUACAUUACUUCAUCCAUGAGCCACAUACACAUAUAACUUGGUUAAAAAAAAAAAAAAUAGCAAUGCUUGUAAUUGUACAAAAUUUUUUGAAUUUUAAGUUGCUUCUCUUGUAGCAAUGACAUAAUUUUCAAUGAUCCAAUUACCUAUGGUUGUUUUGUAAUACACGAAAGGACUAGCUUUAUCCUGAAUUUACUAAAUUAGUUAAAAUAUUUGUGGUUGAGAAAAUUUAAAUUUAAGACCUCUCACUGAUCACAUGAGUGAAAAGACCAAAUAGACUACACGUGAUUGAGUUUAUUAUUUUUAUUUUGCACACUUAUCAUUAAAUAAUUAAAAGUAAAAAUUGCCCAUUAUAUGAUUCCAAAAGCGACGAUCCUUUUGGCUGCUCAUUUUCCUUUUUUUCUUUCUAUCUUCACCCAUACUGCAAGCUAAGAUCAUUCAUGAUUUUGUCAUUUACCAACCAAAAUAUUUCAUCCACAGUGGUGCAUAUUUUAAGAGGAAAAGGGGCAAAUUGCCCAUUUGGAAUCCAAAAGGUGUCCAUUUGUAAUAUCCAUUUGAUCAUUUGCCCACUUAAUAAUAAUAAUAUUCAUAAAAAAUAAUAAAAUAUUUUCAUUAAAAAAAAAAAAAAACGAACACAAUUUGAUUGUGCGCUUAAUACUAAACAAGACGGUCAAUAUUGUGUUUGGCAUUAUUUUUUUAACUUAUUAUUAAAUUAAGAAAACAUUCCAUUGAAAAUAUUACUUAAAUGUUAUAAAAUUUAUUUCUAGAACAAAAUUUUUCUUUUAUAAUAAAAAAUCCGGUACUUGGAAAAUAAUUUUCCUGAACCAGUCUUCACGAAUAUGGGAACUCGCUUCAUGUCUUUACUUUGCAAGGGGACCUAUUUUACGCGUCUUUACUCAGAUAUAUUCCAAAACAGCUUAAUAUUAUAAAUAACAAGAACAAGGAAUUUCCAUAUAGAAUUUUCGUAGGCUUUAGUCCAUAUAGAAUUUUCGUCAACCUGGUCAUGCAAGAACAAGGAAUUUCCUUCUAAUAAAAAUAAACCAAAUUUUAUUUUUACAUUAAUUAAGAAAAUAUUUUCUUUAUAUUAAAAAAAACCCCACAAUUUUCUUUAUUUUUUUUUCAUACACCCUUAAUCUUUUCUUAGACUACGAAUAUAAACUUUUUGUAUUUUGCUUAGUUGUUUACUGCAAGAUUUGAUCAAUAGUAAUAGUAACAUCCUUCCUGAUAAAGAUGCAUGCUAAAUAGAGGUAUAAUAGAAAACUGAAAAAACUUUUUUUUUUUUUUUUUUUUUUAGAAAAGAAAAUAAGGUUCUAAUUUGAAAUAAAUAAAAAAAGGAAAGCAGCCUUAUUUUAGAGGGAGGAACAUAAAAAGUCAAGUCCACGAACUGCACUUGCCAUUCAACCAAUUCUCAAUUUAAUUAAUAUGAAUGAAUUUUGAAAACAACUUUUAACCCUUCCUUCACCAUAAGCAUGAUAAAAGAUGAUGCAAUUACACAAGAACGCAACUAACACCAAAAACUACCCAAAUGAAAUAAAUGUUAGGGUGAUCAAGAAACUCAAAAGUAAAAGCUUCUAAGAAUGGAAGAAUGGGCAAGAACCAAGAUUGAUAAAGAUGACAACCAAGUUAUAAUAAGAGGAUGAAGAAAAUGAAACAUUGGCUUUGCCCAUUGUUUUUUUGCUAGAAGUAAUGUUGUAGUAAGUAGGAACAUUUAACCAAUAAGAAACAAUUUAUAUUCCAAUAAGAGUGAGAGUAUAAAUUCGAUCCUGAAAAACGCAUUUUAUUAAAAGAAUAAAAAAAAUUUUUAUGCUCUACAGUUCGAGAAGGAUUACACCUUUAGUUAUAUAUAUAAAAAACUAGAAACAUUAAAAAUGUGAAUGAAUAGGGAGAAGUUACCUCAAGAAAAUGUGCGAUGAUUCUUGGCUUUUACAACAGAAAAAGCAUUAGACAUAUUAGGAAAUGUGUAAUGAUCAUCAUUUACUCUAAUUAAGGAAGUAAAUAUUAGUACUAAAAACCUAUAUAAUAACAGAAAAGGAAAAGCUAAAGGAGACAAGAGCUUCCCUUCUUCUUUUGUCCUUAAUAUUUUGGUCAAAACAAGUAGACGAAUCAAGAUAAAUAAAUAAAUAAAUAAAAUUCACAAGCAAGCAAAUAAUGUUGCUGUUGCUCUUUAACUAUGAAUUCUAUUUUUCAUAUUCUAGAAAAACACUAUUGAAAGGAAAUAAAAAAAAAAAUUUAAAAAGGUAUUAGUUGUAUGAGUGAUCACUCGGGCAGAUAAAGCUUUUGAAUCUGCAAAUUUAAUCAGAAUUCUUCUGAAACAAGAAAUCACAUGCAUCAAAGGAAUUAGAAAUCCAAAGUGUAAUAUUUAAAUAUCCGGAGUGAAAUUGACUUAAAUCAAUUAAAUAAGAGGUCGAAUGUUCUACUUUUUAUAUCGAGAAAAUCUCUACUAAAAAUAUUUAUCCCUCGUGGGCAUAAUGCUAUGCGAGCAGAAUUAGACAUCGGUUAAUGGGUUGGGAACACCUAUGUUAUAAAUAAAUAAAUAAAUAACCAAUUAUUUUUUUCUUUAACUCUAAAGACAUUUUUUUUUUAUUUUUCUUUAAAAAAAUAAUGUUUUAUUAAUUUAAAGAAAAAUUGUAAGUCCAGACUAUAUUCUAACUGCUCCACAUACAAAAAUCCUUACAUGAAUAAAAAGAAUUUAAUAUGCCUAUAUAAAUAAAUUGUAUACAAAUAAUAAAAUCUGACUGAUUCUUCGAUAAGAAUAUAGCAUGGCACCUCCUUUUGCCCGGAUUUUCGUUUAUUUCAAGGCGGAUAUAAAAUUUUUACCCAUCUUUUUUUAAAAAAAAAUUAUUUAUUUUUCUAUUAAGAAACGAAAGGAUUUUUGUAUCUUUCUCAGUAGUCAUCUUCAAAGAUAGCCCUCUUCAGGUCAUGUCCCCAACCACCGGCCCAAGAAAAGUAAAAGUAAAACCAUAUAUUAUAUUUUAUACACUGAAAAAUAUCCUUGGACAAGCUUUUGUCCAUAAUUAAUUACAUUUUAUUAAUACGUAACAUAGGGUUAUCACUAAACUAUUAAUACCAGAGAAUUGCAAAAAACUAGGAAAUGCAAACAGAGAACAAGAGAAAUAAAAGAAAAAUGUAAAGAGAAUCUUUACCCUCCAACUAGACAAACAAAGCCUGAAACUGAGAAAAUACAAUUGCAAUGUAAAGAAACAGUAGACAGUUUAUAACAACAGCUGGAAAAACUACAACAGGACAUAUAAUAACAGAAUUGCAACGCUUUUAGUACUUCACAGAGAGAAAGAAAGAAAGAGCCCUGAGCUGAGCCUGAGCCUUAACCUGAGGAGGAAGACGAAGAGAGGACCCAAGUUUUUUGGCUUUUAUGUUUUAUCACUGAAAAGGGAGUAAAAUGUAAAACCCAUGAACUGAAAUUAAGCAAGUCAUAGUCUUUAUACAGUAGUUUUAAAUAGAAUGAGCAUUGAGCAACAACAACUACACUUAAUUUUGCUGUUACACAACACGUGAACUGGUGAAGAAAGAAGCACAUACACCAAACAAAAUGGAAUACUUGAAGAAACUAAAUUUUAAAAUUAAUUUAAAGAAAAAAAUUCUAACCAAUGAAUUCUUUUCUACAUUAAAUGAGUUGGUAAGUAAGUUCAUAAUAGAAAUGAACUAAUUUUCAGUGCAUAAUUAACAGUUGCAGAGAACUCAAGAAACCCAAAAAACUAGAAAAGCAAUGGAUAUAAAGAGUAAACCAUAUAAUCUGUAACUAAAAAAAGUAACCCAUUUGAUCCAAUUAAGCAUCAAAACAAAAAAAUUAAUAUGAAUGACUUAGAUCUUACAAUGAACUUAAGCAUCUGAGACAACACUAAAGUCAUCCUCUUCAACUGGAGCAGGCAAGUUAAGAUCUAUAAGACUGUUGCUCUUUUCAAGUUUAGCAGAAUUUUCAGCAAGAGCAGUAAUUGUUGUUGAAGUACCCAUUAGAUGCGAUCUUUUAUGCCCACCAAGUGCUUGUCCAGAACCAAAUACUUUAAAACAAUAUGGGCAUUCAAAAAUUCUUUCAUUUCCAUCAUGGUUCUUUUUUAGCUCUGUUGCAUUUAAAGAGCAAAUCCUUUUAUGAGCAACCAAUGCUUGUGAAGAUCGGAACACUUUACUACAUUUUUCACAUCUUAACUUCCCGCGAAUCUUGUUUGCUUUGAUCUCUUCUUGUUCUUGUUCUUCUUGUUCUUGUUCCAGUUCUUCAUUGUUUGGCAACCAAACAUCUCUUGAAAGCAUCAUAAGACACAUAGCAACAUCCUCCUCAGGGGAAGUAUCAGAAACAGAGCUUACCGGUUCUGGCUCUGCUGGGGAUGGGGAUGGAGACUGAGAUGGCGAAGGCGACGGAGAAGUUGACUCCAAUAAACUUGGAUUCUUCAACUUUAGUUUUUUAAAAUCGAAAUUCAGUUUUUGAUUCUCUGCAAAACCGGAUUUUCGAGUUCUUUUAGAUCGUCUCCGAGUUGGAUUUCUUGACUCAGUCUCACUUUCUCUAUCUUGAACAACAGAACCAGCAUCAAUGGCGAAAGAGAACUCAGGAUCUGCAAACCUGAAACUUUUCUUUGGAUUUUCUCUUAAUCCAUAAACCAAAGCCUUUUCUUCAACUUCUGUGUUCUUGAUUUCUUGUUCUUCACCAGAGGAAGAGUAUGAAGAUGAAGCUGACUCAGUACGGUUACCGGGUUGCUGCUGAAUCGACAUCGUUUUUGGAGGGAGAGGAAGGGUGGCUAAGUGGGCCUUCAUGUGACCACCCAAAGCUCUGCCAUUAGCGAAAGUUCUAGUACAGAGCUUGCAUUUGUGCCUCUCCAUUGAGGAAGAAACAGAGCAAGCAGAGAUGAAAGCUCUGCCUUUCUCUCACUGUAUCUAAUCUAACAACAAUAAAAAAAAAAAAAAAGUAGAAGAAGCAUAUAGAGAGAUUGGAGAACUUAAAAGGAGUAGGUGACAAGCAUUCCUCCACCAAAAGACACACAACCCAAAAAUUAUGAUUCGUAGAUAUAAAAUAAAUAAAUGAAAAACAGUUGUAAAAUUGUAAAAUAAAAUAAAAUAAAGUAAAAAAUAUAUAUUUUUUUAUUCCACGGUCUUACCAUCCGCUUAUCCGCAUCCGAUUAAUCCAUUAUUGUUAAUGGUAAUUAAGUAAAACCCUUUUAAUACUGAGCAAGUAAAAUCUUCCUAACAGCGGGGAAUAGAAGUCAUAAAAUGUGUGUUCUUUAAACGGCAAAUGAGAGACGAAAGAGGGACAAGUAACAUGCAAACCUUGCUCAUUAGUGAUUAGUGUAACUAAGCUUUUCUUUUUACCACUUUUUUGGAAGUUGAUAAAAUGCCAGAUAGACAAAAUUAUAUAUAUAUAUAAAAUUACACUUUUGCUGUGUUUAAUUAGUUUAAUUUUCAAAAGAUAUGAUGAUGAUCAAUGGAGGUGAACAAUUCUCGAUUUUUAAUAUAGUAUCAAAUCAAAUUAACUCAGUCGGUCAAAUUUUGAUAAUUGUUUUACAAAUUCAGUUAUCGAUUAGUUUGGAUAUAUAAGACGAUUUGGUUUUUUAAUUUUGAUUUUUGAUUUGAUUAUCAUAUAUAAUUAAUUAAAUUUAUUUUAAGUUCAAAUAAUUAAUUUGAUUUGAAAUAAUCGAAUUCAAAUCGAACCAAACCAAUUUAAUUUUGAUUUGAAUUGAUUUUUAUACAAUUUAAUUUCGGAUUUGAAUAUUAUAAAAACAUAUUUGAAUAACUUAAAAUUGAGCUAAUUCGAUUUGAUUAAUCGAAUGUUUAUCUCCAAUAAUUACCAUCAUCUUUUUUUUUUUAAAUUUAUUUCCCCAAAAUUUAAAAUUGGAUUUCAAUUUGAAUACACAUAAGCGGAUGUUGUUCGGCCCCAUAGCUUAACUUUUCAGGCCGAUUUCCGUGACUUGAUUUAUGAAACCAUGAGUUUUAUAUUGAAAUAAAUCGUGCAUUUCGAAAUACCAAUGAUGUGCCUCACUAUUUUUUAUCAAGAAGUUUAUUUAUUUAUUUUUCCUACUAGUAUUUAUCCUACAAGAUUAAUAUCAUUUUGAAAUUCGCAAUCUUUCUCCAUCAAAUUUUAACUUAUAAUACAAGAAUACAAGAGCUACAUUAGUUUUUUAACCUUAAUUUGUAAAAUGUAGUUAGGAAAAAUGUUAAUUUGAUUUUACGGAUUUAAAUUCAAUAUUAUAAAUGUGCAUCCACAAAUUUACUUUUUUUUUUUUUUUUACAAUACAAAUUUAAUCUUUUAAAGAAAUAAAAUAUGCACUGAUCACAAGAUGCAAUUGGAUUCCACACUAAUAUAUAGUGUAACAGCAUAUAUAUAUAUAUACACACACACGAUCUCGCAAUUAAAUUCAGAUUUAAAUUCCUUUUUCAAUAUAAAAGAUGCAAUUGGAUUAAAAAUAAUUAAAUUUAAUGUGACCAUUUAUAAAAAAAAGAUGCUAAUAGUUAAUGAAAUAUAAUAUGGCUACUCUUCUCGGUCCAAUGGUAGUACAUGGUGUCAGGUUUAAGUCACUUCAAUUACCAAAUAUUACUACUAUCAUAUUACAGAUUCAUUAAUGCAAUUUACUUCUAUUUAGCACAUUCACCGGUAAAAAAAAAAACCUGCAAAAGAUAUUUUUUUUACACGAUUUUGGAUAAUUGCAUUUCAUUACUAUUUAUAAAACGAGCUAAGUAACACAUAGAAUUUUAUCAUCAGAAUUGAAUAUGUAAAUAUAUUAAAUGAAGUAUAUAAUAAAAGGUAGGUUGUUUGUUCUUAUAAAUUAUAAUCCGUCUGAUACGCAAAAUUUAAGCAUGAGAUUUUCUUAAUCAAAGUUAAAUCACAGGUGUUUCUAGCGGCUCAUGUGGUAGCAUUCCUGUAAAAAGUGACGUCAGCGAAAAAUUUUUCCGCUCACAGCAAUCCAACACGUAACUCACGAUUAAUUAAGUGAUAUGAGUGGUUUUCACUUGGACAGUUGGCUAUAUUUCGAGUUCAAUCAUCUAGCAUUAUUUUGGCUGUUUGCCUAUUGCGAGAUUGAAGUUCACGAAUCAGUGGCUCGCUUACAGUGGAAAAGAUUGGUUGGUUAGUUGUUAUAGCGUGCUAGUUGGCAAUCCGCGUGUGAUACCACGUGUCAUGUACAUUGUCAAAACUGUACUCUCUAAUAAUAUGGAAAAAAUAAAAUAUGAUAUUUAUUUUUUUAUAUUGUUGGAGUCCAUAUUUAAUGUGUUAAUUUUAUUUUUAUUUUUUAUAAAUCGAUUUUUUUAUCAGAUAAAUUAAUAUUUUUAACAUAAUUUUUACUCAAAAACUAAAAUAAAUAUACUCUCAGAAAAAUAAAAUAUGGACUCUUCUUUCGAUUGAAGCGAAGAAGUUUAUAGCAAGUUAAGCCGCUACGAAAAAUUAAAUCUAUGCUUAGUUUCUUUUUCGAAAAUAAAUUUUUUAGUAAACAUUUUUUUAAAUUUUCACAUAUUUAUAGUACUUAGAAAAAUUAGUUAAUAUAUAAUAUUUUAAAUCAGUUUUUUAAAGUAUAAAUUUUGAACAGUAAUAAAUUUAUUAUAAUUUUAUAAAUAUAUACAUUUUAUUAAUUUAUUGAUCGUUGUAGUCACUAAUUAAUAAGUAAUUACUAAUAAUCACCACCGCAACAAUAUACUACUUUUAAUAAUCAAGAACACUAUUAUUUUCUAGUUUCAUGCAUUCUUUUCUUAUUUAAUAAUAAAGUUUUAAAAUACUAAUUUUAAUAUAAUUUUAAAUUUUUUUGAGAAAUAAUUUUAAAAUUUUUUAUUAUCUUAUAAAUUAAAAUUAUAAUAUUAUAGUCAAUUUCUAGUGGAUAAGGUGGAGUUCUUUUUAUUUUUUAGGUCUUAGUGGCUAUGCUAUUAAUUUCUAAUUUAAUUUUAUAAGCACUCAGUAGUAUUCUAUUAAAUAUUAAUGUCUGCGGCCAGCCUCAACUGCAAUGGGGAAGAGGCCUUAGCACGCCGGUUGGAGGAAUAGUCAGUAUCGCAUUAUUCAUGAUUUCAUGUAUGAUAUUGCUCGAUGGAUACUUCGUCCACGCUCCUCUGACUCUCGUGAUUAUAUUGCCGUUAAAUCUAAUUUCGGUUUAUUUGUUUAUAAAAGCUAUUCAAAAAAUUAUUCCUAACAUAUUAAUUAUAAUAAAUUUAUUUCAAAUUAAAGGAUGGAAACAGAACUAACUAGAGAUCAAUUGCCACGUAGUAUUUUAAAAAAUUAGAACAUUUAGAAUUUUUUAUAUCGGAAUGAAUUAGUUUAGAUAUCAAUUAAUUGACAUUCUAACUUAAAACGCAGAAAACAUGUAAUCAAGCAUCCUAAAAGGUGAAUGUUAUAAAAUUAGUGAAUGGAAUGUUAUAUCUUAAAUAAAAUAUUUUCCCCUAAAUCCCAUACUACUUCUACAUUCACUGUGUUUGUCUUUGGUGUUUGUAGAUGGUGACCAGUAACUGCCGUUUAUUACCCAGACCGAGUCAUCGGAGCCGGUGAACCCAACAAAAUCAAGAGUAAUAAUAAAACGAAGCUACACGCCACAAAGUACAUCUUCUUGAUUUGGUACAGUACACGCAUCUCGAGGCGAGUGGGCUUCUUUUUUUCAUAUAGACUACACAGAAGAAAAGAUACCUCCUCAAUCCUCAUUGCUUCAGUUUUUCUCUGAACCAUUCAGGUACUAUACUAUGCUUAUACUGUGUCUCUGUCAUAUGUGCAUACCACCAAGCAACAAAAUCUACACACGUUGCCUAUAUGCAUAGUUUUUGCGCCUGCCGCCUUAAUUUUUAAUUUCCCACGCGCUUCUUCUUCGACGACCGGUUUCCGUUUCUUGUUCUUGUCGUUUGAUUCUAUAUGCAAAGAAAAGGUUAUGGCUUCUGUUUCGUGUCCCUAUCAGGUUUCGAUAGAGAAAUAUAAGGUUUUUGAAUAUUUAAAGUUUUUAAAAUUAGGAGGAGAAAAGCAGUCAAAAAAUAAUUUUAAAUUAGUGAACCAAUUUCAGUUUGUUGCAACAAGAGUAACCAAAUACAAAACUACAUGUGGAUCGGGUUAGGUAGAUUCUUCGGACUAAAUAGGACCAUUCGGUCGAAUCGUGGCUUGAUGGAUGAGACAAUCCAAAAUAACUGAUUGGGUCGGAUCAAUACAUAUUUUAUUCAAAAAAAUUGUAAAAAUAUUGAAUUAUCAAAUAAAAUAUUAUGCAAAUACUGAAAAUUAUAAAUAAAUUUAUAGCUAAUUAUCAAAUUAAAUAUCAUGUGAAUACUGAAAAUUCUCUCAAUUAUUAUGCGAAUCAAUAAAAGAAAUAAAUACAUUUUUUGAUGAAUCACAAAAUCAGAGACAAAAAUAUCAAAAACACGGUUUGAAAAUACAUUCAAAACUUAUAAUGGUAAAAUAAAAUAAUGCAAUGACUUGUUUUUUUUUUUUCUUGAUUGAAAUUUAGAUCUCGAAUUCAUAUUUGGGUUUAAUAUUUGAAAGCCAUAUCAAUACAUAUCCAUCUCCAUGUUCCAUUAAUUACUAUACUCCCCAAACUUGAAAGGGUCCCAUGACAAGUUCUCUUCAACAUCCAAUUAGGAAGAAACUAAUUAUCUAAUGCAAGUACUCAUGUUUAUAAUAUUCAAUUUCACCAUUAAUAGCCAAUCACAAAAUAACAAAUGAGUAUAUUCAACAAAUAUCUAUAAAUUAAAGUCCAAUUACAUAAAAAAUAGUAAAAUAAAAUUUAACUUAUUACAAUUUACCAUAAUAAAAAUUAAACAGAUCUUUAACAUAAAUAAUAAGAAUAAUAAUAAUAAAAGGAAAUGCAAAUUCCAACUAUAUAUGUGAUAAUGUUGUUGGUAAAAGGUUAUGUUUAAAGCCUUUGAUUCUUAGCUUUUUAUAUUGAUUUUGACCUAAAUGGUCCUUUUAUUUUUUUUUUUUCUAGUGCAAAGUCCACUAGUAAGUAAGUGCAAUACUUUUGCCAAAUUACAUAAAAUAACAAAAAAAAAAAAAAGUAAAUUUAUACAGGUCUUAGUUAGCGGAUGACUGAACAUAGCAAUUCCCUUCGGUCUUUUAUUUCCAAAUUGUGAAAGCUACAUCAAUAUGGUCUUUGAGGCUGCAAGUUUGGUUUGACCUAGUCUUGUUCAAGUUAGAGAUGCCCAUGGACCCUACCUUAGGUGGAAAUUUAUGGGAAAAUCACAUUACUAUCUUUGUAGUUUACGAAAUAUAACGACUCCAUCUCCAUCUUUUAUAAAAUAUAUUAAUUUAUUCUUAUGAAAUAAUGAAAUUAAAAGUCUGUAGAAAAUAUAUUGUAUGAAUGAGAAAUUAAAUGGUAAGAAAAAUUGAAGUAGAGAAAAGUCUUUGAAAUUUCUUUUUAAUUUGAAAUAGAAAUAGGAUGAAUUAGUAUUUAUUGUCAAUAGUAUUGUCAUGAGGGAAUGAAACUUGCUGGUCAAAAACCUAACUUUGACCAAUCAUGGCUGUACAUUUUAACUGAAAAAACCAAUGUUUCUUUCCAUUGUUCAAAGUUGAGGACAGGCUAGAAUACACAUACAUACAAAAAAGACAACAUUAAAAAACACCAUACCACAAUAGCUAAUGUAGCCCAGUUGGCAAAAUCUCUUAUGCCUUCAAUUUUUUUUUUUUAAUCUAUCUAGUGCGAAAUUUUUCCUAAAUUUGGUAAUGUUGAGUUGUAAUGUUGUUGUAAGCCGUGAAAUUCAAUCAUUUUGAACUUUUUUUCGGUUUCCAGCUUUUCUUAAUGUAUACUAUUUAAUCCCAUGGCUAAAACUGAAAAUCUAAAUUUAAGAGUUUCAAAUUUGAGUUCUAUUUAUAUAUCGAGUUUGAAUUAUAUUUAUAAUAUUUGUCUUGAUAGAUUUUAAAAUAAAAUUUAUAAUCUACUGAAGAAAUAUUUAAAAGUCGGUGACAAUUAUGAAAAAAAAAAAUAAUAAUAAUGAGAAAUGGUGAUAUCGGGUGUAGUGUAUAAUUUCUCUUGCUUUGUCCUUUUGGCUUCCUUUGUAUCUUGCAAUUGCACAAAAUAUACCCAGUUGUAUUUUAUCCUUGUAAAGACUCUUGCAUGUCUGCAGAUCUGUACAUUUGAUCAGUAUUCAGACAAAGCUAGAGAAUUAAAGUGGACUGGUUUAAUUAUAUCUCUGACAUUCGAAAACCCCAACUUGUUUAAUAAACUUAAUUUUCAAUCUGCAAUUCAAUGUUUUUGUUCUCUACACUGUCAAAUGAGACAUUCAAUUAAUUAUUUACUCUCUUAUCUUUCUUCAAUUUCUCGAAAAAAUUUAUAUUUUAAUUUACUUCUAAGAUUUGGAUAAUUAAUUUUUUGAAAUAAAUAAAUAUUAAACGAAAUACCAACACUUAGAAGGAUAAGAUGGACCCACAAACCGAUCACAUUUCAAAAGUUAUUUGAUUCCAAAGUGAUGUUUGAUUGGGGGUGAGUAGACUAGGAAGUACAAUUUUCCUGUUUUUAUUUGGUUUACAUUAUAAACGCCGCUCGAAAAUAGAUCAUUCAAUUUUCAUUAUAUAAGGGAAUCAAGUUCUUUAGAUAUGGGAGGUUCCCUAAUUAAGUACAAUGAAUUUGCCAAUUUAUCUUAUUAUCUAAAUUUAUUCAAAUUUAUAUUAUAGAUAUUAUUGUAAUUUAUAGAUUGAAGGCAAUUUACUUUUCAGAAAGUUGAUUUGCAUACCAAAUACAUACAAAUUAUACUUUUUGAAAGUUUAUUUCUCGGAAAGUAUACUUUUCGGAACUAAGCCAUUUUGAAGCAGAUGAAGCGUAAGAUUUAGAUAAUUAAUUAUUUGAAAUAAAUAUAUAUUUAGCAAAAUAAUUAACAAGUAGAUACUUAAGGCUACGAUUAGCUUUGUCCAACUCUAGUACUAGUGCAAGGUUAGCUAACAUUAGCAACACUUACAUUUUUAUGCAUGUGAAGUUGGAAGAGGAAUUUGAGGACAUGGAAAUGGGACCCACAACAGCAAUGCAUGGAGGAUCCAUUCAAUUACAUAAUCGCCCCUAGACAUAAUGGUAAUGAUGAUGAUGUUGGUUAAAUUCAGAGAUUAAUUAAAAUAAUGGAAAUUAAGAAAGAAACAAAUUCUAAUUAAUGUUUGGUAAUUUAGGAAGGAAAGAUUGUAGCUUUAGGUUGAGUGAUUUUGUAUCUACGAAUUGCUGAAAGCUGUGGGCUUUUCAGUUGUUAGUGGAAAUGAUAUGCUUAUAGAGAAAGCUACAUAGCAAGGAAUGGGAAUUGAAACCAAAAGUCUCAACUGAAUUUUAUGGAGCAGACAAAAGCAAGCAACUAACAAGCAAAGAAUCUUUGGUAUAAUUUUAUCUUGCCUCCCUUUUUUUUUUAAUAAUCACGUGCCUCUCUCUUCUUUGUACGUACAGAUUAAGCCUACAUUGCAUCUUAGGUUAAGAUUAUGUUCGGCAAGAGCUUUUUUAAAUAGCUUUUUAAAAUGUUGAAUGCUACUUUUCAUAGUGUUUGAACUAAUUUUUAAAAGUUAAAGUAACGAUUUGUAAAACAUUAACUCAUUUAAUGUUUAGUUUUUAGCAUUUCAUAAAAAACUAUUCAAAACAACUAAAUGCUCUUAAAACAACUAACAGCUAAUAAAAUAAUUAAUUUUGCCAAACAGACUCUAAUUAGAUUCUCUUUAUCUUCCGAAUUAACCUUUUCUAUUAUAUCAAUUAAAAUAGACUGCAUCCUUAGACGAACUUGACCUAAAAGUUAAGGUGUUCGAAAUUUAGAGUCCGCUAUUAUCAGGAGGGUCUUUACUUAAACAUCACUUUUAUCCUGUGGAUAGCAACAUGUAUGCUAACUAGAAAAAAAGGGAAAAAAAAGAAAAAAAGGAGGAGAAAAAUUAUCUUCUGAUUAAUAUGAUGAUAAUGAAUAUUAGUGGGAUAUAAUGACGGCUAACCGAAGCUUGAUUAACAAAUAGUUUUGUUGUUUUUGGUAGAUUAAAAAAAGACCCAGAAACUAAUUAUUAGAUACAUCAUUGUCCAUAGGUUGUUACUUGAUAAUCUUAAGUUCUGUUUAUUGCUAUUUUUUUUUUGGGUCCAUAUUAAAAUUACUUGUUUUUAAAUUCUAUGAUAUAGGAAAAGUAAGCUUGCAUAAUAGACAUUUAGGUGGGGGCAUAUAGCUUUUUUUUUUCCUCUAUAUGUUUUUGGUUCUUGCAUGAUAAAUUAAGCAAAGGAGUGGAGAUGAAGUGAAAAAUGUAAAGAGACAAAGCAAGGUCUCAAUGGGCCACGAAGGAGCCCAACACAUCAAGAAGAACAGAAGUUGACUUGGACCCAAAAUGCUUAAAAUAUAAGCCUUUAGGGACUCAGAACUCAGAUACAUAUGGUUAAAGAAAAAAAAAUCUCUACCGUCCAUCUCAAUUAUCAAAAGUUAUAAUUCUACAUUUAAAUAUUAACACAAAACAAUACUAAAAAGAGAUAUUUUUUUUUUUUUUUUACUAUCGGUCUAGUGGGAUGAGGUGUUGAAUCCUUUAAGUAACAUCUAUGGUCCAUUCUGGUAUUGUAAAUGGGAAAAUUGAGUUAGGGGGAUUACCUCUUGCAAUUAUAAUGGCCUCUAUAGAAUCCGGAUUAAUAGACUGCACCGAAAGGUUUUUUUUUUUAAAAAAAAAGAGUGAGUAGUUUUUUCAAAAGGCAAUUGCUCUUAUUUUAUUGUAUGAAGGACUCCAUAUACCUUACGAGAGAAGUGAAUCCAUAUACCAAAAAUCGGUGCUAAUUCUGAGAAUAAGUUUAAUAGACUCGGUGUAACACAAACCUCAUCACAUCUUCGCUAAAACGACAACGACAUGAGAUUAAAUUAAAAUCAUAAUCCUUGGUUCAUUUUGUCAUUCACAUAAGAAAAUUUUAUCCAUCACUGGGAUCAAAAUGAGCAAAAUGCGUCUGGUAAACUCGAUAAUUCAAAGUUAUUUUUCGUGUAUCCACCACCAGAAUUAUUUUCUGCUCUUCUAGCUAGAAAGCCCUAAUGACGAAACCAAAGUACAAUCUAUCAGAAUAUUUUUACAUUGUUAACUUAAAAGAGGCUUCUUCGGGUCGUACUCACUUUCCAUGCCCAUUUCAUCCAGGUAACCUUCUUUUCCCUUUGCCCAUAACACAAAGUAUAGACCAGUAAACAUCAGGAGCAUACCAGCAAGGCUGCAAAUUAAUGUUGAAUAAUCUCAAAUCAAACUUUAUUUUUGAAAAAAUAAAACCCAAAUGAAUGAUUGAUCGAUCAUAAAUACCCACCUUCCUAAUCUAAUGGUUUCACCUAAGGUAAUUAAAGAGAGAACAACAGAAAUGACCGUUCCAAUAGGGCUAAACAUGGAGACUAGAACAGGACCUCUCUUCUUCAUUGCCCAUCCAUUGAAGCUUACAGAAGCUCCUGUCACUGCACCUGACUGUAUAAAAUUAAACAAAAUUACUAUUCCAAAGGAUAAAAUUAAGAGUUUUCAUUAUUUUAUAAGGUAAAUUUUCUAAAAAUUUUGUAUUAGAUGCCACCCUGACAUCCCCCCCUCUGUCAAUGAUCAUUAUAAAAAGAAUGGAUUUGUAUAUCAGGAAAAUGGCGACACAUGCAUAAUUAUAAUAAUUAAUUACCAGAAAAGAAAAGCCAAUGAGGUUCGUGAGGGGCAUAAGAGGUAAAGCGAUUCCAAAAUUGGGAUCUUGAAACCACUGAAUAACUGCUGUUAUAAUUACACCAAUUAUGGAUGUUAUAGCACAAAGGGACAUUGGUGCAGGAAAAUUCCCCAGAGUAUAAGCCUGAAAAAGAAAGGUCAUAGCAAUUUCAUUAACAAUUAAAAACAAUUAAAUCCCUUAACAAUUAUGUAAUAAGAAGAUUUACCUGCAAAACGACAUUGCUGGAUAGAACAAAAACAGCUGCCAUGAGGUACAAGCAACCGAUAAUCUUUUCCUUGUCAAAUAUUACGUUAGGUGGGGGAAUUAACAAUUGGGUAUCUUUUGUUUGUUUAGAACUGUGCAUUACACUCAUUAAAAGGGCACCUACGACACAAACCAAUGUGCCUGAGAUCUUCACUUUGCUGUAUAUACAGUUUAGCUUAACUUUCUCUAACCUGCAUGACCAUUUUGAACCAUAGACGUACAAAUUAAAACCAUGUAGGUCUGCCUCUAACAGGACCUGAGAGGUUCAAAACUGAAUCCUGACAGUCUCAUUUUCUUUAAAAAAUGGAUUUAUAUAUUAUACCUAGCCACCCAUGCAAUGAGGAAGAUAAGUCCUGGAGCAAGGUUUGGCAUGGCGGUUGCCAGUGCUGGUGAUGUUAGUUUAAUCCCCUUCAUAAAUAACGUUUGAAAUAAUGUAACCCUGAAAAAUAAAAAUAGUGCAUCAAAUUUAUAAUUAAUGAAUAAUGAAUAAUGAAUAAUUAAUGAUAUCACAGAAUAAAUAAAUUGACAAAUAGAUUUAUGUUUCAUAGUCAUUCCCAGAAUUUAAAAUUAACAAAGAAAAAUCAUAUUAAAACAAAAGAAUUCUUCUGAAAGAAAUGGAGUUCUAAACGUAAUCGUUAAAUCCCUUUAUUACCCUUGAAAAAAGAACGUAAAUGCAUAAUCUUGGGAAUGAAAGAAUUUUUGUUUUUUUUUCCUUUUCAAACACAAAAUACGAAACUAAAACAUGAAAAGAAAAAAUACCCAGCAAAAGAAAUCAAAACGAGCUGGAUCAUCAACUUGUAACUGAGUUCUUUAGGCCAUUUCUUCCUGCAAAUAAAAAAUAUAUAUAUACGUCAAUUAUCAACUUCCCACAUAAUAUAAUGCUCCCAAAUAACAAAAUUAAUUAAUUAAGAAGGAAAAAGACCUUUCGAAAUAAACAGCAAAAGGAGAGGUAAAAAGGAAGGUGGCAAAAGUAGUGAAAAUAACAAUAGUACUAGGUGUAAAUCCAAGAGACAUUAAAUAACUCAAGAAAAUAGAAUUUCCUGCAUAAACAAAUUGAACUCCUAUCAAUCCUCCUACAAUUGCUAAAUCCUCAAGGAGCUCCUUUUUCAUGUACCAAACCAUUUUGAAUCUCCAAUUUACAGAAGAAAAAUCUCAAACAAUGGAAAUUCUUGCCAAAUGCAAAUCUUUUAACUCUCCAAGAAAAUGACAGUAUUAAAUUUCUCUUUCAAAAGAUAUAAACAAAACAAUAACACCAUGAGUUCCUUCCCCUCCAAUGAAAUACAAAAAGAAACAACUUAUUCAUUGAUGAACCCACAUCAGAUUAAUUCCUCUCACUAGAAACGAAAAGUAAAAGGAAGAAAAAGAAAAGGUUGUAGUCUUUUGUGUUUCAGGUUUUAGGUUAAUUUUCUGAGAGAAGGAAAAUGUGUGUUUGUUUGUUCGUUUGUGUUUAUUUUGUUUUGACACAGAGCUACCCUUCAAGUUCAUGAGGCUUCUCUACCAGUCUUUCUCUCCUGUUUCUUCGCUCUUAAAAGAACAUUUGUUGUGCUUUUUUAAGCUAAUUUUUUUAUUGUUGUACUUGAAACGACGGUUCCUUCUCACCUACCACCUAUCACUAGAUUUUCUCUUAAUUAAUAUUUAAUUUAAUUACUUAUUUUCAAUUUUUUUUUUAAUUUUGCUAAUUGUUUGAAGUAUUUCCAGCCCAUUUUUUAUUUAUUUUCUAUGUUAUAUAUACAUGUCACAUCAAUUUAGUUUUUAACAUAUUAACACUAUUUUUCUGAGAUAAAAAAAUAUAAUUAUUAGUAAAAAAAAAAGCCAAAAAAAUUUUUUAUUUUUUUUUAAAUGAAAAAAAAAAAUUUAAUUUAAGAACUCUUAUUGUAAUAUUACUAUUCGUGCUGCCAUGCGUUGUGUUGUGUGAAUCGCAAAGUUUUUUGUUAUUUAUAAUAAAAAUACAAAAUAAUAUUUUAUAAAUGCCACGCAUGCAGUUAUAUUUGGAGAGUGGCAUUAGUUUACGUGGUAGAAGUGACACGUAUACACACAGAUCCUGCCUCGUGGAGAGGUCAAUGCGGACAUGUAAUGCUUUCUAACGUGUCUUUGUAAGAAAACAAAGCUUCCAUCGUAUGCUCCUUUUCAACCUCCGUUCCAACUUGCCGUUUCGGCUGAUUUAAAUGCUUUAGAAUUUAGUAGUUGUUGUAUUAUUGUCUUUAUUUAAAUAAAGAAAUUUAAUUACUUUAUCACCUAGGGGAAAAAAACAGACAAACAUUGUAUAAUUACUUUUGAUAUUUUAAUUUAUAUUAUUAAAUUUUGAUCGGAUCGAAUGGAUAAGUUUUUACAUAAUAAACUUAUUAUUGAUAAUAAAAAAAUACUUGUGAUUUAUAUGUUUAAAAAUUAUAUUUAUUGAAAACUAAGUUAUUUUUAUUAUUUAGUACACCAUAUUUUUAUAAUAUAAUCACCGGUAUCCAAAAGUCCACGACACUUAGCAUGAAUUCAACUUUUAAAAAUAUUGUACAAAUAUAGUAUUUAAAAAUAUUAUACAAAUGUAGUAUUUAUUUGUAUUUAAUGUAUAGUUAUGUACGUUGGUAACACUUCCCAAAUAUUAAUUAUACUAAUUAUAUAUAUGAGCUUAUUUGUCAUUUUAAAAAUUAAGAAAGCAUUAAUUAUUUUUUCUUUUGAACUUUGUGAUUGUCUUGUUGUCUUUUGAUAGCUCAAUUAAUUAUUUAGAGAAUUAAUAAAAAGAUAAUUUAGUCAAUUAAUUUUUAAAUUAAAAUUAUUUAUUGCAAUUAUUUUAAGCCGUAGUGGGGCAUAGUAUAUAGGUUAAUCCUUGAUUUUUUGAAUUCUUUAAUGGUAAUAUCUUUGAUUUUGGUUGGUACGUAAAGGCGUGGCCAAAAUUUGGUUUUCGGAACUAGAAUCAUUGGUUUCGAACAAGUGGGAGCCGGAACCGAACUGGUUCGAAUAAGAACCGGAAUCGAUCUAAACGGUUCGAUUCUGAUUCCACCAGUUUUGGAACCAUGAAUCGGCGGUUCCAGCUCCAGUUGGAACCGAAAGUUUUAAUUCCAUCUGAACCGGCAGGAAUCGUUCAAAACCGGCCAAAAUUGGUCCAAAACCGGCUGGAAUUAUCCAAAAACUGGUCGGAAUCGUUGAUUUUAGAACUAUUAAGGAAUCAGAACCGUUCGGUUUCAAACCGUAACCGAAACAAUUAAUUUUCGGUUCGGUUCCGGUUCCAAAUUUUUUGGAACCGGAACCGUGGCCACCCGACUAUGACCCAGUCCCACAGUUAGCUUGGGAGUUGGCUUAGAAUUUUCAAAUUCAAGCUUUUAAACUUCAGGUCUUUAGAUUUCGCAGGACUACGCGAAUGUCGCUUUUGAAGGGAUUGAAGAAUUUCAGCAAAUGCAAAAUCAUCCACAUGAGCUACUGUCGAGCAAUAUUAGCACGAACAUAUCUACACUCUACAACAACCAUAUCUAUAUUUUUCCCUGGACCAUGCGAAGAUCGCUUUUGAAAGGAAUUGAAGCAUUCCGUGGAAAGCAAAAAUAUCCGUAUAAGCUAUUGUCAAACACUAUUAGCACCAACAUUUCUACACUCAAAAGCAACCAUGUCAACGAAAUCUCUCAAAAUAAUGAAUCCUGGUCUGCUCUCAUAUCAACUCUUGUCCAAGAUGGACCCGCUAAGGAGCUGGCAUUGUUCAAGGCCUCUAAAAUGCUCGCGUCUGCAACCAAACCUAAUGGCUAUGCUCUGAUUCAUCUGGUUCGAGCUUCUACUGACCUGGGUUUGAACCUUUAUUGCCAACAGCUCCACAGCUACAUUUUUAAAUCUGGGUUUGGCGCCAAUGUCUUUGUGUCCACUGCUUUGUUGAGAUUCUAUAAAACGACAGGGGCAAUAAAUGCUUGCCACCAAGUCUUUGUCGAAAUGCCUCAACCAAAUGUAGUUGCUUGGAAUACCUUGGUUUCUGCCUACGUACAGUCUGGGCAGUUUAGGAAAGCUUUGGAUCUAUUUCUUCAACUUGAAAGAUCUGAUAAUUGUCCAGAUGCCUAUUCCUUCACGGUAGCUUUAUCUGCUUCUGGACAGCUAAGUAUGUUUCAGCUUGGCAGGUCAAUUCAUUGCGAGAUUGUGAAAUAUGGGUUGGAGUCUGACAUUAUUGUUGGGAAUUGCUUGAUUGAUAUGUAUGGGAAAUGUGCUUCUGUUGAAGAGGCAAUUUGGGUUUUUGACGAAAUGAUUGAUAAGGAUGUAAUUUCUUGGAAUUCAGUUGUAGCAGCAAGUGCUAGAAACCAAAGACUUGAAAUGGCAUAUAAUUUUUUCUAUCAAAUGCCUGAGCCGGACACCGUCUCGUAUAAUGAAAUGAUUAAUGGCAUUGCUCAGUUUGGCAAUAUAGAGAAUGCUAUUAAAAUUUUACUGAACAUGCCAAACCCUAAUUCAUCUUCUUGGAAUUCAAUCAUAACAGCAUAUGUUAACAGAAAUCGCGCAAGAGAAGCGUUGGACUUUUUGGCAAAAAUGCAUUCAAGUGAUAUUAAAAUGGACGAGUAUACUUAUUCAGUUAUUUUGAGUGGUAUUGCUGGUCUUGCAGCUCUGAAAUGGGGAAUGGUGAUCCAUUGUUGUACAACCAAAGUUGGUUUGGAUUCUUCUGUAGUUGUGGGGAGCGCUCUUAUUGACAUGUACUCCAAAUGUGGGCAAGUGAAGAAUGCUGAAUCAAUCUUUCAGUUCUUGCCUAAAAGGAAUAUGGUAACCUGGAAUGCAAUAAUGUCGGGCUACACUCACAAUGGUGAUUCACGCAAAGUGAUUGAGCAUUUUAAGGAAGUGAAAAUGAUUGAGGAUUUGAAACCCGAUUGGGUUACCUUCCUUAACAUACUCACUGCGUGCUCAAACACCGAGGUGCCCUUGCAGAGGGCAAUUGAGUACUUUGAAUCAAUGAUCAACGAUUACGGUAUUGAACCAACGAUUGAGCAUUGUUGUUCAAUGGUUCGGCUUAUGGGAGAAAGAGGUGAGGUGUGGCAGGCAAAAAGGAUGAUAUACGAACUAGCUUUUGGGUCAUGUGGUGUAGUUUGGAGGGCUUUACUUGGUGCUUGCGGAGCGUGUAGGGAUUUGAAGGUUGCAAAUAUUGCAGCGGCAAAGGUGAUUCAAUUGGAGGGCGAUGAUGAUUAUGUUUAUAUUAUGAUGUCUAACAUAUAUGCAUCCUAUGCAAAAUGGAGAGAUGUGAGCAAAGUGAGAAAGAUAUUGAAAGAGAGAGGAGUGAGAAAAGAAGUUGGUUGUAGUUGGAUUGAGGUUGAAGUUGAUAGAGCUUCCCUACACUCGUCACAUAUGUAGCGAUGAUCUAGCUUAGAAACAUACUUCGAAAUGGGAUAAAGAUGAAGAGUUCCAAAUUUUAAGAUUGGGGAAAUACCAUUAUAUUGUCUUAAACGCCAAAUAGUUGUAAUAAACGACGCAUUACUUCAAAAAGUUGUUCAUAAUCCCCCUAUUAAGACAAAUUUGUUUAGAAAACAAUAUCUCAUCUCCUGGUACUAUUGUUACAGACUGCGCCUUUAGUUUUUGCUCUUAUCUCUUCUCAGCAGGAUUGGUCUCAGAUGGGAUCAAUUAUCUUGGAUUGUAAAACUAUUUUAGAUUGUACACCUAACGUGACCGCUAGAUGGAUUUAGAGACAAGCUAACGUAAGGGCACAUAACCUAGCUAGAGCUGCCUACUUGUAUACUCGCUCCAAAUGUUGGGACAAUAUUCCCAAUGUAUUAUUACCCUUUUAUGGGUUAGAGUAAUGCAAAUAUUGAGGUAUUCUCUUCAACAAAAAAAAAAAAAGAAAAAAAAGAAAAAAAAAAAAGAAAAAAAAGAAAAAAAAAAAAGAAAAAAAAGAAAAAAAAAAAAGAAAAAAAAGAAAAAAAAAAAAGAAAAAAAAGAAAAAAAAAAAAGAAAAAAAAGAAAAAAAAAAAAGAAAAAAAAAGAUUUUGUCAUCGAUCUCUAUCUGCUAACGUUUAUGUAAUGGAAGGAAUUGGUCAAGAAAAGAACAACUAGCAAGUUAGGGAAAGAUACUAGAAAAUAAUAUUUAAAGCAUUUAUCCAAUCGAGCAUACACUGAUGGUGUUAAACAAUAGCAUUUAAUGCUACAUCUCAGAAGAAAAUUAUCCUGUGUGUUAUGGAGAAUCAAAAUCAGCUCUACUGCUUUGAAGGUUCAGCAGCAUUUUAUAGAUUGACAAAAACUCUUCAAAAAAUGAAAAGCUACUAGGCUUUGCUUCUCCAUUCAUGUGAAGAUGUUCUCCCAUAUCAUAUUGAUUCUUUCCAAACAAGUCACCUUGGAACUGACAGGCCAAGCUCUGAAGAAAUAAAUAAUGCAAAUACUGGAAUCAGAAAACAAACAAGUGCAAAAUGAAGCAUAUAAAUGUAGAAUAAGACAUGAAUAACAGCAUUCCGGUAUAAAUUUAAAACGCAGCAAUUUUGUUCAGUAAUGUCAACAAAUGUGGUCAUUCUGAGAAUACAAUUUUAAUAUAUCAAUCAGUGGUUUGCAAUUUCUGCAAUAAUUACACAAUUGGGUUCCAAAAGAUUGCAUCAAGUUCUAAAAGGCAUAUUUAUUGCGUCUCAAGUAGUUUCCACAUUGUUUCAAGCCUUAAGACUUUAGAUGAUGACAGGACCCACCUCCAAAAACAGCACACAUGUUUCACGUACCAUCAACUCCAUCUGGGAACAGGAGCAGUUAUGUUACCAUACUAUUCUCAAUUACUAAUAUAUAAUUAGUUGUAAAGUUCAAUUCAUAAUAUUCGCAUUUUAAGAAAAAAAGAUACAUGGUUACUCCUGAGAAUCGUUCUCUCUCAUUUUAUUUCUUUUUCAUGCUUCAGAGUGUAGGUGAGAUACAAUCAUUUUAACAUGCAACAUGCCAGAUAUCAACAAGUUACCAACCAAAAUUAGUCGCAAGGACAAUAGAUUAGAAUAAAUUUUGACCAUACAAGUUUCCCCAAGCAAAAAAUGAAUUUAAUCAAACAAGAUCUCUCACACAUCUAUAAUCUCCUUGAAUAUAAUGACUUAUUUCAUAUAUCAUUUUUUAAAUGUUUUUGGCAAUCUAAUGGUUCAAAGAACAUGCUCUCUCACUCAAACUCAACAGCUAAUCCAUUAUCUUCUUCAAGAAAUUCAAAAAAAGAAGAUAAACGACGAACAAUAGUUAAUCCUUAGAGCUUAGAAAUUUAAGCUGGGCUAAAAUGUAUUAAGUAUCAGGAUAAUUGGCAGAAAGUCUCAUAUGUUAGCAUGCUAUGUAAACUUCAUAUAGACGGAUGAAUGCAAUAGACUUCAGGAAGUAGAUAGACAGUAGGAUGAAUAUUAAAACAGUAAAAUAAAUAAUUUUUUUGAAGGGCAAUAAAGAAUUUCUCAAAACAAAUCACAUAAUAAACUGAUCAAUAUAAAAACGUUUACACACAGAAAUGUAUGGCACACAAAAAACAAAAGUUUCCAUCCUAAAAUAACCAGACAUUUUUAAUAUCACUAAGGAAGCAAUUAUAGUUUCAUACUUGAUAAAGAUGCAGUUGGCCAUAAUUGACGGGUCCUGAAUUUAUUUCUUUCAAAUUAUGUGCCUGCAGGAACCAAAUAUUCCAGUCAGAUGGUAUUAAACUCUAUUAAAGCACUCUCCUCGCAGUUAAGCUCCCCAAUUUGUUUUAACUACAGGAAUGUGAGUGCAGCUCACUCAGCGCUCAAUAUCGUUCUAACAGUUGAGUGCUAAUUUCUGACCCAUAUCGCAGAACCAAGUACACUACUCAUAUAACUCUUAAAUUUUGACUCUAAACUAAAGUCUUAGAUUCCAAAAGCAAGAUCACAGCAAUUCUAUCUCCAGACUAGGCUCAUUAACAUUAUAUUAAUCAUAACCUUGAAAAAUCCACUUUCGGAUUUGAAUUCUUACACAACCAGUAAUCCAAAAAGAAAAAUAAAAAAGAAAUUGAAUUGAAUCUAAGUGAAUUCGCAAAAGUGAACAUGUUUAAACAAGAAAAUCAGAAAAUCAAUCACUAAUUAUCAGUAAAAUUUGCGCAUUGGAAUAAAAAAGCACGCGAAUCAAACACUAAUAUUAGCAUUUCAGGAGAAGCAAGGGGGAAAAAAAAAAAAAGCAAGCUACUCACACUCUAAAACAUAGUAAUAAAAGCUAUUAGAGGCCGGGAGAGGUGCAGCAGAGUGUACCCUGUGAGAGCGCUCGGCAACUCCUCGAUGUCGUACUCAAGCAUGAAGUCAUCCUCGCCACCGCCACGACACUGUGUAGCGGCAGCAACGACUGCACGCAUCCUAGCUCAGACGGAGACCUUCAAAAAUAAAUAAUUACUAAGCACAUGUACGCCUACACGAAUAAAAAUACAAAGACGAAUAAGUAAGUAUAAUCGUGCACCUGGAUGAGAAGGAAAAGCGGCGAGGAAGGGAAGAGGAAGGUAAACGAGGAGAGGCCGAGAGAGAGGGAGAAGUGGGAGAUCUAGUAAUCGGAGAUUUUGGAGCGUUAGAUCUGAUAGCGGAUUUAAUGGACGAUAGAGAUGAUCUGCUGAUGAAUCGGUGACAAGAGGAGGCCAUGCUAGAAGCUGCAGAGAGAGAUAGAGAGGAAGGAAAUCUGGGAAAGGGUUCUGAGGAUUGAGGGUUUAUUCGAGGUUUAGCUGCGGAGCUAAAAAUCACCAGAUCACGCUUCAAAGUCCAAAGAGAAGAGUAAGAGUCAAACAGAGGGCAGUUUGGUUGAGUUGGGCUUAGAUGGGCUUGGGUUCGGCUCUAACCAAAUAGUUGGGUUGUGGUGGAUCAGUUUUAUACUUACUUGGGCUCUUAAUAUAAUGGGCUAUAAUCCUAUCGGGAAGCCCGUAAAAAAAAUUUUGUUUGUAGACAUUUUAAUUUCGAAUAUUUGACCCAUUCAUGUGAAAAUAUAAUCCCUUUUCGCCAAUCCACUUAUUUGUUUAGAUUUUAUUGAUAGAUCAAAAUAUAUGUAAUUUUUUUUUACCUUUUUUUAAAUUUUAAAAGAUCAAUUUAUGGCAUAGUUGGGUUGUAAUUAAUUAUGAACUAAGGAGGCUUUAAAAAUUUUAUAAAAAAUAUUCUUUUUGAAUAAAAGAGUUAGACAGUUAUGACACAUACGACAAGUUUUCCAUCCCUAUUUUCGAAACUUUCUUUCUGUUAUUUCUAUGAAGAUUGGAUUUGCACUAGUGUCUUGGUUAUAAAGCAAUACCUUGUUUAGGCGUAUACGUUGGGAAGAUGGCGCUAAUGACUAAACGGGUUGCCAUUUAACCGUUAGUAGAGAAUGAUUGCUUUUGUUAACAAAGCCAAAGCGGAAAAGAACAAAAUCAGAAAAUGGAGAGGAAAAAAAAUAUAAUUAAGUUUAGAUUUCGUAUUAAUUUUCUCCAUUAGAAUUAAGUGUUAGGAUCCAACUAAUAUUUUCCGUAUAUUAAUGAAAUUUUUCAUUUUACUAAACAAUGAAAUAUUAUUUUCAAUAUUAUUUCAUAUAUUUAUAACUAUAAUCUUUUCACAUUUUAAGUCUCUAAAUUAAAAAAACAAUUUUACUUUGAAUCCAAAAUACUUAUAUUUUAGAGAAAAUUUUGAAGUUUCAAUAUAAUCAUGUAUUUGUGAUGGCAUCUAAAUGCCUCUCUAGUCUCUUCCAAAUAAGCCCACUUCACAUAAUUUUUUGCUAAUAACGUGUGGUCUAAUUGAUUUUUCUACAUUUUAUAAAAAAUGUAUAUCUUGUAAAAAAAACAUGAAAAGCUAUUCAAGGUAAGACUACAUCGAUUGGUGUUAUCUAUUAGCUAAUUAUUGCUAUCCAGAAGUUGUUGAAAGGUGAUCAGAUUUGUGAUAUAAAUCAUGUUUACAGGGAGGCCAAUUUUUUGUGCUGAUUUUUCUUUUGAAGAUUGUUGGCUCCUACCCUAUGGGUACACACAUCUUAGAGUCGGCUCCAUUUGUUUCCGUAAAUUAACUUAUAGGAAAAUAUUUUUCACAAUUUUUCGUUAUUUGGAACGUUCAGAAAAAUAAGUCAAUGGAAAAUAUUUUCCUAGUUAAAGAAAAAUUAAGUCAGUUUUUAAAGAAAACAACUUUUCAAUUUUGAGAGAGUAAAAUAUUUUCUGGAUAUUGGCAAAUCUUAUAAAUUCAUAUUUUUUAAUUUAUUAAUCAUUAUAGUCUUUACCACCGACCACUACCACUGGUCACCGGCGACUUUCAUAUUUUACAUUUUUUUUUUUACAUUCUUUUUAUAUUUAAGAAUAAAAUUUUUAAAUUAUAAAAUUUUUAUUAUUGUUAAUAUUUUUUAUGCUCUUAUGAGAUAAAGACUUUGGUAUUUUUAACUAAUUUUUAAUAUUACAACCAAACAACGGAAAAUAAAUCAUUUGAAAAAUAUUUUCUAUUUCAUGAAAAUAUUUUUCAGCAAGUUAUUUUACGAAAACAAACGGAGCUUGAGUCAUGAUUCUAUUUGUUUUUCCUAUUAUAAACUGUAUUUGUCUUCCUAGAGCUUCUUAGCUCUUUUUUCUUAUAAAAAUUAAGGAAAGGUCAAUCCCAUAUAUAACCCAUAAUGUUAUUUUGACUCAUUGGGCCUUCCAAAUAUAUAUAUAAAAAAUUGUCUCUCUUCCUAAAUCUAUACUAUCAUUAAAUCAAAAUCCAUUGAUUGAUAUCAAUUAAUCUAGUUAUCCAUAUUUAAACAAGAAAACAUAAAGUUAUCAUCAUAUAAUAAUUCUUGAAGUAAUAAAAAUAAAAGAUCUUAAUAACCAAAGAAUUCCUUUUCUUUUCCUUUUAAGUGUGAAGUAUAUAGUGUCAACAAUUUGCUACACCUAAACAUAAAAAAAUGACCCAAUUGAAAAACAAAAGUGUGAUCAUGUACACAAAAACAGUACCAAAGCAGCCACCACCAAUGAAAUGGUCCACCUUGAUGUUCUACUUUUCGUACCAACCCCUUUAUUAGAAGAAUUUUCAGAUUCCAACAAAGAACUAAACUUGAAAUUAGGGUUUGACCCAUAAAGAGCUUGAACACCUUCCACGUCAUCAAUUUUAAGGUCCAGUUUCUUAGUCCUUGGACUUAAACUUGGAUACAUCACAGCUUCCUUGAUUGACGAAUGACCCAAUCCAAGUAUAUGUCCAAUUUCAUGGGUAGCCACUGACUCCAAAUCAAUGGCUGCCUUUGACUUAACCUUCUCAAAAUCAACGGUCCACGUUUCUGCUGCAUCGAGAUGAAACCUCCCAUUCUCUGGGGAAAAAGCAUGCGCUAAAACUCCUAAAACUCCAUCAAACGGCUCUCCGUCGCCGUGAUCACCGCGAUACCACCCGAUUUUAAUAUCUGGCGAUUCGUUAUCUUCCACUUCUCUGAAGCUUACCGGAAUAACUGAUGCCCAUCUUGAAAAAGCUCGUUUAAAAACUCUCUUUAUCUCGUCUAUACUUAUAUAAUCAAUCAUGUUAUCCGGUGAAAAUGAAUAUGUUAGUAUCAUCGGCGUCUGCCUUACCCAUCUGGGCUUCCCAUAAAAAUACGCGAAAUUUCGGGUUACAUGGAAAAUACCGGUUUUCUUAUGUGCUGUAUCGCCAACUCCGCAUCUCGGCGAUAUGAUUGUUGAUAUCGUAUCGGAAUCAAGUUUACCUGUUACCGGUAAACCAAGAUUGGUUUGAUAAGCUAUAACUGCCGAUUCCAACUGGGCAUCAAAGAUAUCGGUAAAAUUAUUGGUACUGGGAACCGGGAGAUACCCGAAAUGGUUGAAGUAUUUCUUGAGCUCUGACAUGCCAUUCACUUGACUGCCCUUACCGGCGUCUAGGAAGCGAGUAAAAUCAUGCCACGUGAAAUUAUGAAUAUCGGUGGAGUUUCGGGUAUCGGUGGUUAUUACAGUUACAGAGUCCGGUAUGAGUCUGGCGGGAAAAGAACGGCUUGAAAGACAAAGGAAGAAGACGGAGAGAAAACUGAAAUAACUGAAAGUCUGAAACAGAAUUGUGGAUAUAGCCAUGUUGGGAUUUGAGCCCAAGAUUUUAUUAGGGAGGAAUAUGUGUAUAUAUAUAUAUAUAUUGGAUUCAGAAAAUAAGAUAUGAUAAUUAAAAUGAAAUAGGAAUUGAAAACUUAGACUAAUUAAUGUAGAUAGGAUCAAUGUGCAAGAAAAUGAAGAGAAAGUUAGGAAGAUUCUGCCGUGCGUGCCUUUUCAAUAGAGAUUCUGACUUUUGAUGGGUUAUGGUGGGUAACCCAAUUUCUUUGGUGCUGAUUAAUUAUUAAUUUAGUUUAACUGCAUAUCACUAAUCAGUUCUUCAAAACACUGAAACUUAAUGUAAUAACUGUUGGAAUAUACAUAUAUAUGUAUGCAUUUUCACAUUCCAACAUGAGUAGUAUUCAAGUAAAAUUUUUCUAAUAAUGACAAUUUCAAAUUUCGAUCACUGAUUUUCUAUAUAAAGUUCAUCGGAAAAUACAAUCUAGUCAUAUAAUUACUGUUGAAAUUUUAUUAAUAUGUAUUUUUUUUUUCUCUUCUUCUUCUUUACCUAUAUAAUUAAAGAAAUGAGAUAUUUGUGUUAUAAGAAAAUAAUAAUUAGAGUUGUGUGAGUUUAGCCGAAGUUGCUCUGUUUGUUGACCAAAUUAGGUAAUGGUAAUGUUUUAGAGAGGAAGGUUUGUUUUUGUGCCUAACUUGUGUUAACUUCUUGAUCUACAUAUGACCCACAUACAUACUACGCAUGAAUCAUGUUUUAUUUCAAUUUAGUCAAGCUUUGAACUUAAAUAAAACCAUAACAAAAUGUACUCAUCAAAAUUCACUUUCUUUUUGUUGACUUAUUAAUUAUUAUUAUUAUUAUUAUUAUUUUCAAUUAUGAUUCCUUGUCUACUUCUAAUUAAUUAAUUAACUUAAAUGGAUUGUUUAUAAUCUUAUUUGGUUGACAUGAUCCAUAUCAUGCUUUAACCACUAUGAGGAAUCUAAAUUCCUCAUAACAUCAUAAACCAAUUUUCACAUGCAUAUAUACUCAUGUAACAAUUGUGGGAUUUUCACAAAGGUUUUAACAUGACUAAUCAUACUAUUAGUUUCAUUUUAAUCACUGAAAUUAAAAAUGCAUGAUUUGAAAUUUUAAUAAAUGGUUAUUGGUAACAAUAAUUUGUUAUAAUUAGUUUAGUAAUAUGUACUCGUUUACAUUCGAUCACAAAAGUUCUCACUAAUUUAGUACUUAUGAUUAAACCAUAUUCAUAUAGCCAAAAGGCAAUACAUUUAUUUAUUUAUUUUGGUAUUGGCUUCUGUUAUUCAUAUUAUUGUUGUCGACCUUAGCAAUGAGUUCUCAACUUUGGAGAUAAUGGAGAGUUACAUCAGUAUCAUGGAAGCAUAAUUAAAUUAAAUUUUAUUAAAGAAAUUAAUUAAUUAAGAAAGGGAAAUGGGUGGCUUAAUGAUUUAAGUUUACAUAUAUAAUAGAGAGAUUUAAGGUCCAAGUUUUGUUUGGUUUCGCUUUCAAGACGCAAUGAAGUUAUCUAAAUGACGAAACUAUAAAAUAUGACUAUGUCCCUUUCUUUUCUUUUCGUACUUUUUAUUGGUUUAUUUGAAGGAAUGCCGUCCAUUAUUAAUUCCAUCAGGGAAUAGACGUCCAUUUGUUUGCAGGCUUUAUCAAAGAUAGCUUACUUAUUUUAAAUAUGUCACAUUUAUCCUCUUCCCAUUCCGAUUAAACAAUAACCAUACAACUCAAAUCAAAUAAAACAUUUGUAAUUGUUAUGUAUUCGUAUUAUUUACAGAUACAUAUUAUUUAAAUAAAGAUAUAAUAAUAAAUUUUAUUAGUACGAUAAAGUUACAAUAAAAAUUUCAACGGCGACUUAUGAUUAAAAAAAAAAAAAAAUGAGACUUUUGACUUAUUACAUAAGAUGGUAAUUUGUGUGGCCUUAUUGUUUAAAAAAAUUAUUAUAAAAAGUGACUCUAGUAUUAACACGUUUAAAUUUAUUAAUUAACUUUUGCAAGGUUAAUAAGAGCUCAAUUGGUGAAAAUGUACUUACGAACUCUGCUGCGAUGAUGUUCUCAUAAUUAGAAACGGUACAGAGACUAACUUUUUUUUUUUUUUUUUUUUUCUAUAUAUACUAUUAGAUAUAGAGUUGCAUCAGCUAUUUGACUCAUAUCCGUUUUAAUAGUUUAUAAAUCUGACCGUUUCCAUUUGCUUUAGGAGAUAAAAGAGUUAGUUUAUAGAGAGUUUACAUUGCAACGAAUCAAACUCCGCAAGUACUCUUUACCACUAAGUUAUCUCCGUUCGAAUUCACAGAGACUAACUAUUAAAAAAAAAAAAAAAGAAAGAGUUUUUUUUACUAAUUGAAUAAAAAUAACCUAGUAACAUAUUCAAUUUUAAAUUCUCUCUUUUAAUCCAAAGGAAAAAACAUCUUCGUCUUAUCAUGAAAAUUUAUUUUUUUGUUAUUUUAUCAUUAAAAUAUUAAGAAUAGCCCUUCUAAUGAUUUACUAAAUUAAAAAAAUUGAACGAAAAAAUUCAAACUCGAGAUCUCUGUAUAGUUAAAAGGAUUAUCUAAUCGGAGCUUGUCUGUGCAUUGUUAGCCUACUUCCAGUUAUCGGGCUUUAAAAAUUAGAGAUUGGUGCAAGGAAUCCACGUAGCUAAUAUUUGGCAUCACGGGUUUGAUAAUAUAUCAACAGUUGGCAAUCUUCUAAUUCUGUCAUAACUCAUAACUAAAUAAGCCUCAAACAUACUUCAUUUUCAUAUAGCUGAACUAUCAAAACUACUUUGUUCAUUUGCUCAAGAAAAGAAGACCAACUACUUUACCUGGAAUUUAGUUUUACAAGUCACUUGAAAUUUGUCAUUUAUUGAGUCGUCAAAUGUUCAUCAUUAAUAUUAAAUUUCAAUUUUAUUUUCCAUUUAAUAAACUGUAAUAUUAUGUAAUGAAAUACACUUAGAUUGCAUUAGAAUGUGUAUGUGAUUCAGUAAAUGAAACUUUCUUUUUUUUAAUGACUAAAAGUAAAAGUUUAAGAAAAAAUUAUUAAUAAUAUACUAUAAAAUGGGCAAUGGUAUUGGGGUAAGGAUUUUUAAAAAGUGAUAAUUGGGCUCCUCCUAGGCUGGGCUUUCUAAUUGGCAACUCAAAGAUCAAAACUUCUUCUCCAAAUAUUCUGUUUCCUACAUUUCAUUGUUUCUACUUUCUAAUUGGUUCCCUUGCAAGGUUUACAUUUUACAAUUACAAGCAAUUUCUUCUUCCCAAACAAGAAUUCUUCAACUUCAUCUUUGGAUUGCUCUAUUUCAAGAAAAACCCCAUCUUUUUAAUUGAAUUAGUUAUGUUUGAUUUUAUAUAAUUGAAUUCAUAAAUUCAAAUUUGCUAUUUUUAAACAUAUCAACCAUGAAAAAAAUAAAUUUCAAGUAUAAAGCUUUGUAAAAUUCAUUGAGACAUAUAACCUUACAAAUAGAAUCUAAAAUAUGUUACACCAAUAGCAUCUUGAUCAAUCCAAUUUACAAAGACCUGAAGAACAAUUAUAUAAAAUGUGAAAACCCAGAGGAAAUGCGAUUAGUUUUUUUGACUGCAAACAAAAAAAAUACACUUUUCUUUUUU
Molecule: long non-coding RNA, 89573 nt
Filed under: Jatropha curcas
Lineage: Eukaryota; Viridiplantae; Streptophyta; Magnoliopsida; Malpighiales; Euphorbiaceae
Description: long non-coding RNA (JCUR_LNC001019)
Source: RNAcentral